CAUGAUGGAAUUUCCCCAUUCAGAAGGUUGUAGCUUAAUUGAAGGAUCCUCAAACGAUGCAGUUGGCCCAAUUCUUUAGGGAGAUGGCCAUAGAAAUGGUUGCUACUCAAGCCGAGAGAAAGUAGAAAUGAAAGAUUUCCAAGGUGUGGAGGGAUAGUACCCCUAAGAUUCAUGCUUGUAAGAUUCAAAGCUAUAACUCUUUUAUGGAGGAAGCCACCAGAAACACCAAUCCAAUUGCAAACAGAGGUUGAGGCCGUCCAAUUGUUUGCCACGACAUUUUGAUCAGGAUGGGCAAUGUGAUCCUUAAACUCGAGAAGUGCAAACUGAUCGGAGUUGAGAUUCCUGACUGUCAUAGCCAAGCAAAGUACGAAACAUGGUAUGAAUAAAGCUAAAAGAAGAUGAAAGCAAGUGUUGUAGUUCAUGAUUGCAAGACGGGAUAAGCCAAGAAAAUAAAAAAAGUAGGAAAAGGGAAGUUGAGUUGAUAAAAUAGGUUGGAUGAUGAAGAAAAGCCCAGAGAGCAUGCUUUAAUAUGUUUCAACCCUCGCACACUUGAUAAAUUUAAGACUACCCUAAAAAUUAAAAAGGAAAGCAAAGUUUUGAAGAAAUUUCAAAAUAAAUGUCAAGUCUUCUUCUUUAAAAAAUACAUACAAAGAAUCGAAUUUUCAAAAUUUCUCCUAAAUUUUCUUCACAUUACUCCACAUAAAUUACAAGCACUAACAAAAUAUUUUGAUCUAAUAAAUGUAAAAAGCAUUUUAAACAAAAGAAGGUUGAAAUAAUCUAUUUGUCCUUAUACUUUGAUAAAAUUUGUAUCCUUUUUUCGAAUCAUUUAAUGCCAUUUCAACAUUUUCAUUCAAAAAAGAAUAUCAUUUUGAAUUUGAUCUUUUUCAGGGUGAAAAUAUUGAAAAUGGUGUUCAAUUAUUAGAAAGAGAUACAAGUUUCAUGGUAUCCCCAAAUCAUUUAAUCUUAUCUCUCUAAGAAAGCUGAUGUAACACAUUAAUGGCAUCAUUUGAAACAAAGUUUUAGGUCAAAUUGUUCAUCUAGUCCUUGUAAUUGUUCUUUUAGGUGAAUUUCAUUAUUAUUCUUUUAUUUUCUUUGGCUUAAAUACACAUUUACCCCUAAUUUUAUCACAUUCUCCUUAAUUGGUAUUUAUAGUUUAGAAAAUUUUACAAAUAUAUUAUUUUUUAAGAAAUUAUAAGAAGAUUACAAAAAUUCCAAAAUAAUAUAAAAAAGCUAAGAAAAACCUAGAAAUUCAAAAAAAAAAAUCAUGUUUUUACAAAUUGGGAAAUACCUAAAUUUGUGUUCAUCAAUUAAGAAAUUAAAAAAAAUUGUUGAGAAAUAUCUUUUUUAGAGAUUCCUAGCUUUGAGAAGUUCUCUCCACCACUUCUCUUACGCUCCUUCCAGGAUCUUGCUCUUUGUGUGUUGAAAACUCAAACGAACAAAAGAUCAACCUACAUCUUAAGGCAGGAAGGUCAGAGCUUUACUUUCCAGCCCGUCCGAUACUUUGAAAGAAGAACAAAGAGUCUUUGCUAACAUUUUUUUUUCUUUGUCAUUUCUAUGUUUCUUGUCAAAUACAAUGAAAGAAGAGCAAAGAAAACUGUUGGCUAUUUAUUUCCCAGUCAUCCUGAAAUUACUUGCCAUAGGCAUAGAAUUUUCUAACCAAUUUUCAAGCAAUCUGACAUGAAUUCUCAAUCACAAUUAAUUGAAUUCAAGAUAUGUUUGGAUGAGAACACAAAUAUUUCAAUUUUAACACAAACCAAUGUUUGGGAUGAUUUCAUGAUUAUCUUUUAUAAUUUCAGGCUUAUCAACUAUUUUGAAAACAAGAAAACGUCUUACACCAAAAACUAAAAAAUUAAAACGUCGACAUUAAAUUUGUUGGUAUGCAAUCAAUUUUAAGAUGGUUUUUGGAGUUAUAUAUCACUUUAGCAUUGACUUACUUUUCUACUCUUAGUCUUCUCAAAUAAGUUAAAUAUUUCAAUUUUAACAACAUUGACAGGUCUUUGGGGUAGGGUCGAGCAAAACUCAAUAUAGGCUGAGUUGGCUCGGCCAAGUCGAGUCGACUUGUUCAAAUUAGUUAAAUUAGUAAAUUUUAGGGUGCAAUUAGAAUUUUUUUGUUUUGAGAUGCUAAGAUUAAAAAAUUUGAGUUGCUAAAACUAAAAAAUUGUAUUUAAAAAGGCAUAAAUUAAAUUAUUAAAAUUUAUUUUUUGAAAAUAUAUUCUCACUACUUUCUAGCAGAAUAACAAUAUGUGAAACUUAUGUCUUGUGUUAAUAGUUCUACCAGUACUAUCUAUUUAUAGGGAGCGACAUGAGAAUCCUGGUUGAAUUAGUAAAACAUGAGUAAUAUUUAUUUCAUAGAAAACAAUAUUCUACCCUAAGUAGAUCAAGUUGGAUGAUGCAUGGAUCGAAGCUCAAUCUAGGAGAAAAAAAAUAAAAGAAUUUUCUUUGUAAAGAAAAUCUGAGAUUGUACUAUUUUCGAAGUUAUAAAUAAAAUUAUAUGCCAAAUUUUCAAGUCAAUUUUUGACUCGAAUUUUGUAUGUACAAAUUUCUAAUAAACUUGAUGGGACAUUCUUUGACUUUUAUCUAUUCUCUCAAAAAGUUAAAGUUCAAAGUUGCAUUAAACUCAAAGAAGAUAAUCAUUAGUAAACCAGCUCACAAGCCUGCUCAAGCUAAUCCUAUAACUCGUUUCACUCCAUCAUCAAACACCAAUGUUCUUGCUUAUCCUUGUGGAAUUAAACAAAAGACAAGCUUUUAAGAGUUAUUUGAACAGACAAAAGAUUCAAAUGUGUUGAGAUGGAAAGUGACAAUGCAAUGUUUAUUGAAACUAUUCGUAAUGGGUUGGCUACAAUAAGUAGUGUUGCUGAAGUAAGACGAACUCACGAUUGGUGUUCCAAAAAUUGGGAAGUCAAAUUUUGACAUAUUCAGUAGAAUGCCAAUAAAGUUGUUGAUCGCAUAGCUAAGGCAGAUGGAGGCGUAAUUGAGCAGCUAGUUAUCUUGAAAAUCCUCCGCAUUAUGUGAGAUGAUGGCUUGAAGAAGAUAUUAGACAAUCGUUGGUGAAUGAUGAUAAUUUUCAUUUGGACUGAUGCUCGCUUAAUUUUCUAAGCUUAUGUUCAACCAAAAAAAAAAUUAAAUACGUCUAAAUUAUCAUAGAGUUAACAUUUAGUGUAUAAAAAAAUAGUGUAUAACUUUUUUCCAAUUUCAGUUUAGUUCCACAAAUAUCGACGAUGAACCUUAAAACAGACAUGAAAAUUACAAAAAGCAAAAAAAAAAAAACCAACAUCUAUUAUCAAACUAGCAAUCCAUGUCUAAACUUAAAUUAACAAAAUUUGUCACGCAACUCGAUACACUAUUUUAUAAUAUAUAUAUAUAUAUUAGAUUUAUUCUUGAUGCACAUAUUUUAUUAUAGUUAAAAAUUAAAAUAUAUGAUUUAUUGAGUUUUAGUUGAGUUAAUAUUGGUAUUAUAUCAAUGUAGGAAAACUUGAGUUCAAUCGUACCUAAAUACAUUUUAUCCUCCAACUUAACAGUUGGGAAAAUGUUAUUAAUAAUUAAAUUAUACCAAUUUUUACAAUAUCUAAAAAGCAUUUAUAAACAUAUUCAUAUUGAUGGGCUCUUUCAUUAUUAAACUUUUUUUUCACUCACAAGUAAAAGUACUUGUGGAGAGGAUCAUGUAAAUAAUAAACUGAAUAAUUUUAAACGUCUCAUCAUUGCCAACAUGAAAUAAUAGAAAAGAAGCCAUUUUAUGAAAUUUACAAUUCCAACUGUGAAUAAAAUAUAAAUUUUAUGAAUGUGGACAAGCAAUUUAUUUAACUUUUUUUAAAGUAAUUUUCUUUGUUUCCUAACCACCAUGAAAUUACUUGUCACAAUUCAUCUUUUUAAAUGAGAAACAUUUUCCACAAUUUGCCAUCACUUUAACAUACACUAACUUUCCUAUGAUUAGUCCUUGGUUUGCCUUGGGUGCAAUCUUCCAACUAGCCUUAUCCUUGGUUUUACUUUCCAACAAUUAUUGUAUCCUCCUCAUUACUUUUACUUACCGACGGAUGAAAAAUUCACUGAUCAAAUUAAUUCAAAGAUUUUUUUUUUCUAAAUCAUGUGAAUUCACGAGUUUUAUUUUCUUUAAGAAAUAUUUUUGUGGAUAUUAGGAGAUACUGAAAAUUAUUUUACUAUGAAAUUCUAAUAAAACUGGAAAAUAAGUGAUUUAUUUAAAGGGAUCACAAUUAAACAUUAGAUUUUUAAUUUUUUAAUUUUAAAUUUUUUUGACAAUUGCGUAAUUAAUAAGGUACUAAUUUUGAGCGUUGUAGGAGUGCUAUAACCUUCCCUAUGCAUAAUCAACUCUUAAAUCCACUUUUAUCUUUACAAUUAUAACAAACUUACAAAAUGAUUUAAUGAUAUUUAAUUAGUGACGGGUAAAAAAAUUAUAUCAUAUAAAUUCCGAAUAAUUAAUUAUAUAUCUACAUUUUAUAACCAAUGCAUCUUUCAAAAUUAUUUCCUUAUAAUUAAAGCAAAAAAUUAUAUUUAUAAAAUUCUAAAUAUAUUAUAAUUCUUGUAAAUAUAUAUAUUUACAUAUAUAAGUCCAAAAUGUAAUAGAGUUAACAUUUAUUGUAUAAAAAUGUCUUGAAAAUUAUUUUUUUUUUUCAAUUUCAAAAGAACUAUUCCAUUUAUAAAACCAUAAAACUUUAAAAAUAUAAACUCUAUUAAAUAAAAAUAAUAAUAUUUUUAAACAAUAAAUAUUGACUUUAUUUUAAAUUGACAUUAUCUAAAUUUUUUUAAUAUAUAUCGCUAAGCUUUACAUUAAUAUACAUGAUUUAUUUGUUCGUUAUUAUUAUUAUUAUUAUUAUUAUUAUUAUUAUUAUUAUUAUUUCUAUGAUUAUUAUAUUAUAGUUAUCGGACUACAAUCAUAACCAUGUCUAUUAUCAUUCGAUAAAAAAAAAAUUAAGUGUUGAGUAUAAUGACAAGGCACAUUACACUCUUAAGGGGAGAUCAAGGUUUGGACAAAGGAAGAAUAUGAUUCAAAUUUUGGAGACAACAUUCUUGAAAUGAACAACCACAAAUCCCAAUUAUGAACCAUAAAACGAGCAUGAAAAGUACCCAAAAAACACAUUUAUUAUCAAAAUAGUAAUCCAUCUAAGGAUUAAAUUAACAAAAUUCACCAUCCAACCGUGUAGACUAUUAUAAAUAUAUAUACUAUAUUUAUUCUUCAUGCAAAUGUUUAUUAUAUUUAAAAAUUAAAAUAUAUGGUUGAUUGAGUUUUAGUUGAGUUAAUAUUGAUAUUAUUGUCAGUGCAAAAGAACAUGAGUUCAAUCAUGUUUAUAUACGUUUUAUACUCAAAUUUAGGAGUUGGAGAGGAUUCUCAAUAGUUAAAUUAUAUCAGUUUUUGUCUAUUUAAAAAUGAUUUAUAAAUAAUAUAAAUAGAACAUUUUAAAAAAAAUACAUAUUCAUAUUGAUUGGCUUUUUCAUUAUUAGACUUUCUUCCCCAUAGGUAAAAGUAUUUAUCGACUUCAAAUUUUGGGUUUUAAAUAAGGGUUUUUCAGAUUUUUUUUUUAACAUUUGUGUGAGUUUUUGCCAAAUUUUAUAUUUUCGGAACGCAUAACUAAGUUGAUUUUUAAUUAGUUUUCAAACGAGUCAAUGUAAUUCCUCAAAAAUCUAGUCAAAUCGUUUAGGCUGGGUUUGGGGGUGUUACACUAACGUUACUAAAGUUAAUCUUAAUCUAUUUAGUCUAGAUCUAAACAUUAAUAUUCUCUUCCAAGAAAAAUCAAGAUUAUCAAAUUAUUACAACUGUGUAGCCAGACAAUCAUAUUAAAUAAGCAUAAAACUUAACAAAUAAUUAGCGAAGAUUGAAACAAUCAAAGAAAAAAUAAAUAAAUUAACUAAGAAAUAAGGAUCCAUUAUUGUUUCAAGAAAACAGAGUUUAGUUCAUAUUGAGUUGAGAAAACCAAAAAGGAGAUUCAAAACAAACUUGUGAUAAGGGGAACAAUGUCAAUAGAUCAUAUUCAAGUUGUUCGACUCGAGAAAGAAAGUUUCAGAUCUGACCUGAAAAGAAGAAACCAAACAUAUUUAGGAAAACAAGAAAAAAACAAAGAAAAAAACUAAAAUGAGAAAUUUAAGAAUAAAUAAGAAAUAUUAAAAAUAAUAAAGAAAUUAUAGAAUAAAAAGUGGCAAAUGGAAUGAAUAAAUGAUGGAUAUAAAUAAAAGAUGGAUAUGACAUAUAGAUGAAUAAGUGUCUGAUAACUCUUGGAAAAAGUUAUAUUUCAUGCCUUUACACCUGGCUAAUUGCUUGUACUUAAGUAUAUUUUGUUGCUUUUUAAGACAUUUUAUUGAGCAUUUUUAAUAUUGUAUUAGGACUUAGACUGAUUUGGGAUUAGGUGUUUUUAAUUGCUUGUGGUGGAGUUUUUUGUGUGUUGGUAUGGCAGGAACAGUUUUUAGAACGAGGAAAUAAAUGAGUGAAGUUUUGUUAGGGCAAAAGUGCAUACAGUUUGCCUACAAGGAUGCCGUGGCAAUGCCGGGAAGACCAAGUUCAUAUUUUUUGUGCAACAGUCCCAGUUCAAAUUCAAACUUGUAUGAGAUAAAUCCCCCUAAAAGAGGAGAAGAUAAUUACAUUGAUGUUAGUUGACCCUAGCCUAAUCUAUCUAUUAAAGCCAAUGAAAGGGAUCUCACAAAUGGUAGAAAAAAGUGAGAGAGAUCCUUAGGGGUGAAUAAGGGUUUGGCUGGGCAAAGGAAAAGAAGUCAAAGGCAAUCAUUCUUAGCCUUCACAGGACGUUGUGUUGCCAAAGUGUGGACUGGGCAAGUGAAAGCUGUUUCCCAAAGUUCUUCUAUUAUUUCCAUUAGUGUUCCUUUGAAAGAUUGAAUUGAAGUAGUUGAACACAAUGUCGGAUAAUAUUUUGCUUUGAAAUUUUAUUUCCCAGCUUAUGAGCUAAAUCUCAUAGGGUUGGGAUUACUUCCGAUGAAACCUUAAAUUUUUUUAUGGAUGCAAUAUAUAUCUAAUUUACAUUACUGUUUCAUUUGAUUGUUCUUAUUUCUUAAUUAAAAUACAAAUGAUCUCUAGACAUAGAGGACUAUUAGCAUACUUAUAAACUGAUUAUAAUUCUAAAAGGGUUGGAUUAAAAUUAAAUGAAAUGAGCAAGUAUUUGAUAGACACUUUUAGCCAACUCUAGACACAGAGUCAAGAUCAUAUAGAAGGAACCCAUGCAAGAUAUCUGAAAAGCCUUUAGACACAGGCAAGGCAACUUGAGGUUUUUCUCUCACAAGAGGCAGACCAUUUUAGAACUCUUUUGUGUUGUAAAAUAGAUACGAUUUUGCCAAGGCAUUAUUGACAAUAAGGGUUGAUUCUGGGUAAUCCCGACCUUCCAAAUCCACAUCGUAUAUCCUUCAUUCUUUUCCAUAGUAUCUUUGCCACAACAUUAUUAGUUAUUUAUUUGUUCAUUUACAUAAUCUUCCCAUAAUAAUUCUCAUAAUUGCCAUUGCAUUUCUACUCUCGGUUUGCCAUAGCAUUACAAAUAUUCAUUAAUUCCACAUAUUGAUUACAUCAUUACUCUACUCAUUGCCAUUGCAUAUAUAUCAUUGACUUUGUCAUAGCAUUAAUUGUAUUUUAUUAUAAUAACUUGAUCAAUUUUGUGCCUCAAUCCGGUCAUCGUGGGAACGAUACUCACUCAUCACUUUAUUACUUGAUUCAAUGUGUAUACUUGCACAAAUCACAUAUCAUUUCACAUGCAACAGUGUCCAAUUGAACCCUUUAAGAUAUAAACUCGAACAAACUCAAUUAAUGGCUUUAAUCAACCCACCAAGAAAUAAUCAUUGGAAAAUUGAAGGAUGAAGAAUGAAUUCCCUUGACUCCUUGAAGAAAAUUUAGAAGAAAACUGAUUCUAAAAAUUACAAGAAACAAUCUUGCACAAAGAAACUAACCUUGAGAGUUGGAAAUUUUAGUAACGAACAAAAACAAUUGUGUCUUUAAUGAACAUGAAGGGGCCUUUACAUAGGCUAGAUAAGUACAUCCAAAUAAAAUUGUCAAGUAUCUUGAAACUUUAAUUAAUGUAAGCAAGAAGUAAUUUUAAACUAAAAUAGUCAUAAUUUCCGUAAUAAUCCCGUCCAAAAAUUCUGCUCACAUAGUCAUCAUUAAAACAGUCAUCAUUUGAGCUCUUGAACUCAAAAUUGAGUGAAUAAAAGUGUGUUUGAAAGUUAAGUGAUAGAUCUUAGAACUCCAUGAAGUCAUUGCAAGUUAACUGAUUUUCCAAACUGGAAAAUUGACAGCUUCGGUGAAUGGAAUUUAAUAAAGUUCACCCCAUCUGCUCAUGUAUAAACUUGCAGUGGUAAAAAGUAAAAAGAAAUAAUCUAUAGAGAAAAUAGUUGAAGAAUUUAUUAUAAUUUAUUCAAUUUAUGACAAUUUAUUCAGACCUUUUUUUCUUCUAGCCUUUGCAAGCUUGAAGUUUCCAUUGGUGUGUGAGAGUUGUUCCUUACCCUCUAAGUUAUAUUUUUUUUUCUUUUCCUUCUUUUUCUUUCUCUUCGAUCUCGUCACAUAAGGGUGUUCAAACAACUGAUUCAGUUAAUACCCGAACAAAGCUAUCAUUAAUUGAAAUUUUGAAACCCUUAAUCGUUAAUGAAACCAAUUUUUUGUUGAAACCUAUUAACCGACCGAAUUGAUUUAGGUUAAUUCGUGUGGUUAACCAGAAUUUAUACAUUAUUUUUUUUUUGUUCAAACAAUUUUAAAAUAAAGAACAAUCCAUGACAACUUUUUCCUUGUUUUUUAUUCAAAAAUUAUUAAAAGAACUAAAAAAAUAACAUAAUAACAACACUAAAUUAAAAACAUAAUAGCAUUCAUUACAUUACAAAUCCUUUUUUUUUUUUUUACUUUUUGUUGACUUUUUAGUUUAAUUUUAGUUUUUUUUUUCAAAUAUUUUUAGUUUUCAUAUUUUUAUUAAGCUUAUUAUAAGAAAAUUUAUAAAUCCAUUAGUUUUUAUAUAUUAGGUUUGUAUAAUGUAUUGGACCUAUCUCUAUAAUAUAUUUUUAUUGAUUUCGGUUAAUCAAUUAAUUCGGUUAAUUAGUCUAUUUCAAAUGAAACUAAUCGAUAAACAAAAUCUUCAAAAACAUUUAACCAACUCCCAACCAAAUUAGAUUCAUUGAUCGGCUGCUUAAUCAAAAUAAUCAUAUGGUAAAAUGGCAUAUUUUUGGAAUGGUUUUUUGGCAUUAUUGGUAUAGGUUUAAGUUAUGAUCUUGAGAUGUUGAGUUGAAUUAAGUUUGCUAUGUAUAUUGUGAUGCCUUUAUUGGCAUAUUGGUUAGAUAUUAAAGGAUGGUUGAUUUGGUAUGUUUUUGAAAUGGUUGUUGGUAUGUUUGAUCUAAGUUGAUUAAAUGAACUUGUAAUGUUGAAUGGUAUAAUAUUUGUUGGUACAUUAGUUAGUCUUAUAGGUUGAUGGAAUUGAUAUGUUUUAAAUGUGUUUUAAAUGUGUUUUGAUUAUUUAAAUGUUUGUGGAAAUGGAGUGUCUUGGUGUACAAGAUUUGAAAUUGAAAUGGCUUGAUUUAGAAGCAACUUAUGUUGUACACCGCCUGGGACACGGGUUGUCACAUGGUUGUGUGUCAUUAUUGUUUUAGGUACAGGUUUCACACAAUCUAAGACUCGGCUCACGACAUAGCUGUGUAUCACAAGUCAGUAUGUAACACGGUUUGGUACAUGGCCUGCGACAUGACCGUGUGUCCAGACUUCAAAUGUCCACACGGUCUGGGCUAUGUCACAUGGCUUGGCCACAUGGCCGUGUGACCCUUGUUUUCAAGUUUUCCAAAAUUUUCUAUUUUAUUUCAAAUUGAUCCUAGAAUAUUCUCAAACUGUUUUUAGGGCCUGUAGGUUCGAAUUAAGGCCCAUAAGUGUAUGUUUGCUAUAAUUAAGUUGUGUUAAUUAAUGUUAUUAAUUAAAUGGCAUGAAUAUUUUAGUGUAAGUUAAAUGUUUUAAUUUGUACUAUAAUGCUGCGUAACUCUAAUCUGGUGAUGGAGACAGGUUUGGGGUGUUGCAAUUUUGGACUGUAAAUUUAUUUUGGGGCUUUGUUCUUUGGUUCUUGCAAUGUUUGUUGGAUUUUAGUGUUUUAACAUUAAACUGCAAAAUUGUAUGAUUUAACAAACUAAAAAUUAGGUUUUCAAAAUUAAAACUUUGGAAGUUUCUGUUGCAAAGAUUAAGUAAUCACUUAAGUGUUUUCCUAUAAAUAAUUAAAUGGUUUUUAACAAAUGUUUUCCUUAGUUUUGGAAAUGAUCUGCCAACAUUCGUACUUUUAAAACACAUGAUUUCAAAUUCAAAUUCUUGGUUUUAAAUAAGGGUUUUCAAACUUUGAUUUUUUUUUAACAUUUGUGAGAGGUUUUUGCCAAAUUUUAUGUUUUCAGAACGGGUAACUAAGUUGAUUUUUAAUUAGUUUUUCAAACGAGUCAGUGUAAUACCUCAAAAAUCCAGUCAUAGCGUCUAGGUUGGGUUUGGGUUGUUACACCGACGUUACUAAAGUUAAUCUGAAUCUAUUUAGUCUAAAUCUAAACUUUAAUAUUCUCUUCCAAGAAAAAUCAAGAUUAUCAAAUUAUUACAACUUGGUAGGCAGACAAUCAUAUUAAAUAUGCAUAAAAGUUAAUAAAUAAUUAGCGAAGAUUGAAAUAAUCAAAUAAAAAUAAAUUAAUUAACUAAGAAGUAUCCAUUAUUGUAUCAUGAAAAUAGAGUUUAGUUCAUAUUAAGUUGAGAAAACCAAAAGGGAGAUUCAGAACAAACUUGUGAUAAGGGGAACAAUGUCAAUAGAUCAUAUUCAUGUUGUUCGACUCAAGAAAGAAAUAUUCGAAUCUAACCUGAAAAAAAGAAACCAAAUAGAUUUAGAAAAACAAUAAAAAACAAAGAAAAGAACUAAAAUGAGAAAUUUAAGAAUAAAUAAUGAAUAUUAAAAAUAAUAAAGAAAUAAAGAAAUUAUAGAAUAAAUAAUGGAAGAUGGAAUCAAUAAACGACGGAUAUGACAUAUAGAUGGAUAAGUGUCUGAUAAUUCUUGAAAAGAGUUAUAUUUCAUACCUUUAGACCUAACUAAUUGCUUGUACUUAAGUACGUUUUGUUGCAUUUUAAGACAUUUUAGUUAGUAUUUGUAAUAUUGCAUUAGGACUUAGAUUGUGUUGUAAUUAGGUGUUUUUAAUCACUUGUGGUGGAGUUUUUGGUGUGUUGGUAUGGCAGGAACAUUAUUUAGAACUAGAAAAUAAAUGAGUGAAGUUUUGUCAGCGCAAAAGUAUAGAUAGUUUGCCAACACGUAUGUCGUGGCAAUGCCGGGAAGACCAAGUCAACAUUUUUUUGCGCAACAGUCCCAGUUCAAAUUCAAACUUGUACUAGAUAAAUCUCCUUAAAAGAGGAGAAGAUAAUCACAAGUUGUUAGCUGACCCUAGCCUAUUCUAUCUAUAAAAGCCAAUGAAGGGGAUCUCACAAAUGGCAAAAAAAAGUGGGAGAAAUCCUUAGGUGUGAAUAAUGGUUCAGCUACACAAAGGAAAGGAAGUCAAAAGCAAUCCUUUUUAGCCAUCACAAGACGUGCUGUCGAAGUGUGGACUAGACAAGUGAAAGUUGUUUCCCAAAGUUCUUUUGUUAUUUUCAUCAGUGUUCCUUCAAAAUAUUGAAGUAGUUGAACACAAUGUUGGAUAAUAUUUUGGUUUGGAAUUUUAAUUCCAAGCCCAUGAGCUAAAUCUCAUAGGGUUGGGAUUACUUUUGAUGAAACCUUAAACUGUUUUUAUAGAUGCAGUAUAUAUCUAAUUUACUUUAUUGUUUCAUUUUAUUGUUCUUAUUUCUUAAUUAAAAUGCAAAUGAUCUCUAGACAUAGAAGACUAUUCGCAUACUUAUAAAUUGAUUCUAAUUCUGAAAGGGUUGGAUUGGUUGGAUUAAAAUUAAAUGAAAUGAGCAAGCAUUCGAUGGACACUUGUAGUAGACUCUAGACAUAGAGUCAUGCCCAUACAGAAGGAACCCAUGCAAGAUAUCUAAAAAGCCUUUAGACAUAGGCAAGGUAACUUGAGGUUUUGCUCUCACGAGAGGCAGUCCAUUUUAGUACUCUUUUGUGCUUCAAAGUAGAUACGAUUUUGCCAAGGCAUUAUUGACAAUAAUGGUCGAUUAUAGGUAGUCCCAACCCUCCAAAUCCACAUCGUAUAUCAUUUAUUCUUUGCCAUAGUAUAUUUGCCACAUCAUUAUUAGUUAUUUAUUUGUUCAUUUACAAAAUAUUUCCAUUGUAAUUCUCAUAAUUGUCAUUACAUUUCUACUCUUGAUUUGCCACAACAUUACUAGUUAUUUAUUAAUUCCACAUGUUGCUUACAUCAUUGCUCUACUAAUUGCCACUGUAUAUUUACCAUUGACUUUGUCAUAGCAUUAAUCGUAUUUUAUUAUAAUAACUUGACCAAUUUUGUGCCUCAAUCUGAUCCUCAUGGGAAUGAUACUCACUCAUCACUUUAUUUGUAACACCCCAAACCCGGCCUAGACAUUAUGGCCGAAUCUGGCGAUGUCACUUGGAAAAGAAUUUGAAGACCAGAUUGUCAAGUUUAAAAACCAUUACAGUAAGUUAGUUUUUAUUUAAUUUGAGAAAAAAACUAGUUGAUUUGCUUUAAAACUUGUCUCUUAGCGGACGCUUUUGUAACCAAUUAAUUUAGGGAAAAUCGUUUCUAUUUACCAAAAAACUUAGUUUUUAGGAAAAAAUCGUGUUUUGUGGAGUUGUAGUUUUUUUUAAAAACCCCAUAAAAAUAGUAUAAAGUCCCAAAUUUAAAACCAAUCAGUCCAUAGUCCAGAAGAUACAUCAAAAACUCAAAAUAAGUAAUAAAUUCUAGGCAUUAACGAAAAACAACCUAAAAUUUACGUGUGGCCACCAUCGAGUCCUCUGCUGCACCGAUCCGUCAAGUCUAGGGCUUACAUAUACAAAUUAAAUAGAGAAAGGGUGAGUUGUCGCAAACUCAGUGUUUAAUCCCCACAGAAAACAUGCAUAUAGAUAAUUAAAAGAAUUUAGUUAGAUACAGUCUGGGGCCUGUGCCCAUCACAGAAUCGGUUUGGGCCUUAGCCUAUUCAGAUAUAGUCUUUGAAAUACAUUAGGGCCUUGACCCAUAUCAGAUAUAGAAUGCAGAUACAGUAAAUCAGAAUCUUACCCACUAGCCUCUUCACACCAUCUCCAUCCAACCUUACACACCAUGUGGGGAUUAAAUCAACAAACCCAUCCCUACACACCAUGCUGUACCGAAAUGCGGCACAUAAUCAGAAGGUUGCAGCUGGGCUACCAGAUAACAUAAGUCAUGCUUGGUAUAGAAAUCAGACAGACAGAUCACACAUAUAAGGGUCUAAGUAAAGCUUAUCCACCCUAUAAUAGGUCCACAGUCAACUUGGGCGACCCGUGCAAAAUUACAGAACUUUUUGGAAAAAUGAGCUCACACGCCUAUGUGGCCUACUCGUCCCAAAUUGGCCUUGACCACGUGACACAUUUUUAAGGUAACCCGUGCUAGUUAAUUAUUCAUAUAUGUUUUCACUAUUUACCAAUAUGUUCCUUUAAAGUUGUCUACUUGAGUCACUGUUACUAAAUUAUUUAUAUCUUGAGGUACAGGAUUUCAAAUAAAGAUCCACUUGAUGUCUUUGAAACUAGAUUCAAAUACCUUUCUACUAUAAAAUUUUUAUAAUUUUUGGUUGAGCUAACAAGUAUAGUAAAAUCUUCAAACCUUCCCCUGUUCUAUUGUCUGACAACUUCAACCCUUCUUUGCUAAGAAUUAAUUAUCUCUUAGUACAAGAUUUGGAUAAUGUUUAUAUUUGUUUCUAUUGAAAAUAGACUCGUUAAUAAUUUAAAAAUGUAAAUUUUAAACCCCUAAUUAAUUUUCUCCAAUUUUUGAUGAUUUUUCAAAGUCAGAACAAGGGAACCUGAAUUCAUUCUCAUCUUGUCUCACGAAGUUUAUUAUACCUCACGAUUUACAAUUUCAUUACUUACAUCGUUUCUUCUAUGAGAAACUAGACUCAAUAAGAUUUAAUUCCAUAUUUUUUUCAUCCUCUAAUUCGAUUUCCACAAUUUAUGGCAAUUUUUCAAAGUUAACCUACUGCUGUUGUCCAAACAGCAAGCAAUUUUAGCUUUUCACCGAAUCCUUUUUUUUUUGCAUUUCGGGUACACACCUGGUUUUGUUUGUUGCUAAAACAGUCCCCGAGCACUCUAAAGCCACUAAUGAUAACCCUCUAUUUAAAUAUUGUUAAGACGAGAACACUGAAUUCACUAGUCUGAGCCUCCCCCUAUGCCCAAAUCACAUAGAAAAUACGUUACCACUUUAGUCGCUAAAAGAUUCAUGAUAGAAACGAAGAGAAACACUUACUGAAACUAAGCGAGCACUAACCUUGUGUGAAAAUGAAGGAAAAUAAAUGGAUUAGGGAAAAAUCAAGAAGAAGAAAAAGAAGAGAAAGAUGGAAAAACUUAGAGAAUUUUAGCAAGAGGAGAGGGAGAAGAAUAAACGGCAAAUAAAAUCCUAAUAACUCCCAAAAUCGCUUAAUCUUCUCCCCUAAUUCCCACUACACAUCCAUUACUCAUAAUCCCCCUAUUACAUAACUCUAUCCAAAAUCUGAGCAAAAAAAAACAUAAUACCCUUGUCUACAUAAGGAUUCAAACACAAGACCUCUACUAUAAUAACACACCAUUUAACCAGUAGACUAGUAGGCCCAUUCUAAUGUAAUUUACCCAACAAUCAAAUAAAAGCCUACUCAACAAAAGUAAGGCCUAAUUCAUUCAAAAUACCAAAAUUUUCCCAAGCAAAAGCUUGAACUUGGGACCUCCAAACACUCCCAGAACACAUAACUACUAAGCUAAAAGAUAUUUGUGUCAUAUUUUCACAAUAAUGAAAUUAGAAAUUUUGGGGCGUUACAUUAUUACUUGAUUCAACUCUUGCACAAAUCGCAUAUCAUUUCACACAUGACAGUGCUCAAUUGAACCCUUUAAGAUAUGAAAUCGAGCAAACUCAAUUAAUGGCUUUAAUCAACCCACCAAGAAAUAAUCAUUGGCAAAUUGAAGGAUGAUGAAUGAAUUCCCAUGACUCCUUAAAAAAUUUGAUAAGAAAACUACUUUUAAAAAUCACAAUAAAAAAAUCUUGCACAAAGAAACUAACUCUCAGAGUUGGUAAUUUUAGUAAUAAACAAAAACAAUUGCGUCUCUAAUGAACAUGAAGGGGCCUUUACAUAGGCUAGAUAAGUACAUCCAAAUAAAAUUGUCAAGUAUCUUGAAACUUUAAUUAAUGUAAGCAAGAAGUAAUUUUAAACUAAAAUAGUCAUAAUUUCCGUAAUAAUCCCGUCCAAAAAUUCUGCUCACAUAGUCAUCAUUAAAACUGUCAUCAUUUGAGCUCUUGAACUCAAAAUUGAGUGAAUAAAAGUGCGUUUCGAAGUUAAGUGAUAGAUCUUAGAACUCUAUGUAGACAUAUCAAUCGAAAAAUGUCUGGAUCCCAUCCAAAAAGUCACCGCAAGUUAACUAAUUUUUCAAGAUUAAAAUUUGGCAGCUUCGGUGAAUGGAAUUUAAUAAAGUUCACUCCAUCCAUUCAUGUAUCAACUUGCAUUGGUAACAAGUAAAAAGAAAAAAAUCUGUAGAGAAAAUAGUUGAAGAAUUUAUGAUAAUUUAUUCAGAUCUCCUUUUCUUCUAGUCUUUGCAAGCUUGAAGUUUCACUUGGUGUGAGAGAGUUGUUCCUUACCCUCUAAGUGAUUUUUUUCUUUUCCUUUCUCUUCGAUCUCGUCACCUAUGGGUGUUCAAACAAUUGAUUCAGUUAAUACCUGAACAAUACUAUCAUUAACUGAAAUUUUGAAACCCUUAAUCGUUAAUCAGACCAAUUUUUUUAAACUAUUAGCCAGCCGGAUUGAUUUCGGUUAAUUUGAGCGGUUAACCAGAAAUUAUACAUCGUUUAUUUUUGUUCAAACAAUUUUAAAACAAAGAACAAUCCAUGACAAUUGUUUCCUUGUUUUUUAUUGAAAAAAUUAAAAGAAUUAAAAAAAUAACAUAAUAACAACACUAAAUUAAAAACAUAAUAGCAUUCAUUACAUUAUAUAUAUAUAUAUAUAUAUAUAUAUUUACUUUUUCUUCACUUUUUAGUUUAAUUUUAUUUUUUUUCAAAUAUUUUUAGUUUUCAUAUUUUUGUUAAGCUUAUUAUAAGAAAACUUAUAAAUCCAUUAGUUUUUAUAUAUUUGGUUUGUAUAAUGUAUUGGACUUAUCUCUAAUAUAUUUGGCCUAUAAUAUACUUUUAUUGAUUUCGGUUAAUUAGUUGAUUUCAAACUAAACUAAUUGGAAAAUAAAAUCUUCAAAAACCUUUAACCAACUCCCAACUAAAUUAGAUUUGAUUGCUUAAUCAAAUUAAUUAGGUUUGAUAAACUAAUUCGUUAAAACCAAAAAAUGCACACCCUUAUCAUCACCUUUAUUUUUAGGGAUUUUAAUCAUGUUGCUCCACCUGAUGCAGAAGUUGAGGUGGAACGAACUGCUUGCUACCAAAAUUUAUGAAUUAUAGAGCAUGCUCCACCGUAUUGAAUCAAAUUCAGUGGAGUGGAAGACUUUUCUUCACUACUUUAUGCUCUAUGCUCCAAGUCUUCUAUUCUUUUUCAGAGACCUACAAUGGGAAAAUAAAAAAUAAGAAACAAGUCUGAAUUAACUUUGAAAAUUAGAAAUUUUCAACAAAAUUGAAAUAAAAUAUAAUUAAUCCAUAAAAACUAUAAAAUGCAAUAAAAACAAACCUAAAUACUAAAAUUACCUCCUAAAAUGCUAUGGAAACUAUACUAAAAUAACUCUAAAUAUGAUAGUUAUCAGAAGCGACUUGAAUAAGCCAAUCGAGUAGAUGAUUUCAACUAUUGCAAAUAGCAUCAGUCGAUUAACCAUCCUCUUGAGAAGAUCAUAGAGUUGAAAGAAAAAAUCAUACAAUUCCAUGAAGAAGAAAAAAUCAUGUUUGAAAAAGAAGUGGCAUUAUCAAACUUGACAUCAAUGCUUUGGUUUCUCAAUACAAUAUUAUGGACUGAUUCAUCAAAUUUGGCUCUUUCAAUCCUAUUACACUAGCUCUAAGUAGAAGUAAGAUGGUGAAUUUCGAAGGGAUUGGGGGCAAUCAUCUAUUUUUGGAAUAUCAGAAUGGUCAUGAUUGGACUCAAAGAAGCCAAUGAAAAGCAUCUCUCCUAGGUAUAAGCUUAUAUUGUCACAUUGCUCCUAAGCAUGAGCUUAAAUUGUUCAUCCUAAAUGAUGAUGCUCCUAAGCAUGAGCUUAAACUGUUCAUCUAAUGCUCCUAGAAGGAGCCUAAACUAUUCAACCCAAACGAUCAUGCUUUAAGCACAAUCUUAAACUAUUCAUAAAAAAUAAAUGAUGAUCCAAUGAAACACGAGCUUACACUAUUCAUACGAAAUAAAUGAUGACCUCCUAAGCAUGAAUUUAAAUUGUUCAUACAUAAUAAAUGAUGAUACUCCUAAACAUGAGCUUAAAUUGCAGUCCAAAAAAAAUUGAACAACAUUAUAACUUUAUCUUUUAAAAAUGAAGGUACGUAGAUAGCCUGGUUUCAUUGCCAAGUUCAGUCAUUGAAACAAAUUCUUGAAAGUAGGAAGCAAAUAAAAUUUCAAGACUUGUCCCCUUUCUACGCCCAACAAAAUUCAGAAUUCAUCAUUUGUUGUUACUGUUUAUCUCUAACUAAAUUAAUGAAAAGAGAAAUCAAGAAAUUAAAUCUUUUUAGAACUCUCUUAUAAAGAAAUCAUAUUCUUUAAGGAUUACUUUAUCUCUAAUUAAUUAAAUUAAUAAGAUAUGAAUAAUAAUAAUAAUAGAGUUUAAAAUCUUAUAGAACACUCAAAUGAAAAUGUUAAAUUCUACAAGAACUCUCUUAUAUUGAAGUGAUUGACACUCAAAUCAGUUUAAUCAGUCUUUGGAGCUAUUAACUGACUUUUUCACCAUUGAUUUGAAAAUCAUAACCCAUCAAUUCACUUUAAAUGAAACGAGAUCCACGAGUGUUUGGUGUUAUAUUUUUAAAAUGUAUUUACAUGAUUGUUUAUUAAUUUUAUUUGUUUAUAUUUAAAUCAAAUGUAAUAAAUUGUUGAAUUUAUAUACUUCUUCUUACAACAAUAUAUGGACUAUCUUCCUACUUCUCUUUUUAAUUUAAUUUUUUGUAACUCUUCACAAUUUAUUUUGAAAAACAUUAAAAAAACCUAAAUGAUUAAAUUAAGGCUCAACUUUUCACUAACCUUAGUUUAUUUAGUCUAACUUUUCACAAUUUAAUAUACUCAUUUCAUGUUUCAUACCAACAACUUUUCUUUUUGCUGAAAAGAAAAAGCAACUAUACUUUCUUUAAUCCCAAAAUUAAGGCUUUAUGAAUGAAAAUAAUAUUAUAUUAACUAUGAUAAUUAAGUUUUUAUUUUUAAUAUGAUUAAUAUUGUAUAUAAUAACUUUAAAUAUGCUUCCACUAAUGAGAUAUACUAAAGAAAAGAGUAACUUUCUUUUUAGGAUAACUAAUUUCCAAUUAAUCUAUCACUAAGUAAUUAAUUAAGUUAAUGUCACAAGUGAAUCGUACAUCAUAUACCAACUCAAUUGGAAAAUGUCUUUAAAUUAUUUUUAAAUUGUAACAAAUAUUAUUAUUAAGAUGUUUUUCUUUUUAUAUUUUCUAUAAAAUAUAUUAAAAAACAAUUAGAAUAAUUUUAAGAGAAAAAAACUCAUACACGGUAGAAUUUAAUCUAAAGAUAUCAAAGUUUUAAAGCCUCAACUUUAACCUUUCAACCGAAAUUCCAUUAGUAUAUAAAUAUUUUAUAAAUAUAGAUUUUAUAUAAAAAAGUUUAUGUAAACUUUGUUUUAACCCGCAUCACAAGUAUACCAUAUUUAGAGAUAUUCAUAGCUAGGCAGUCCACUUUGGGUCAAGAAGUUUGUAGUUAGGCAGCCCACUUUGGGUCAAGAAGUUUGUAGUUAGGCAGCCCACUUUGGGACAGGAUUCAGCUUACGUUUUUAAUCUUGGGCUUUAAAAAUAAUGUUCUAUUAAUAUUUAUAAAUUUUAUAAAUUUAAAUUUAAUUAUAUUUUUUAAACAGUAAAAUCAACCAUUUAUAUGGGCUAAAUUGAGUUAAGUUCGGUUUGCAUCAAGCCUUAACUUUGACCAAAUCCAACUAAAAACACCUCUAACCAUAAUCUACUAUUGUUUUUAUGCAUUGAAUUUUAACUUGUAAUUUUCAAUUUUAUUACAAAAUUUCUUUGCCUACAAUAAGAAAAUAACAUAUUUGUAACUUCUCCAAUCCGGCGUAAACGUUCAGUCUGAAUUCGAAAGAUUACAUUAGCUAUAAUGAUGGCCUAGUAGGGUUAUCGAAGUUUUUGAAAAUAGACAUCUUUAAAACAUUUGUUUAAUUUAGUAAAAAACUUAUUUAAUUUCUAAAUUAUUUAUUACUUGAAAUCUUAAUUACACUUUAAAAGCAGGAAGUGGUAACUAUUUAUUUUUAAUAAAAAUUGGGGUUCAUGUAUAAUUGAUUAAUAACCAUAAUUCGAAAACAAUAAAACUUAAAUUAAAUGUCAUGCAAAAUAAAACAAGCUUAAAUCUAAAUCUCAUGCCACAGUUCAAUAUAAUUUAUUGUAGUCUUCGAAAAUAAAAUAAAUCAAAUAAUCAACCUAAAAUAAGUUUUGCAAUUUAACAAUAUGUCGAGACCUUCCAAAUGUCACUUCCGCGUCCUAUCCUGGAGGGUUAUCUGUAAGGAUGAAAACCUUCCAGGUGCGGCGCUACGGCAGCAACCAUGGCCGAAGGCCUAGGCCAGAUUUUGGGGAGGUGUUGAGGUUUGAGAGAAUUUUGUUUGAUUUUUUUAGAGGAAAGGAGAAAAUGAAGGAUUUAAAAAAAAAUUGCUUUUAUAGCAUUAAGAAACAGCGCCGUUUUGAUCUUAGGGUUCAGAGGCCAAAAUGACGUCGUUUUGACCUUUAACCCGUGACCCGACCCAGUAGCCCACGAGAUCCGAGUGUUUUUGUGGUGAAUGAGCUAUUUCCGGGCAGGGUCCCUCAGCUUUUGCGCCGUGAUGCAAUCUGGUCCCUUCGUUUCUUUUAUUUUGGCCCCAUAAAUUUUAUACUUGUUUCAUUUUGGUCCGCGCUGAAACGUUGUGCUUUAGGGCUGGGAAUAUUGCCAGUCAAUCCCUAAUUUCUUAAGUGCUUUCCACUUCAGUCCCUAGCCACCCCCUUUUUAUUUAUUUGCAAUUUAAGCCUUUAAUUUUGGGGUCUAUUUUCAAAUUAGUCCUUAGCCUGUUUAAUUCUAAUUUUUUUAUUUAAAAAAAUAGAUUUGUCUAAUAUUUCACUUAAUAGUUAUUUAUUUACUUAUUUUCAAUUAUAAAUCAAACUUACAUUAGUAUUUAUUUAUUUAUCUAUCUAUCUGUUUAUUUAUUUAUUUAUUGGCUUGUUCAUCUUAUUUGUGCCAUUAUUAUUACUAUCAUUCCAUCAUCUAUUUAUGUGCUAAUUUUCAAAUAUUUUCAAAAUUUAGAUUCAUUAGUAUUAUAUUUAUUGUUGUUGUUAUUAUCGUUAUUGUUGUAUUGUUACUUGCACUAUUAUUAUUCAUGCAUGUUAACAUUAAGAUUUAUUAGUAUCAAUGCUAUAUGUGUAUUUUAUGAUGCAUAGUAUGUCAUGAUUAUUUUAAAUGCAUAUCGUAUUAUCGUUAUUAGUCAUGUACGACUCCUCUUUUUAAAAACGAUUUCUUUUCGAAUAUAAUCAAAGUUGCAUGCGUACUAUUUUUAAAUAUUCUAUUAGUGCUCACUUAAAUUCAAAAAAAAAAUCAAAGAGAGGCGAUACUUUGCAUUUUGGCAAUUUGAGAAACUGUACCCUAACUUACGGGGGUUCGGCUUUCUCGUUAAACCUAAAUAGCAAAAUAUCCUUUUAAAACUGCAAAAUACGAAUUUUCAAUAAAAAUUAAAGACGAGUUUAUUCUCUAAGGUUCUAAAUAUCGUGUCCUAACUUACGUGACGUGGUAUUUCGUUACCUUGGGACGAGUGGAUCUUUAACUCUCUUCUCGAUUUAUUCAUGCAAUUUUUAAUGGCAUUAAUAAAAAAGGAUCGUAUUUUAAAUUUCCCUUCGAAUUUUUAACUUUCAACAUUAAGACAUUAAGUAAUCAACUAGGUACCGAUUUUGGGCGUAUUGAGGGUGCUAAUCCUUCCUCGUGUGUAACCGACUCCCGAACCCAUUUUCUGGAUUUUUGUCAACCGAAAAAUUUUGUUUUAGUAAAUCAAACCUUUUAUUUAAAAAAAUUCAAUUACGAGGUGAUCAAAUCACACCUCACAAAAAAAAAGAUUGGUGGCGACUCCUGUGUUCGUUUUCAUUUACAAAAUUAAAGUCGACAAAAAAAAUAGUUUCGACACUACGGAUAUGAACCUUCAAGCUUUUGUGGAUAAUGUUACAGAAGGUUGUUGCAAAAAAUAUUUUUUUAUUCUUUUAUGUGGCAUGCCACAUUAUCAUAUUAUCAUGUGACAACUUCGGGUGAUUUCUAUCCGUAACCGUUUUUGUUAAAUGAAGAGGUCAAUUGAUUUUUUUGGAAUCAUUGAGUACUCAAUUGGUGCACUUUUUUCAUAAAGGCUAAAUUAAUUUGUUACUGUUGAGGGCUAUAGCAAUAAAAAAAUUUGAGGUAAAAUGAAAAAAAUGUUAGAGCUAAAUUUGUCAUUAUGCCUAAAAUGUAAAACCAAAAUUUUUUGAAAAUGAAAAAAAAAAUUGGAAAUCACAAAUUCUAUCACUUAUGUUUGCUUAAAAUUAUAGUUUUAGUNNNNNNNNNNNNNNNNNNNNNNNNNNNNNNNNNNNNNNNNNNNNNNNNNNNNNNNNNNNNNNNNNNNNNNNNNNNNNNNNNNNNNNNNNNNNNNNNNNNNNNNNNNNNNNNNNNNNNNNNNNNNNNNNNNNNNNNNNNNNNNNNNNNNNNNNNNNNNNNNNNNNNNNNNNNNNNNNNNNNNNNNNNNNNNNNNNNNNNNNNNNNNNNNNNNNNNNNNNNNNNNNNNNNNNNNNNNNNNNNNNNNNNNNNNNNNNNNNNNNNNNNNNNNNNNNNNNNNNNNNNNNNNNNNNNNNNNNNNNNNNNNNNNNNNNNNNNNNNNNNNNNNNNNNNNNNNNNNNNNNNNNNNNNNNNNNNNNNNNNNNNNNNNNNNNNNNNNNNNNNNNNNNNNNNNNNNNNNNNNNNNNNNNNNNNNNNNNNNNNNNNNNNNNNNNNNNNNNNNNNNNNNNNNNNNNNNNNNNNNNNNNNNNNNNNNNNNNNNNNNNNNNNNNNNNNNNNNNNNNNNNNNNNNNNNNNNNNNNNNNNNNNNNNNNNNNNNNNNNNNNNNNUCAAAAAAAAAUCAUGUUUUUACAAAUUAGGAAAUACCUAAAUUGUUUCAUCAAUUAAGAAAUAAAAAAAUUGUUGAGAAAUAUCUUUUAGAAAUAUCAUAAUUGCAUUUAAGACCUCAUGAUUAUCUUUUAUAAUUUCAAGGUUAUCAACUAUUUUGAAAACAAAGACAAAAACAGAAACAAAAACGUCGACAUAUCACUUUAGCAUUGACUUACUUUUCUACUCUUAGUCUUCUCCAACAAGUUAAAUAUUUCAAUUUUAACAAUAUUGACAGGUCUUUGGGGUAGGGUCGAGCAAAACUCAAUAGAAACAGAUGAUAUAGGUUGAGUUGGCUCAGUCAAGCCCAUGUCCCUCGCUACACGCCCCUGGUAAAAUCAAUUUUAAAAUUAAUUAUAAUAGUUUAAGCGAAUUGAUUAUUGAGUAAUGAAAUACUUAAUUCAACCAAUUGAUGUAAUCAAAUUAUAAUAAAUAUAUAUUUACUUUUAUGAUACCCUUCGUCUUCUUUUUAGAGUUUGUGGCAAUAUUUUUUUUAUGCUUCAAAUUUAUAUUUUUUUAUUUAUGAGUACAAUGUGUCUUACAAUUACAUCUGCAAUUUAUAUUUUUUAUUUGAAAACAUAUAUUAUAAUAUAUGAAAAACAUAUAUAUAACCAGAUUUUGUCACACCCAUUUUAUGUUAAAAAUAUUUUCAUUUAAAUUGAGUAUAGGUUGGGUGGUAAUGUACUUAUAUUUUAAUACUAGUAAAUACGUGUUCAAUCUUUAGAUUUAUAAUUUAUAAUUCUUUUAAUUAAAGAUGAUAUACAAGUAUGAAAAGACAAAAGUGACAUAGUAAUAAUAUUAAUUAUUAAUUUUAUAAUUUCAUAAUUGAAUUGAUGGCAUGGUUGAAGGUGACACUAACUCUAAAACACUUAAAUAUAAUAAUAGCUUAAAAAUGAGGGGCUUUUGGUAAAUACAAGACUGAGUUGGUGACCUGAUUGAGGGUCACACCAACUCAAUAAAACUCUUAAAUAUUGACUACAAAUCCUAUCACACACUUAUGUGUCUAAAAACCACAAAUUUAGAACACAAAGAUGUGUUUAAAAUUAACAUACAAUAAAGAAUGAAAUUUAUGGUUUGAAACUAAUUAGUAAUAACACAUGAAAUAUGUAUGAUAUCAAAAUUGAAAAAAAAGAGAAUAAAUUGUGCAUAAAACAAAANNNNNNNNNNNNNNNNNNNNNNNNNNNNNNNNNNNNNNNNNNNNNNNNNNNNNNNNNNNNNNNNNNNNNNNNNNNNNNNNNNNNNNNNNNNNNNNNNNNNACCCUCGCCAAUUAUCUGUCAUUAAGAACAUUAAAGUAUCCUUGAAUGAUAUAACUUAUUCUAAAUAGAGUUGAUGUAUGGUUGGCUUGGGAUACCAACUCAGUCAGGGGCUUAAGAUUAUUAAAAUAUUCUUAUUUUAAAGGGAAAUUAAUAUUAUUAUAAGUGUAUUUUCACCUUUUCAUACUUUGAUAUAAUCUUCAAGUAAAACGAUUGAAAAAUAUUAUUUGAGAACACAAGACUAAAAAAAUUCAUAUAGAAAACGCUUACCACUCCACUAAUAAUCAUUUGUCAAUGUAUUUUUGGUAAAAAGACCUCUCCAAUCCCUCUUAAUUUAACAAUUGCACAAAUUAGUCCCUCUCAAAAAAAUUGGAGUAAUUUAAUUCCUAUCAAUUUUGAAAGCGAGUAACUAAGGAUAAUUAAUUAUGGUGUUAAAUUCUUCCAUCAAUUGUACAUAAUUUUGAUUGGUAUAGUAAUAAAUUUAGCCUGCAAUGUUUAUAUAUUUUGUCAUUUUGGUCUUAAUUUUUAAAAAAAUUUCAAGAAAUUCAACCUCAACAUUUACAUAUUUACACAAACAUUGCGGGAUAAUUUUGUUAAAGUAAAACCGGCUAAUAAAUUUAUUAUUAUACCAAACAAAAUCAUGUACAUUUUAUGGAAAAUUAACAUCCUGAUUAAUUAUUCUUAGUUACUCAUUUUCAAAAUUAAUAGGGACUAAAUUGCUCUGUUUUUUUGGGGUGACCAAUUUCCUCAAUUUGGAAAUUGAGAGAGACUAUUGAGAUCUUUUACAUAUUUUUUUAUAAAUAUACUUUUUUAAUAUAAAAUAUAUUUGUUCACACAUCGUGAGUAUGAUAAAAUAUGUUUAUGGUUGAUUGAGUUGGUGUCAAAAAUUAACUUGACACAAACUCAAGAUUAAUAAUAACAAUAUGAUAAAUAAUUUAUUUAUUUAAUAUUCUUAAUUUAAGAUAUUGAUGUAAAUUUUAAGAGAUGCAUGUCUUGUAGAAUUGUAAUUAUACUUUUUGAGUAUUGACUCAGUUUUCCACAAUUGUGGGUCUCUAUUUGAGCAAAACAAUUUAAGCAUUUCUUCAUCUCGCUUAAUCCAAAUGCAUUUAGGAUGUUCUUAUAUCACUGUUUCAAAAACGGUAAAAAAAAAAUGUNNNNNNNNNNNNNNNNNNNNNNNNNNNNNNNNNNNNNNNNNNNNNNNNNNNNNNNNNNNNNNNNNNNNNNNNNNNNNNNNNNNNNNNNNNNNNNNNNNNNNNNNNNNNNNNNNNNNNNNNNNNNNNNNNNNNNNNNNNNNNNNNNNNNNNNNNNNNNNNNNNNNNNNNNNNNNNNNNNNNNNNNNNNNNNNNNNNNNNNNNNNNNNNNNNNNNNNNNNNNNNNNNNNNNNNNNNNNNNNNNNNNNNNNNNNNNNNNNNNNNNNNNNNNNNNNNNNNNNNNNNNNNNNNNNNNNNNNNNNNNNNNNNNNNNNNNNNNNNNNNNNNNNNNNNNNNNNNNNNNNNNNNNNNNNNNNNNNNNNNNNNNNNNNNNNNNNNNNNNNNNNNNNNNNNNNNNNNNNNNNNNNNNNNNNNNNNNNNNNNNNNNNNNNNNNNNNNNNNNNNNNNNNNNNNNNNNNNNNNNNNNNNNNNNNNNNNNNNNNNNNNNNNNNNNNNNNNNNNNNNNNNNNNNNNNNNNNNNNNNNNNNNNNNNNNNNNNNNNNNNNNNNNNNNNNNNNNNNNNNNNNNNNNNNNNNNNNNNNNNNNNNNNNNNNNNNNNNNNNNNNNNNNNNNNNNNNNNNNNNNNNNNNNNNNNNNNNNNNNNNNNNNNNNNNNNNNNNNNNNNNNNNNNNNNNNNNNNNNNNNNNNNNNNNNNNNNNNNNNNNNNNNNNNNNNNNNNNNNNNNNNNNNNNNNNNNNNNNNNNNNNNNNNNNNNNNNNNNNNNNNNNNNNNNNNNNNNNNNNNNNNNNNNNNNNNNNNNNNNNNNNNNNNNNNNNNNNNNNNNNNNNNNNNNNNNNNNNNNNNNNNNNNNNNNNNNNNNNNNNNNNNNNNNNNNNNNNNNNNCUCAAAUGUUGUAUAUCAGGUUAUGUGUUUUACUCUAAACAUAUCAGUAUUUACUAUUUUUUCUACAAAUUGGGUUGAAGUGCAUGAAAAAUUUUAUUUUAGCACUUUUGUAAAGGUUAAACUCUUAUUUGACAAUUUUGAAAGGUUUGAUCCUUAUGUGAGCAACCUUUAAAAGAUUGAGCACUAAUUUAACAAGUUGAGAAAUACCUAAAUUUGUUUUCAUGAAUCAAGAAAUUAAAAAAAAAAAACAUGUUGAGAAAUAUUUUAGAGAUUCUUAGCCUUGACAAGUUCCCUCCACCAUCUCCCUGCCUCCAGUCCCACCUCUUCUCUUAUGCUCCUUCCAGGUUCUUGCUUUUUGUGUGUUGAAAAUUCGACGGAACAAAAUAUCAACCUACAUCAUAAGGCACGAAGGCCAGAACUUUACUUUCUAGCCCGUCCGAUCCAAUGAAAGAAGAACAAAGAGUCUUGAUAUCUGACAACUUUAUUUCAUUUUCAUUUUCUUUGUUAUUUUCUAUGUUUCAUGUCAAAUACAAUGGAAGAAGAACAUAGAAAAAUGUUGCCUAUUUAUUUCCCAAUCAUCAUGAAAUUACUUGCCAUAGACUUAGAAUUUUCUCACCAAUUUUCAAGCAAUCUGACAUGAUUUCUCAAUCACAAUUAAUUGAAUUCAAGAUCUUUUUGGAUGACACAAACAUUUCAAUUUUAACACAAACCAAUAUUUAGGUUAUACUUCAGUGCUUGACAAGCACUUUCACAUUUGUGGGAUAAUAACUCUAGCAUUUUAGGAUCACAAUUAAUUCAAUUGCAUUUAAGACCUCAUGAUUUUAUUCUAUAAUUUGAGUCUUAUCAACCUUUUGGGAAAUAAUAAAACAUCGACAUUAAACAUUGUUGUUGAUGCAUUCAAUUUGAUUUUUUGAGGGGUCGUUGGAGUUGUAUGUGAAUUUAGCAUUGAUUGACUUUUUUAGAAUUAAUCUUUUAUACCAAUUUAAUAACAUCGACAUGUUUUUGGGUAGGUCGAGCAAAACCCAAUUAAAACCGAUGAUAUUGGUUUAGUUGACUCGGUCAAGUCCAUUAGAUGGAGAAAAUCAAUUUUAAAAUCAGUUAUAAUGNNNNNNNNNNNNNNNNNNNNNNNNNNNNNNNNNNNNNNNNNNNNNNNNNNNNNNNNNNNNNNNNNNNNNNNNNNNNNNNNNNNNNNNNNNNNNNNNNNNNNNNNNNNNNNNNNNNNNNNNNNNNNNNNNNNNNNNNNNNNNNNNNNNNNNNNNNNNNNNNNNNNNNNNNNNNNNNNNNNNNNNNNNNNNNNNNNNNNNNNNNNNNNNNNNNNNNNNNNNNNNNNNNNNNNNNNNNNNNNNNNNNNNNNNNNNNNNNNNNNNNNNNNNNNNNNNNNNNNNNNNNNNNNNNNNNNNNNNNNNNNNNNNNNNNNNNNNNNNNNNNNNNNNNNNNNNNNNNNNNNNNNNNNNNNNNNNNNNNNNNNNNNNNNNNNNNNNNNNNNNNNNNNNNNNNNNNNNNNNNNNNNNNNNNNNNNNNNNNNNNNNNNNNNNNNNNNNNNNNNNNNNNNNNNNNNNNNNNNNNNNNNNNNNNNNNNNNNNNNNNNNNNNNNNNNNNNNNNNNNNNNNNNNNNNNNNNNNNNNNNNNNNNNNNNNNNNNNNNNNNNNNNNNNNNNNNNNNNNNNNNNNNNNNNNNNNNNNNNNNNNNNNNNNNNNNNNNNNNNNNNNNNNNNNNNNNNNNNNNNNNNNNNNNNNNNNNNNNNNNNNNNNNNNNNNNNNNNNNNNNNNNNNNNNNNNNNNNNNNNNNNNNNNNNNNNNNNNNNNNNNNNNNNNNNNNNNNNNNNNNNNNNNNNNNNNNNNNNNNNNNNNNNNNNNNNNNNNNNNNNNNNNNNNNNNNNNNNNNNNNNNNNNNNNNNNNNNNNNNNNNNNNNNNNNNNNNNNNNNNNNNNNNNNNNNNNNNNNNNNNNNNNNNNNNNNNNNNNNNNNNNNNNNNNNNNNNNNNNNNNNNNNNNNNNNNNNNNNNNNNNNNNNNNNNNNNNNNNNNNNNNNNNNNNNNNNNNNNNNNNNNNNNNNNNNNNNNNNNNNNNNNNNNNNNNNNNNNNNNNNNNNNNNNNNNNNNNNNNNNNNNNNNNNNNNNNNNNNNNNNNNNNNNNNNNNNNNNNNNNNNNNNNNNNNNNNNNNNNNNNNNNNNNNNNNNNNNNNNNNNNNNNNNNNNNNNNNNNNNNNNNNNNNNNNNNNNNNNNNNNNNNNNNNNNNNNNNNNNNNNNNNNNNNNNNNNNNNNNNNNNNNNNNNNNNNNNNNNNNNNNNNNNNNNNNNNNNNNNNNNNNNNNNNNNNNNNNNNNNNNNNNNNNNNNNNNNNNNNNNNNNNNNNNNNNNNNNNNNNNNNNNNNNNNNNNNNNNNNNNNNNNNNNNNNNNNNNNNNNNNNNNNNNNNNNNNNNNNNNNNNNNNNNNNNNNNNNNNNNNNNNNNNNNNNNNNNNNNNNNNNNNNNNNNNNNNNNNNNNNNNNNNNNNNNNNNNNNNNNNNNNNNNNNNNNNNNNNNNNNNNNNNNNNNNNNNNNNNNNNNNNNNNNNNNNNNNNNNNNNNNNNNNNNNNNNNNNNNNNNNNNNNNNNNNNNNNNNNNNNNNNNNNNNNNNNNNNNNNNNNNNNNNNNNNNNNNNNNNNNNNNNNNNNNNNNNNNNNNNNNNNNNNNNNNNNNNNNNNNNNNNNNNNNNNNNNNNNNNNNNNNNNNNNNNNNNNNNNNNNNNNNNNNNNNNNNNNNNNNNNNNNNNNNNNNNNNNNNNNNNNNNNNNNNNNNNNNNNNNNNNNNNNNNNNNNNNNNNNNNNNNNNNNNNNNNNNNNNNNNNNNNNNNNNNNNNNNNNNNNNNNNNNNNNNNNNNNNNNNNNNNNNNNNNNNNNNNNNNNNNNNNNNNNNNNNNNNNNNNNNNNNNNNNNNCUGAAGCAGAUUUUCAUCAAGUUUGAAGAUUCCCAGUUGAUUUCUUAAGAGAUUAUCAUGAGUUUCUUUAUUUCUUUCGGUUAUACUACCCUUUGGAUGUUUUUAUUUUUAAGCAUGAACUAAUUUUCUAAAUACCUAAGAGAGAUGAACCCUAUGAUAGAUUGUGACACCCCAAACCAAACCGGGAUAGACCAGCCCGAAUUCGAAGCAUUACAUUAGCCACCUAAGUGACUCUCCAGCUAACGACCACCCAAGACACACCUCGACCUUAUAACACCUCAAUCUUAUCUAAUUACUAGUUAUUUAUUAAUGAAAAAGUAAAUUAUGAGCCAAUUUUAAACUUUUCCUAGGUAAUUUAACCUAAGGGUAUUUUUGUUAUUUUACCACCUAAUGUAAAACAAACCCGAUUUUAGAUCUAAGUGUUUACCAACCUUCUUUUAGUCAAAUUAUACAAGCCUAAAAUUUUCAACUUAAUUUGAGUCUGUUUACUAUGUCUAAUUCAAGUUUUAUUAUUAAGGACUAAAUUGUAACUUAAACAAAUUAAAAUACCAAUUUAAAGAGACAAAAAUUCAAAACCCCAAAACCCACACAGGCAUGUGGGUAAGUGACAAGGGCGUGUGGAGACUAGAGCUAUCACACACUGGCGUGUGGGAUUGAAAAAUAUGAAAUAAAUUACUCCACUCAAUUUUCCAACAACCAUACUAUACUACCAAACCAAAAAAAAGGCUUGAAGUUUUGAAUAGGGGUGAAUCUAAAAAAAAAUUUAGAAGAAUUAGAAUUAAAUUAUAAAAUUUUGAGAAGUUAAAAUAUAAUUUUAUCAUAUAUUAAAUUAUUAUUUUUUAAAGGGUCCUAAUAUAAUUUUUUCCCAUUUUGGUUGGGCCAAUACCCCUGCAUGUGUCUUUAAAUUUGCUCCAACCCUAAACCCAAUAUUCGAUUUUGAUUAACAACAAUAUAUAGGUUAGUAUUUGUGGGAGUUUGACGAAUAAAAAUUUCUUUUUUAGAGGUUUAAAUUAUAAAUUUUUGAAAGAUUAAAAUAAAUUUGUAUUUUUUUAUUUACAAAAUAUAAAAAGAAAAAACAUGUUUAGACAAGCCAAGAGACCUUUGGGAUCAUACGGGUGAUUUUGAGAUGUUAAUGGUUAUUUUGGUGGAGAGGGUAAAAAAGAAACAAAUGAUUCAUUAUAUAUAAUAUAAUUAUGAAAUUCAAGCCAUAUAUUGUAUGUUUCAUCCAUAAAAAUUUCAUGGAAGGUCCAAAGGUAAUUAAAUGACUUGUAGGCUUGCUGAAUUUCUUUGAAAGGCCCAAAGGCAAUUUAACAUUCACAAAAUAAUCUCUAAAUACUGUAAAGACAAAUCAAAUCCACAGUAGCAUAAGAGUUGAUUAAGCUAAGCAUUGGCAAAUAUUACUUUGAUUUUGCAUGCAAUAUUGACAAAACCCCCUCCUACAUUAGAAAAACAACAUAAUCCAUGGAACAUUGAUAGCCCAAUACAAAUUUAUUCGAGAAAAAAGUCUCUUUGUUUUGUAGAACAUGAUAGUAAAGAUGUGGAGUUUCGUUCUUCUUAUUGGCCUCCUUUAGUUUUCCUUGAUCAACAACCACUAGCCAAAAACACAAUUAGAUUAGAUUAUGAAUGAUACUUUCAACUAUGACAAUAUUAAAUACAAACCACUCUAAAUAACUUUAAAUAAAUGGAAAGCAGCAAAUUACCUGACCAGGCAAGCUAAUUCAAUUAAGACCAUUGUGUUAUACUUGUCUCUGAAUUGAAAAAUUUAGAAGGAAAUAAAGAGAAAGACUUAGAAAAUACUUGAAAACAGAUAAAACUUAUAUGUCAUUUAAAAUAAAAUAAAAAAUUCUAUUUAAGCCAUUUAAAAUUUUUAAGAUUUUUAAAAUUUUAAAAUGAGAAAAGUAAAAUUGUACUUUGGCACCCAAAAAUGAUAAAACUUUGAUUUAAUUCUUUAGAAAUUAUAAAAAAUAUAGGCUAUUAAAAUGGUGAAAUUACAUUUUUACUAUAGUAAAAAUUACAAUUUAAUUUCACCCCCUAAAAGGAUUUUCUGGCUUUGCCACUAAUAAAAUCUUUGGCAAAAGAUUAAAAUAAAAUUAUACCGUAAAUGGAAAAAGAAACUAAGAAAAUCCAAUCUAACAAGGAAAAUAACUUGAUGUCCAAAAGCUACCAUAAAUCGUAAUUCAUGGGAAGGCUUGUUGCUUAUUUUAUUGGUUUCCAUUUUGAUUUUGCAAAAGAAGUUUGAAUUUUGAAGAGAGCCUACUACGUGAGAGCAAAAGAAAAAAAAUAGUUUAUAUGAUUAAAUUCCAGAAUAGAUGAAAAAUGUUGAAUAAAAGAUAAAAUUAAGUGUGAAUUAAUAACCACAAUCUUUACUCACCAUCUCUGUUAACAAUGUUGGAUGUUGUUUACCAACCUUUGUUUGAUUUUCUUCAGCUCAACCACAACAUCUGCAAUUUCUAUCGCUCCUUUAGGCAAUGAACUUUCCAUCCAAUGCCUUAUAGUCUCUUCUUCAACAAAAACAUUAUCAGUUGGCUUUUUCUUUGUGAAAGUUUCUAUAAGGACGAUCCCAUAACUAUAGACGUCAGAUUUUAUAGAAACAAUUCCUGCUGAUCCAAAUUCUGCAUUUCAAGUAUAAUUAUAACAUCAUUCAUCCUCAAUUAUUUCUAAAAUGCUUNNNNNNNNNNNNNNNNNNNNNNNNNNNNNNNNNNNNNNNNNNNNNNNNNNNNNNNNNNNNNNNNNNNNNNNNNNNNNNNNNNNNNNNNNNNNNNNNNNNNNNNNNNNNNNNNNNNNNNNNNNNNNNNNNNNNNNNNNNNNNNNNNNNNNNNNNNNNNNNNNNNNNNNNNNNNNNNNNNNNNNNNNNNNNNNNNNNNNNNNNNNNNNNNNNNNNNNNNNNNNNNNNNNNNNNNNNNNNNNNNNNNNNNNNNNNNNNNNNNNNNNNNNNNNNNNNNNNNNNNNNNNNNNNNNNNNNNNNNNNNNNNNNNNNNNNNNNNNNNNNNNNNNNNNNNNNNNNNNNNNNNNNNNNNNNNNNNNNNNNNNNNNNNNNNNNNNNNNNNNNNNNNNNNNNNNNNNNNNNNNNNNNNNNNNNNNNNNNNNNNNNNNNNNNNNNNNNNNNNNNNNNNNNNNNNNNNNNNNNNNNNNNNNNNNNNNNNNNNNNNNNNNNNNNNNNNNNNNNNNNNNNNNNNNNNNNNNNNNNNNNNNNNNNNNNNNNNNNNNNNNNNNNNNNNNNNNNNNNNNNNNNNNNNNNNNNNNNNNNNNNNNNNNNNNNNNNNNNNNNNNNNNNNNNNNNNNNNNNNNNNNNNNNNNNNNNNNNNNNNNNNNNNNNNNNNNNNNNNNNNNNNNNNNNNNNNNNNNNNNNNNNNNNNNNNNNNNNNNNNNNNNNNNNNNNNNNNNNNNNNNNNNNNNNNNNNNNNNNNNNNNNNNNNNNNNNNNNNNNNNNNNNNNNNNNNNNNNNNNNNNNNNNNNNNNNNNNNNNNNNNNNNNNNNNNNNNNNNNNNNNNNNNNNNNNNNNNNNNNNNNNNNNNNNNNNNNNNNNNNNNNNNNNNNNNNNNNNNNNNNNNNNNNNNNNNNNNNNNNNNNNNNNNNNNNNNNNNNNNNNNNNNNNNNNNNNNNNNNNNNNNNNNNNNNNNNNNNNNNNNNNNNNNNNNNNNNNNCUAGGUGGACCACAAAGUGCAUAAUUCUUCAUGAAUGAUGUGCUAGAAAAGUUUGAAAAACAUCCUUUGCUAGGAAUUUCCCCUUCAAGUCUAUUGAAAGACACAUUAAAAUACUUUAGAUGUAGAAGCUUUUCCAAAGAUUUGGGAAUGACUCCAGAGAGAUUGUUAUUGCAUAAAUCCAAGAAUUCCAGACUAAUCAACCUAUCAAAUGAUUCAGGGAUAUGACCAUGUCGUAUAUUAUUUGAUAAAUCUAAUGAAACCAAUGUUUGAAGACCCCCAAAUGUGGAUAAGAUAUCGCCCGUGAGAAGAUUCCUUGAUAAAUUUAGUUUCAGUAGACUCCUCAAAUUUCCAACAUCAAUAGCAUGAGAAUUGUGAAGAUGGUUUGAUGAUAAAUCUAUUUCUAAGAUAUCUUUAAGAUUCCACAAAGUUGAGGGUAUUGUAGAACUCAAUUUGUUGGAUUCUAAGCAAAGAUAUCUCAAAGCAGAAAUAUUACCUAAACAAGAGGGUAUGGAUCCAUGCAGCUUAUUCAACCCUAAACACAUCUCGUAUAGUCUCUCCAAACCACAGAGGCUUUCUGAGAUAGGCCCUCCUAAUUUAUUACUGUAAAAAGUUAGACUUUGGAGAUUUCUCAUUCCUCCUAUUGAUGCUGGAAUCAAUCCACUUAAUUUAUUAUUGCCAAGUUGUAAAAGCAAUAGGCUGGUUAAGUUACCUAUUUCCAUAGGAAUAAUGCCUUGAAGCUCACACUUACCGGCAUAAAAGAAUUGAAGAGAUUUUGAAAGGUUCCCGAUAGAAGUAGGAAGAACGCCACUCAAUGGAUUUCCUGAAACUGAUAUGGUUUUCAAAUUCUUACAAUUCGUCAAAGAAGAAAGAAAGCUCCACUCAUGAUCAGUAGCAGAUCCCGUGAUCAAAUUAUUGUCAAAGAUUUUGAGCACUUCAAGGUGUUUUAAGCUGCCAAGCAUUUUAGGGAUUGGGCCAGAGAAUAAGUUUUGUGACAAUUCUAGUUGCUUAAGCAUGGAAGCAUUGGAGAUAGAGUUGGGAAUGUUUCCGCAAAGUUUAUUUCCCCACAAUAAAAGAAUCUCAAGCUUUGGAGCAUUGGUGAUGGGUGGUAAAUUACCUGUAAAAUAGCAUCUUUUAAUAUACAUAUUCAUUGAAUACCAAAUUCACAAAAUAUAUAAUACAUUAAAAUAAAAACUGUAAAACUUUAAAUCAAUUAAGAAUAAAAUUUUGGCAUGGAAAAAUGUGAUUUGUAAAUCAAUUAAGAAUAAAGUUGAGACAUAAUAAGAAGUUUUGAGUAGUAAUUAGUCCUUGUGAUUUCUAUAGAAAAAACAUAUAAUAUACUAAUAAUUUUUUAAAAUAUUGUAAAACUUGAAAUAAAAUAAAAAUAAAAGUUUGGCAUGAGAUUGUUAAAUCCUUUAUUUUCCCUAAAUAAUUAGUUAUGCUUUGGGAAACAAAAAUGUUAAAUCCUUUAUUAUAUUAUUUGGUUGUGCAACUUUUCUCUAUCUUUUAAGUAAUAUGUAUUGAAAAUUAAAAAGAAUUUUAUAUUGUAAACAUCUAAAAGUAAAUAAAAAUGCUCAAUAAAAAAAAAAGGAGAAAGGAAAACACCAGAGGUGGAAAUACGAUGUAAGUUCGGACACUCAAACUGCACCAACACUAUCCAUAUGUGAUACGUAUAAGCCAUUGUUUUUAAUGUAAACUGGUAUGAUUUUUAUCUAUUGGGUUAAUUAUUUAUUUUUAUUAAAUCAUAGUGUAAAAUUUAAAGAUAAAUUAUAUGUGUCUAGACCAAUAUCUUAAGAACUAUUGUUUCAUGUUUAAUUAUUCUAAAGAAUUGUCGAUUGAGUCUUAGUUUAAUUGGCAUGUGUAUUGUUGCCAAUGUGAGAGAAUGCUAGUUCAAGUAUGCUGAAGUGCAUUAUUCUCCUAUUUUUGAUUUGAGGAGCUGGUAAAGUACUAAAUUUUGAUAUAUUUUAAAAUAUUAAAAUAUUAUUAAAAUAUUUUUUAUAAAAAUUGAUUGUACCACAAUAUACAAUUUUAAUAUCAAAAUUUUAAUUUUUUUAAUUAUUAGGGAAUAUAUACUUUAUUUCAAGUCACACAAUUUUUACUAGUUUUAAACUUUUUUUAAAAAAAAUUUAUCGUCUUUUAUAAUUUCUAAUAAUUUCUAAUAAUUUUUUACAAUAUUUAACAAUUUCUAACAAUUUUUAAUAAUUUUAUUAUUUAUUACAAAAUUAAAAAUUAACAAAUUUUAUUUUUUUCAAACAAGUAUAUAUUUAUAAUGUAGUUAUUUUUUAUAAUUUUAUUUGAAAUUUUAAAGAUUUUUUAGGUCUUUUUUUCUAGAUGAUGAUGCCAUCAUAUGCCACAUGGCAAUUUAUGAUUAGUUGGAUAUCUCAAUCUAUUCUUUUAAUGUCCAAUGAACGAAACCAAGAACACCCGAUAAUGUUAGAGACUAAAAUGUUAGAGACUACACUAGAAAUGUUUGAUAAUAUUAGGUAUUACAGUAGGCAAAAAAACAUUAAGGACCAAAGUACAAAAAAAAAACAUAAACUGUGCAUUAAGCCAUUAAAAAUAUAUCUAUAAUAUAUAUAAAUGCAUAGAUUUUGAGCAGCUUUUGAACUGAUAAUUAUAUAGUCUUUCUUGUUUACUAUACUAUUGAAUUUAUUAUUUUAAUUUUUUAUUACUUUUAAGAUUUAUCUUAUGUAUGGAUAAGAAUUUUGGUUUUACUAAAAUAUUUGGUUAAAUAAAUUCACUUCAUAAGAAAAUUUAGCAUCCUUAUAAAUAACAAUUUUGAUUCUAUUAAAAAAUUAUUUAAAAAAAAUAUAUAAUAAAAAUUUAAAAUUUAUAUUGGAUUACUUUAUACUUCAAUUAUUAUUAGAAACUUUUUCAUACACAUAUGUCUAUGAGAACCACAUAUUUAGAACAUAAAUUUGUGUUUUAAAAUAACUUAUGAUAAAUAAUGAAAUGUAUAAUUUGAAACUAUUUAAUAAUAACACAUGGCACAGCUACCAUAUUAAAAUAAAAAUAGAUUAAAUUGUAAGUAAAACAUAAUUUAAACAUAUGAAUACAUCAAAUUAAGAAUAAUAAAUGAAUAAAGUUAUUUAUGAUGAUGUUGUUGCCAAUUCCUAAGUUGGUGUUGAGUUAAUUUGUGACAUCAUAAAUUUAAGUGAAAAAUUUAAGGUUUUAUGUAUUGAUGUGGAUUCAAAUAUCACCAUAAUUUUUUUUAAAUAAAAAACUAAAGUACCCUCAAAUAAUAUAACUUAUAUUAAGUACGAAAGGGUAUUCUUGUAAUUUCUCUAAUCGAGUUGGUACCCGGUUGACUCAUGACACCAACUCAAUCAAAAGCUUCAAUAAUAAUAUAGAUAUUCACAUUAAAAAAACAAAAAAAAAAGUACUUUAGUUCCAAAUAAUUAUAUAACAAGUAAAUUUAUAAUUGAUGAAUAAAUUUAUAAAAAAUAUAUUUAUAUGAUCUAAUAUAUUAUAUUUAUAUGAAUUAUAUAUCAUCUACAAACUUUGAAGAUCAAUUUAUUAAGUAAAAAUGAAAUUGAAUUAACACUAAAUCAAUUUUUAGAUUUUGUACAGAUGAUUUAAUGAUGAUAAAAACAUUAUUAGCACUAUUUUUGAAUUAACAAAAAAUUAGUGAUAUAUUUUAAUUAUAUUUAUUAUUUAUUAUUUUUAAUAAUUUUUUUAAUUAUAUGAAGUAAAAUUAUAUUGUAUACUAAAUAUGGUACAUAUACUCUAAUUAUAACUUGAAAUUUUAUUAUAUAAAUUAAUAUAAAUUUGAAUAACAAAAUAAAAAAACUAAUUAGAAUAUUUUUAAAAAACAUUAUUUAAAAGUAGUUAAAAAUCACGUGCAACAAGUGAGAUUAAUGGUCUUUAGAGAAGAAAUGUUGAAGAUCGAGGUUGGAAUCUGGCCUAUAAGGCCUUUAAUUGCUUUAAUAUUAAGCAGUUCCAAACCAAGAAGAUUAGCGAUUUCCUCAGGAAUUUGACCUGCACACAUGGUCGAAAAAUGAAGGUGUCAAACUACCUAUUUUAUUAGCAUAAGUCAAAGAGGUUUUCUUUUCUGUUCUACAUAAAUUGCAGAUGUUAGAUUUUAAUAUUUUUAAGCAUAUUUGUUUUCAUCAAAUUAACUAUCUUGAACUAUUUUGCCUUGAAUGAAAUAAAAUGCUCUUACUUUUGUUAUCUAUUACUAAUCAAAAUCUUUUAUAAAAAGAAAAAAAUACUUUAAACUAAAGAAACCAAGAAAAUUCAAUACCUUCUAGGUUAUUCAACCCCAAAUAUAAUUCUUUGAGUCGUGUCAGAUUUCCAAUACAUUUUGGAAUGAUCCCCGUCAAUUGAUUAUAGGAAAAUGCCAAAAUUUUAAGGUUGUUGCAUUUGCUUAUACUUGACGGAAUGUUACCAGAUAAUUCAUUCUAACUAAAGUAAAGCCCUUCAAGCUUGGGAAGAUGUUGACACAUAUCAUUAGGCAAACUACCUGAUAGGCUAUUGUUGGAGAGAUCAAUGGUCUUCACAGAAGAAAUGUUGAAGAUCGAAGUUGGAAUCUGACCUGUAAGGCCUUUAAUUGCUUUAAUAUUAAGCAGUUCCAAACCAAGAAGAUUAUCGAUUUCCUCAGGAAUUUGACCUGCACACAUGGUCAAAAAAUCAACGUGUCAAACUACCAAUUUUGUUAGCAUAAGUCAAAGAGGUUUUCUUUUCUGUUCUAUAGUAAUUUGGAGAUGUUAGAUUAAUUUAAUAUAUUUCAGCACAUGUUUUUCAUCAAAUGAAAUAAAAAGUUCUUCCUUUUGUUAUCUAUUACAAAUCAAGUUCUUUUAUAAAAAAAAUACUUUAAAUUCAAGAAAUCAAGAAAAUUGAUUACCUUCUAAAUUAUUAAACCCCAAAUAUAAUUCUUGGGGUCAUGUUAGAUUUCCAAUACUUCUUGGAAUGAUCCCCAUAAAUUGAUUAUGGGAAAACAACAAAUUUUUAAGGUUGUUGCAUUUGCCCAUACUUGACGGAAUGUUACCGGAUAACUCAUUACUAUGCAAGUAAAGCCCUUCAAGCUUGGGAAGAUGUUGACACAUAUCAUUAGGCAAACUAACUAAUAGGCUAUUCCUAGAGAGAGCAAUAGUCUUGAGAGAAGAAAUGUUGAAGAUCGAAGUUGGAAUCUGACCUGUAAGGCUUUUAAUUGCUUGAAUAUUAAGCAUUUCCAAACUAAAAAGAUUACCGAUUUCUUCAGGAAUUUGACCUGCAGACAUAGUCGAAACAUCAAGGUGUUAAAUUACCUAUUUUGUUAGUGUAAAUCAAAGAGGCUUUUAUUUUUUUCGUUAUGAAAUAAUAUGGAUAUGUUAGAUUCUAAUCAUAUUUAAGUAUGUAUUAGUUCUUGAAAGAAAGAGUUCUUAUUUUUGGUAUUUAUAUUGCAAAUAUUUUUUUAAUUUAAAAAGGGGGGUAAAUGUGUUUAAACUAAAGACAUCAAGGAAAAGGCAUACCUUCUAGGUUAUUUAACCCCAAGUAUAAUUGUUUAAGUUGUGCCAAAUUACCAAUGCUUUUUGGAAUGAUCCCACUAAAUUGAUUAAUAGACAAUUCCAAAAUUUGAAGGUUGCAGCAUUUGUCUAUACUUGAUGGAAUAGAACUUGAUAAUUCAUUUAUACUCAAGUAAAGCUCUUUAAGCUUGGGAAGAUGGAGACACAGAUCAUCGGGCAAGCCACCAGAAAGACUAUUAUCACGAAAAUGAAUCCUUUUCAAAGAAGAAAUGUUAAAGAUGGAAGAUGGAACUUGGCCAGAUAAUUCAUUGACUCCCAAGUUUAAGAUCUCUAGAUUGGACAUGUUGACAAGUGUUUGAGGGAUUGUGCUUGUGAAGUUAUUAUUUUUCAUUUGUGUGAGUUUUUGCCAAAUUUUAUAUUUUCGGAAUGCAUAACUAAGUUGAUUUUUAAUUAGUUUUUCAAACGAGUCAAUGUAAUUCCUCAAAAAUCUAGUCAAAGCGUCUAGGCUGGGUUUGGGGGUGUUUGUUAGAAUUGUGUGACCCAAAUUUUAAGAGAUUACUUGCAAGUCAAGUUAAACAAAAAUAUAUUUUCUUUCUAGAAGAUUUAGCAUUUAUUAGUAUAAUAUAUUUAGCAUUUAUUAGUAUAGUUUAUUUGACUUACUAAUUUAGCCUAUAAAUAGGCUCUUUUACAAUCUUAGAAAUUAGACGCACCCAUUAGAUUAGAACUCAUAACACAUUCAGAGAAUUUUGUGUUUAUAUUUUGAGGGUUCUUUGUUUUUCGGGUUUUCGGGGUUUAGUUUUUAUCUCCAUCUUUUGUACUCUUCCUUCUUCUGCCAUUAUAGUAAAAUUAUCUUUGCCCGUGAUUUUUUAUCCUCUUUGGAGGGAUUUUUCCACGUUAAAUUUGUGUGUUCAUCUUCUCAAUUUCUUCUACUUUUUUACUUGUUUGUUGCUUAAUUGGGACGAUCAUAGCAAGUGGUAUCAGAGCUAGUUUAAUUUUUAUAAAUCAUCCCGUUCAGAGAUGGCAACAACAAGGUUUGAAAUUGAGAAGUUUGAUGGUGAGACAAAUUUCAAUCUGUGGCAAGUUCGAAUGAUGGCAAUUCUAGUUCAAAACGGCUUGAAAAAGGUUGUUACAGGGAAAAAGCCUGAGAAUCUAAAUCAAACAGAAUGGGAAGAGCUUGAUGAAAAGGCCUUGUCUGGAAUCCAGUUGUGCCUCGCGAAUACAGUAUUGCAGGAGGUAUUGAUGGAGAAGACCCCAUUCGCCUUGUGGAAAAGGUUAGAAACUCUUUAUACGACUAAGUCUCUGGGUAACCGUUUAGUGUUGAAACAACUUCUAUUUACGUUUCGCAUGAACGAAGGUGAGCUUCUUAGAGAUCACAUCAGUCAAUUUGUUACUCUUUUAAAUGAUUUAAAUUAUAACCUUCCCUAUGAGUCAAAUUUUGGAGACAACAUUCUUGAAAUGAGCAACCACAAACCCCGAUUAUGAACCAUAAAACGAGCAUGAAAAGUACCCAAAAAACACAUUUAUUAUCAAAAUAGUAAUCCAUCUAAGGAUUAAAUUAACAAAAUUCACCAUCCAACCGUGUAGACUAUUAUAAAUAAAUAUACUAUAUUUAUUCUUCAUGCAAAUGUUUAUUAUAUUUAAAAAUUAAAAUAUAUGGUUGAUUGAGUUUUAGUUGUGUUAAUAUUGAUAUUAUUGUCAGUGCAAAAGAACAUGAGUUCAAUCAUGUUUAAAUACGUUUUAUACUCCAAUUUAGGAGUUGGAGAGGAUUCUCAAUAAUUAAAUUAUAUCAGUUUUUGUCUAUUUAAAAAUGAUUUAUAAAUAAUAUAAGUAGAAAAUUUUUAAAAAAUACAUAUUCAUAUUGAUCGGCUUUUUCAUUAUUAGACUUUUUUCCCUAUAGGUAAAAGUAUUUAUCGAAUUCAAAUUUUGGGUUUUAAAUAAGGGUUUUUUGGAUUUUUUUUAAACAUUUGUGUGAGUUUUUGCCAAAUUUUAUAUUUUCGGAACAAAUAACUAAGUUGAUUUUUAAUUAGUUUUUCAAACAAGCCGAUGUAAUUCCUCAAAAAUCUAGUCAAAGAGUCUAGGCUGGGUUUGGAGGUGUUACACUAACAUUACUAAAGUUAAUCUUAAUCUAUUUAGUCUAGAUCUAAACAUUAAUAUUCUCUUCCAAGAAAAAUUAAGAUUAUCAAAUUAUUACAACUGUGUAGCCAGACAAUCAUAUUAGAUAAGCAUAAAACUUAAUAAAUAAUUAGCGAAGAUUGAAACAAUCAAAGAAAAAAAAUUAACUAAGAAAUAAGGAUCCAUUAUUGUUUCAAGAAAACAGAGUCUAGUUCAUAUUGAGUUGAGAAAACCAAAAAGGAGAUUCAAAACAAACUUGUGAUAAGGGGAACAAUGUCAAUAGAUCAUAUUCAAGUUGUUCGACUCGAGAAAGAAAUAUUCAGAUCUGACCUGAAAAGAAGAACCAAACAUAUUUAGGAAAACAAGAAAAAACAAAGAAAAAAAAACUAAAAUGAGAAAUUUAAGAAUAAAUAUUAAAUAUUAAAAAUAAUAAAGAAAUAAAGAAAUUAUAGAAUAAAAAGUGGCAGAUGGAAUGAAGAAAUGAUGGAUAUAAAUAAAAGAUGGAUAUGACAUAUAGAUGAAUAAGUGUUUGAUAACUCUUGAAAAGAGUUAUAUUUCAUGCCUUUAGACCUGGCUAACUGCUUAUACUUAAGUAUAUUUUGUUGUUUUUUAAGACAUUUUAGUGAGCAUUUUUAAUAUUGUAUUAGGACUUAGAUUGAGUUGGAAUUAGGUGCUUUUAAUCGCUUGUGGUGGAGUUUUUUGUGUGUUGGUAUGGCAGGAACAGGUUUUAGAACGGGGAAAUAAAUGAAUGAAGUUUUGUUAGGGCAAAAGUGCAUACAGUUUGCCAACAAGGAUGUCGUGGCAAUGCCGAGAAGACCAAGUUCAUAUUUUUUGUGCAAUAGUCCUAGUUCAAAUUCAAACUUGUAUGAGAUAAAUCCCCCUAAAAGAGGAGAAGAUAAUUAUAUUGAUGUUAGUUGACCCUAGCCUAAUCUAUCUAUUAAAUCCAAUGAAAGGGAUCUCACAAAUGGUAGAAAAAAGUGAGAGAGAUCCUUAGGGGUGAAUAAGGGUUUGGCUGCGCAAAGGAAAAGAAGUCAAAGGCAAUCAUUCUUAGCCUUAAGAGGAUGUUGUGUUGCCAAAGUGUGGGCUGGGCAAGUGAAAGUUGUUUCCCAAAGUUCUUUUGUUAUUUCUAUCAGUGUUCCUUCGAAAGAUUGAAUUGAAGUAGUUGAACACAAUGUCAGAUAAUAUUUUGGUUUGAAAUUUUAUUUCCCAGCUUAUGAGCUAAAUCUCAUAAGGUUAUGAUUACUUUCGAUGAAACCUUAAAUUUUUUUUAUGGAUGCAAUAUAUAUCUAAUUUACAUUACAGCUUCAUUUGAUUAUUCAUAUUUCUUAAUUAAAAUGCAAAUGAUCUCUAGACAUAGAAGACUAUUCGCAUACUUAUAAACUGAUUAUAAUUCUAAAAGGGUUGGAUUAAAAUUAAAUGAAAUGAGCAAGUAUUUGAUAGACACUUGUAGCCGACUCUAGACAUAGAGUCAUGAUCAUACAUAAGGAACCCAUGCAAGAUAUCUGAAAAGCCUUUAGACACAGGCAAGGCAACUUGAGGUUUUUCUCUCACACGAGGCAGACUAUUUUAGAACUCUGCUGUGUUGUAAAAUAGAUACGAUUUUGCCAAGGCAUUAUUUACAAUAAGGGUUGAUUCUGGGUAAUCCCGACCUUCCAAAUCCACAUCGUAUAUCCUUCAUUAUUUUCCAUAAUAUCUUUGCCACAUCAUUAUUAGUUAUUUAUUUGUUCAUUUACAUAAUAUUCCCAUAGUAAUUCUCAUAAUUGCCAUUACAUUUCUACUCUCGAUUUGCCAUAGUAUUACCAAAUAUUCAUUAAUUCCACAUAUUGAUUACAUCAUUAUUCUACUCAUUGCCAUUGCAUAUUUAUCAUUGACUUUGUCAUAGCAUUAAUUUUAUUUUAUUAUCAUAACUUGAUCAAUUUUGUGCCUCAAUCCGAUCAUCAUGGGAACGAUACUCACUCAUCACUUUAUUACUUGAUUCAACAUGUAUACUUGCACAAAUCGCAUAUCAUUUCACAUGCGACAAUGUCCAAUUGAACCCUUUAAGAUAUAAACUCGAACAAACUCAAUUAAUGGCUUUAAUCAACCCACCAAGAAAUAAUCCUUGGCAAAUUGAAGGAUGAAGACUGAAUUCCCAUGACUUCUUAAAGAAAAUUGAGAAGAAAACUGCUUCUAAAAAUUACAAGAAACAAUCUUGCACAAAGAAACUAACCUUAAGAGUUGGAAAUUUUAGUAACGAAAAAAAACAAUUGUGUCUAAUUAAAGUUUUAGCAUUCAUUACAUUACAAAUCCUUUUUUUUUUAAGUACAUCCAAAUAAAAUUUUGAAGUAUCCUAAAACUUUAAUUAAUGUAAGCAAAAAGUAAUUUUCAACUAAAAUAGUCAUAAUUUCCGUAAUAAUCCCGUCUAGAAAUUCUGCUCACACAGUCAUCACUAAAAUAGUCAUAAUUUGAGCUAUUGAACUCAAAAUUGAGUGAAUAAAAGUGUGUUUGAUAGAUCUUAGAACUCCAUCAAGACAUAUCAAUCGAAAAAUAUCUGGAUCCCAUCCCAAAAGUCAUUGUAAGUUAACUGAUUUUCCAAACUUGAAAAUUGACAUCUUCGGUGAAUGGAAUUUAAUAAAGUUUACCCCAUCUGCUCAUGUAUAAACUUGCAAUGGUAAAAAGUAAAAAGAAAUAAUCUAUAGAGAAAAUAGUUGAAGAAUUUAUGACAAUUUAUUCAGACCUUUUUUUCCUCUAGCCUUUGCAAGCUUGAAGUUUCCCUUGGUGUGUGAGAGUUGUUCCUUACCCUCUAAGUUACCUUUUUUUCUUUUCCUUCUUUUUCUUUCUCUUCGAUCUCGUCACCUAAGGGUGUUCAAAUGACUGAUUCAGUUAAUACCCGAACAAAGCUAUCAUUAAAUGAAAUUUUGAAACCCUUAAUUGUUAAUGAAACCAAUUUUUUGUUGAAACCUAUUAACCGGCCGGAUUGAUUUCGGUUAAUUCGUGCGGGUAACCAGAAUUUAUACAUUGUUUGUUUUUGUUCAAACAAUUUUAAAACAGAAUAAUCCAUGACAACUUUUUCCUUGUUUUUUAGUCAAAAAUUAUUAAAAGAACUAAAAAAAUAACAUAAUAACAACACUAAAUUAAAAACAUAAUAGCAUUCAUUACAUUACAAAUCCUUUUUUUUUUUACUUUUUGUUGGCUUUUUAGUUUAAUUUUAGUUUUUUUUUUUUCAAAAAAUUUUAGUUUUCAUAUUUUUGUUAAGCUUAUUAUAAGAAAACUUAUAAAUCCAUUAGUUUUUAUCUAUUAGAUUUGUAUAAUGUAUUGGACCUAUCUCUAUAAUAUAUUUUUAUUGAUUUCGGUUAAUCAAUUAAUUUGGUUAAUUAGUCGAUUUCAAACGAAACUAAUCGAUAAACAAAAUCUUCAAAAACAUUUAACCAACUCCCAACCAAAUUAGAUUCGUUGAUCAGCUGCUUAAUCAAAUUAAUCAUAUGGUAAAAUGGAAUAUUUUUGGAAUGGUUUUUUUGGCAUUAUUGGUAUAGGUUUAAGUUAUGAUCUUGAGAUGUUGAGUUGAAUUAAGUUUGAUAUGUAUAUUGUGAUGCCUUCAUUGGCAUAUUGGUUAAAUAUUAAAGGAUGGUUGAUUUGGUAUGUUUUUGAAAUGGUUGUUGGUAUGUUUGAUCUAAGUUGAUUAAAUGAACUUGCAAUGUUGAAUGGUAUAAUAUUUGUUGGUACAUUAGUUAGUCUUAUAGGUUGAUGGAAUUGGUAUGUUUUGAUUAUUAAAUGUUUCUGGAAAUGGUGUGUCUUGGUGUACAAGAUUUGAAAUUGAAAUGGCUUGAUUUAGAAGCAACUUAUGUCGUACACCGCCUGGGACACGGUUUGUCACAUGGUUGUGUGUCAUUAUUGUUUUAGGCACAGGUUUCACACAAUCUAAGACUCGGCUCACGACAUAGCUAUGUAUCACCAGUCAGUAUGUAACACGGUUUGGUACAUGGCCUGCGACAUGACUGUGUGUCCAGACUUCGAAUGUCCACACGGUCUGGGCUAUGUCACACGGCUUGGCCACAUGGCUGUGUGACCCUUGUUUUCAGGAUUUCUAAAGUUUUCUAUUUUAUUUCAAAUUGAUCCUAGAAUAAUCUCAAACUGUUUUUAGGGCCCGUAGGUUCGAAUUAAGGCCCGUAAGUGUAUGUUUGCUAUAAUUAAGUUGUGUUAAUUAAUGUUACUAAUUAAAUGGGAUGAAUAUUUUAUUGUAAGUUAAAUGUUUUAAUUUGUACUAUAAUGCUCCGUAACUCUAAUCUGGCAACGGAGAUAGGUUUGGGGUGUUACAAUUUUGGACUGUAAAUUUGUUUUGGGGCUUUGUUAUUUGGUUCUUGCGAUGUUUGUUGGAUUUUAGUGUUUUAACAUUAAACUGCAAAAUUGUCUGAUUUAACAAACUAAAAAUUAGGUUUUCAAAAUUAAAACUCUAGAAGUUUCUAUUGCAAAGAUUAAGUAAUCACUUAAGUGUUUUCUCAUAAAUAAUUAAAUGGUUUUUAACAAAUGUUUUCCUUAGUUUUGGAAAUGAUCUGCCAACAUUAGUACUUUUAAAAUACAUGAUUUCAAAUUCAAAUUCUUGGUUUUAAAUAAGGGUUUUCAAACUUUGAUUUUUUUUUAACAUUUGUGAGAGGUUUUUGCCAAAUUUUAUGUUUUCAGAACGUGUAACUAAGUUGAUUUUUAAUUAUUUUUUCAAACGAGUCAAUGUAAUUCCUCAAAAAUCCAGUCAUAGCAUCUAGGUCGGGUUUGGGUUGUUACUUAAAGUUAAUUUUAAUCUAUUUAGUCUAGAUCUAAGCAUUAGUAUUCUCUUCCAAGAAAAAUCAAGAUUAUCAAAUUAUUACAACUUGGUAGGCCGACAAUCAUAUCAAAUAUGCAUAAAAGUAAAUAAAUAAUUAGUGAAGAUUGAAACAGUCAAACAAAAAAUAAAUUAAUUAACUAAGAAAUAAGAUCCAUUAUUGUUUCAUAAAAUUAGAGUUUAGUUCAUAUUGAGUUGAGAAAACCAAAAGGGAGAUUCAAAACAAACUUGUGAUAAGGGGAACAAUGUCAAUAGAUUAUAUUCAUGUUGUUCGACUCAGGAAAGAAAUAUUCGGAUCUAACCUGAAAAGAAGAAACCAAACAGAUUUAGAAAAACAAGAAAAAACAAAGAAAAGAACUAAAAUGAGAAAUUUAAGAAUAAAUAAUAAAUAUUAAAAAUGAUAAAAAAUAAAAAAUUAUAGAAUAAAUAAUGGAAGAUGGAAUGAAUAAAUGACGAAUAUGACAUAUAGAUGGAUAAGUGUCUGAUAAUUCUUGAAAAGAGUUAUAUUUCAUACCUUUAGACCUAACUAAUAGCUUGUACUUAAGUACAUUUUGUUGCACUUUAGGACAUUUUAGUUAGUAUUUGUAAUAUUGCAUUAUGACUUAGAUUGUGUUGGAAUUAGGUGUUUUUAAUCACUUGUGGUGGAGUUUUUGGUGUGUUGGUAUGGCAGGAGCAUUUUUUAGAAUGAGGAAAUAAAUUGGUGAAGUUUUGUCAGGGCAAAAGUGCAGAUAGUUUGCCAACACGUAUGCCGUUGCAAUGCCGGGAAGACCAAGUCAACAUUUUUUUUGCGCAACAGUCCCAGUUCAAAUUCAAACUUGUACUAGAUAAAUCUCCUUACAAGAGGAGAAGAUAAUCACAAGUUGUUGGCCGACCCUAGCCUAAUCUAUCUAUAAAAGCCAAUGAUGGGGAUCUCACAAAUGGCAGAAAAAAGUGGGAGGAUCCUUAGGUGUGAAUAACGGUUCAGCUGCACAAAGGAAAGGAAGUCGAAAGCAAUCCUUUUUAGCCAUCACAAGACGUUGUGAUGCCGAAGUGUGGACUAGACAAGUGAAAGUUGUUUCCCAAAGUUCUUUCGUUAUUUCCAUCAGUGUUCCUUCAAAAUAUUGAAGUAGUUGAACACAAUGUUGGAUAAUAUUUUGGUUUAGAAUUUUAAUUCCCAGCCCAUGAGCUCAAUCUCAUAGGGUUGGGAUUACUUUUGAUGAAACCUUAAACUGUUUUUAUGGAUGCAAUAUAUAUCUAAUUUACUUUACUGUUUCAUUUUAUUGUUCUUAUUUCUUAAUUAAAAUGCAAAUGAUCUCUAGACAUAGAAGACUGUUCGUAUACUUAUAAACUGGUUCUAAUUCUGAAAGGGUUGGAUUGGUUGGAUUAAAAUUAAAUGAAAUGAGCAAGCAUUCGAUGGACACUUGUAGUAGACUCUAGACAUAGAGUCACGCUCAUAUAGAAGGAACCCAUGCAAGAUAUCUAAAAAGCCUUUAGACACAGGCAAGGUAACUUGAGGUUUUGCUCUCACGAGAGGCAGACCAUUUUAGUACUCUUUUGUGCUUUAAAGUAGAUACGAUUUUGCCAAGGCAUUAUUGACAAUAAAGGUCUAUUAUGGGUAGUCCCAACCCUCCAAAUCCACAUCGUAUAUCCUUUAUUCUUUUCCAUAGUAUAUUUGCCACAUCAUUAUUAGUUAUUUAUUUGUUCAUUUACAUAAUAUUUCCGUUGUAAUUCUCAUAAUUGUCAUUACAUUUCUACUCUCGAUUUGCCACAACAUUACUAGUCAUUUAUUAAUUCCACGUAUUGCUUACAUCAUUGCUCUACUAAUUGCCACUGUAUAUUUACCAUUGACUUUGCCAUAGCAUUAAUCGUAUUUUAUUAUAAUAACUUGACCAAUUUUGUGCCUCAAUCCGAUCCUCAUGGGAAUGCUACUCACUCAUCACUUUAUUUGUAACACCCCAAACCCGACCUAGACGUUAUGGCCGAAUCUGGCGAUGUCACAUGGAAAGGGAUUUGAAGACAAGAUUGUUGAGCUUAAAAACUGUUACAGUAAGUUAGCUUUUAUUUAAUUCGGAAAAAAAACUGAUUGAUUUGCUUUAAAACUUGUCUCUUAGCGGAAGCUUUUGUAACCAAUUAAUUUAGGAAAAAUCAUUUCUAUUUACCAAAACACUUAGUUUUUAGGAAAAAACUAUGUUUUGUGGAGUUGUAGUUUUUUUUUAAAAACCCAUAAAAAAUAGUAUAAAGUCCCAAAUUUAAAACCAAUCAGUCCAUAGUCCAGAAGAUACAUCAAAAACUCAAAAUAAGUAAUAAAUUCUAGGCAUUAACGGAAAUCAGUCUAAAAUUUACGUGUGGCCACCAUCGAGUCCUUUGCUACACCGAUCUGUCAAGUCUAGGGAUUACCUAUACAAAUUAAACAGAGAAAGGGUGAGUUGUCGCAAACUUAGUGUGUAAUCCCCACAAAAAACAUGCAUACAGGUAAUUAACAGAAUUUAGUUAGAUAUAGUUUGGGGCCUGUGCCCAUCACAGAAUUAGUUUGGGCCUUAGCCCAUUCAGAUAUUGUCUUAGAAAUACAUUAGAGCCUUGACCCAUAUCAGAUACAGAAUGCAGAUACAAUAAAUCAGAAUUCUACCCACUAGUCUCUACACACCAUCUCCGUCCAACCCUACACACCAUGUGGGGAUUAAAUCAACCAAACCAUCCCUACACACCAUGCUGUACUGAAAUGCGGCACAUAAUCAGAAGGUUACAGCUGGGCUGCCACAUAACAUAAGUCAGGCUCGGUAUAGAAAUCAGAUAGACAUAUCACACAUAUAGGGGUCUAAGUAAAGCUUACCGACCCUACAGUAGGUCCACAGUCAACUUGGGUGACCCUAUAAAAUUACAGAACUUUUUAGAAAAAUGGGCUCACACGCCCAUUCGGCCCAAAUUGGCCUUGACCACGUGAUCCAUUUUUAAUGUAACCCGUGCUAGUUAAUUACUCAUAUAUGUUUUCACUAUUUACUUAUAUGUUCCUUUAAAGCUAUCUACUUGAGUCACUAUUACUAAAUUAUUUAUAUCUUCAGCUAUAGAAUUUCAAAUUAGGAUCCACUUGAUGUCUUUGAAAUUAGACUCAAAUACCUUUCUACCAUAAAAUUUUUAUAAUUUUUGGUUGAGCCAACAAGUACAGUAAAAUCUUCAAACCUUCCCCAAUUCAGCUAUCUGACAACUUCAACCCUUCUUUGCUAAGAAUUAAUUAUCUCUUAGUACAAGAUUUGGAUGAUGUUUACAUUUUUUUCUAUUGAAAAUAGACUUAUUAAUAAUUUAAAAAUAUAAAUUUUAAACCCCUAAUUAUUUUUCUCCAAUUUUUGAUGAUUUUUCAAAGUCAAAACUGGGGAACCCGAAUUCAUUCUGACGUUGUCUCACGAAGUUUAUUAUACCUCGCGAUUUCCAAUUCCAUUACUUACAUCGUUUCUUCUAUGAGAAACUAGACUCAAUAAUAUUUAAUUCCAUUUUUUUUCAUUCUCUAAUUUGAUUUCUUCAAUUUAUGGCAAUUUUUCAAAUUUAGCCUACUGCUGUUGUCCAAAAAGCAAGCAAUUUUGGCUUUUCUCCAAAUCCCUUUUUUUUUGCAUUUUUGGGUACACACUUGGUUUUGUUUGAUGCUAAAACAAUCCCCGAGCACUCUAAAGCCACCAACGAUAACACUUUAUUUAAAUAUUGUUAAGACAAGAACACUGAAUUCACUAGUCCGAGCCUCCCCCUAUGCUCAAAUCGCAGAGAAAAUAUGUUACCACUUUAGUCGCUAAAAGAUUCAUGAUAGAAACGAAGAGAAACACUUACCGAAACUAAGCGAGCACUAACUAUGUGUGAAAAUGAAGGAAAAUAAAUGGAUUAGGGAAAAAUCAAGAAGAAGAAAAAGAAGAGAAAGAUGGAAAAACUCAGAGAAUUUCAACAAGAGGAGAAGGAGAAGAAUAGACGGAAAAUAAAAUCCUGAUAACCCCCAAAAUCCCUUAAUCUUCUCCCCUAAUUCCCACUACACAUCCACUACUCAUAAUCCCCCUAUUACAUAACUCUAUCCGAAAUCUGAGCAAAAUAAAUCAUAAUACCCUUGCCUGCAUAGGGAUUCAAACACAAGACCUCUACUAUAAUAGCACACCAUUUAACCACCAGAGUAGCAGGCCCAUUCUGAUGUAAUUUACCCAACAAUCAAAUAAAAGCCUACUCAACAAGAGUAAGGCCUAAUUCAUUCAAAAUACUAAAAUUUUCCCAAGUGAAAGCUUCAACUUGGGACCUCCCAAACACUCCCAGAACACAUAACUACUAAAGCUAACAGAUAUUUGUGUCAUAUUUUCACAAUAAUGAAAUUAGAAAUUUUGGGGCGUUACAUUAUUACUUGAUUCAACUCUUGCACAAAUCGCAUAUCAUUUCACACACGACAACACUCAAUUGAACCCUUUAAUAUAUGAAAUCGAACAAACUCAAUUAAUGGCUUUAAUCAACCCAUCAAGAAAUAGUCAUUGGCAAAUUGAAGGAUGAAGAAUGAAUUCCCAUGACUCCUUAAAAAAAUUGAUAAGAAAACUACUUUUAAAAAUUACAAGAAACAAAUCUUGCACAAAGAAACUAACUCUCAAAGUUGGUAAUUUUAGUAAUAAACAAAAACAAUUGCGUCUCUAAUGAACAUGAAGGGGCCUUUACAUAGGCUAGAUAAGUAGAUCCAAAUAAAAUUUUCAAGUAUCUUGAAACUUUAAUUAAUGUAAGCAAGAAGUAAUUUUAAACUAAAAUAUUCAUAAUUUUUGUAAUAAUCCCGUCCAAAAAUUCUGCUCACAUAGUCAUCAUUAAAACAGUCAUAAUUUGAGCUCUUGAACUCAAAAUUGAGUGAAUAAAAGUGCGUUUCGAAGUUAAGUGAUAGAUCUUAGAACUCUAUGCAGAAAUAUCAUGCAAAAAAUGUCUGGAUCCCAUCCAAAAAGUCACCGCAAGUUAACUAAUUUUUCAAACUUAAAAUUUGGCAGCUUCGGUGAAAGGAAUUUAAUAAAGUUCACUCCAUCCAUUCAUGUAUCAACUUGCAUUGGUAACAAGUAAAAAGAAAAAAAUCUAUAGAGAAAAUAGUUGAAGAAUUUAUGACAAUUUAUUCAGAUCUCUUUUUCUUCUAGUCUUUGCAAGCUUGAAGUUUCCCUUGGUGUGAGAGAGUUGUUCCUUACCCUCUAAGUGAUUUUUUUCUUUUUCUUUCUCUUCAAUCUCGUCACCUAUGGGUGUUCAAACAAUUGUUUCAGUUAAUAUCCGAACAAAACUAUCAUUAACUGAAAUUUUGAAACCCUUAAUCGUGAAUCAAACCAAUUUUUUUAAACCUAUUAACCAACCGAAUUGAUUUCGGUUAAUUUGAGCGGUUAACCAGAAUUUAUACAUUGUUUGUUUUUGUUCAAACAAUUUUAAAACAAUGAACAAUCCAUGACAAUUUUUUCCUUGUUUUUUAUUGAAAAGAUUAGAAGAAUUAAAAAAAUAACAUAAUAACAACACUAAAUUAAAAACAUAAUAGCAUUCAUUACAUUACAAAGCAUAUAUAUAUAUAUAUUUACUUUUUCUUCACUUUUUAGUUUUAUUUUAUUUUUUUCAAAUAUUUUUAGUUUUCAUAUUUUUGUUAAGCUUAUUAUAAGAAAACUUAUAAAUCCAUUAGUUUUUAUAUAUUGGGUUUGUAUAAUGUAUUGGACUUAUCUCUAAUAUAUUUGGCCUAUAAUAUAUUUUUAUUGAUUUCGGUUAAUCAAUUAAUUCAGUUAAUUAGUCGAUUUCAAACACUAAAUUAAAAACAUAAUAGCAUUCAUUACAUUACAAAGCAUAUAUAUAUAUAUAUAUAUUUACUUUUUCUUCACUUUUUAGUUUAAUUUUAUUUUUUUCAAAUAUUUUUAGUUUUCAUAUUUUUGUUAAGCUUAUUAUAAGAAAACUUAUAAAUCCAUUAGUUUUUAUAUAUUGGGUUUGUAUAAUGUAUUGGACUUAUCUCUAAUAUAUUUGGCCUAUAAUAUAUUUUUAUUGAUUUCGGUUAAUCAAUUAAUUCAGUUAAUUAGUCGAUUUCAAACUAAACUAUUUGGUAAACAAAAUCUUCAAAAACCUUUAACCAACUCCCAACCAAAUUAGAUUCGUUGAUUGACUACUUAAUCAAAUUAAUUAGGUUUGAUAAAUUAAUUCGUUAAAACCGAAAAAUGCACAUCCCUAUCAUCACCUUUGUUUUUAGGGAUUUUAAUCAUCUUGCUCCACCUGAUGUAGAAGUUGAGGUGGAACGAACUACUUGCUACCAAAAUAUAUGAAUUAUAGAGCAUGCUCCACCACAGUGAAGCAAAUUCAGUGGAGUGGGAGACUUUUCUUCACUACUUUAUGCUCUAUGCUCCAAGUCUUCUAUUCUUCUUCUGAGACCUACAAUAGAAAAAUAAAAAAUAAGAAACAAGUCUGAACUAACUUUGAAAAUUAGAAAUUUUCAACAAAAUUGAAAUAAAAUAUAAUUAAUCAAUAAAAACUAUAAAAUGCAAUAAAAACGAACCUAUAUACUAAAAUUACCUCCUAAAAUGCCAUGGAAACUAUACUAAAAUAACUCUAAAUAUGAUAGUUAUCAGAAGCGACCUGAAGAAGCCAAUCGAGUAGAUGAUUUCAACUAUUGCAAUAAUAUCGGUCGAUUAGCCAUCCUCUUGAGAAGAUCAUAGAGUUGAAAGAAAAAAAUCAUACAACUCCAUGAAGAAGAAAAAACCAUGUUUGAAAAAGAAGUGGCAUUAUCAAACUUGACAUCAAUGCUUUGGUUUCUCAAUACAAUAUUAUGGACAGAUUCAUCAAAUUUGGCUCUUUCAAUCCUAUUACACUAGCUCUAAGUAGAAGUAAGAUGGUGAAUUUCGAAGGGAUUGGGGGCAAUCAUCUAUUUUUGGAAUAUCAGAAUGGUCAUGAUUGGACUCAAAGAAGCCAAUGAAAAGCAUCUCUCCUAGGUAUAAGCUUAUAUUGUCACAUUGAUCCUAAGCACAAGCAUAAAUUGUUCAUCCAAAAUGAUGAUGCUCCUAAGCAUGAGCUUAAACUGUUCAUCUAAUGCUCCUAAGAAGGAGCCUAAACUAUUCAACCCAAACGGUCAUGCUUUAAGCACAAUCUUAAACUAUUCAUAAAAAAUAAAUGAUGAUCCAAUGAAACUCGAGCUUAAACUAUUCAUACGAAAUAAAUGAUGACCUCCUAAGCAUGAAUUUAAAUUGUUCAUACAUAAUAAAUGAUGAUACUCCUAAGCACGAGCUUAAAUUGCAGUCCAAAAAAAUUUAAACAACAUUAUAACUUUAUCUUUUAAAAAUGAAGGUACAUAGAUAGCCUGGUUUCAUUGCCAAGUUCAGUCAUUGAAACAAAUUCUUGAAAGUAGGAAGCAAAUAAAAUUUCAAGACUUGUCCCCUUUCUACGCCCAACAAAAUUCAGAAUUCAUCAUUUGUUAUUACUGUUUAUCUCUAACUAAAUUAAUGAAAAGAUAAAUCAAGAAAUUAAAUCUUUUUAGAACUCUCUUGCAAAGAAAUCAUAUUCUUUAAGGAUUACUUUAUCUCUAAUUAAUUAAAUUAAUAAGAUAUGAAUAAUAAUAAUAAUAAUAGAGUUUAAAUUCUUAUAGAACACUCAAAUGAAAAUGUUAAAUUCUACAAGAACUCUCUUAUAUUAAAGUGAUUGACACUAUAAAAAUGGGUCACCUCCAAGUCAUUCUACACAUUCAGAAGUUCAAGAAGUUCAAAAAUUCUUUACAAAAAUAUUUGAAGAAACUAAAGAAGUAGAAGAAAUUUUGAUGAACAUCAUAUCAAUUGAGAGGGGGAUGUCAACGGAAGAGAAGAAUCAAAGGAGUUUUGUUUGUAAAGAUAUUCAAAACUUGUACACUCUUCAAAAUUAUAAAUAAAAUUUGACCCAAAAUUUUCAAGUUAAUUUUCAACUUGAAAUUUGUGUGUACAAUAUAUAUGGGAAAGAAUCCAUUUACAUGAUACAAAACUAGUGUAUGUAUAAUACAAAAAUAUUUAAUACAUUAUCAAUAAAGUUUUUAAACUAUGCACCUGUGAUUAAAACCAAAAUAAUAAUAAUAAUAAUAACAACCAAUCACUUUAUUUGACUAACUUUUCCCUACAAGUCUUUGGUAUGGAGACAAAUCAGUUUAAUCAGUCUUUGGAGCUAUUAACUGACUUUUCCACCAUUGAUUUGAAAAUCAUAACCCAUCAAUUCACUUUAAAUGAAACGAGAUCCACGAGUGUUUGGUGUUAUAUUUUUAAAAUGUAUUUACAUGAUUGUUUAUUAAUUUUAUUUGUUUAUAUUUAAAUCAAAUGUAAUAAAUUGUUGAAUUUAUAUACUUCUUAUUAUAACAAUAUAUGGACUAUCUUCCUACUUCUCUUUUUAAUUUAAUUUUUUGUAACUCUUCACAAUUUAUUUUGAACAACAUUGAAAAAAACUAAAUGAUUAAAUUAAGGCUCAACUUUUCACUAACCUUAGUUUAUUUAGUCUCACUUUUCACAAAUUAUUCUACUCAUUUCAUGUUUCAUACCAACAACUUUUCUUUUUGCUGAAAAGAAAAAACAACUAUACUUUCUUUAAUCCCAAAAUUAAGGCUUUAUGAAUGAAAAUAAUAUUAUAUUAACUAUGAUAAUUAAGUUUUUAUUUUUAAUAUGAUUAAUAUUAUAUAUAAUAACUUUAAAUAUGCUUCCACUAAUGAGAUAUACUAAAGAAAAGAGUAACUUUCUUUUUAGGAUAACUAAUUUCCAAUUAUGUAUUUUAAUCUAUCACUAAGUAAUUAAUUAAGUUAAUGUCACGAGUGAAUCGUACAUCAUAUACCAACUCAAUUGGAAAUUAUUUUUAAAUUGUAACAAAUAUUAUUAAUAAGAUGUUUUCCUUUUUAUAUUUUUUAUAAAAUAUAUUAAAAAUAAUUAGAAUAAUUUUACGAGAAAAAAACUCAUAUACGGUAGAAUUUAAUCUAAAGAUAUCAAAGUUUUAAAGCCUCAACUUUAACCUUUCAACCGAAAUUCCAUUAGUCUAUAAAUAUUUUAUAAAUAUAGAUUUUAUAUAAAAAGUUUAUGUAAACUUUGUUUUAACCCGCGUCACAAGUAUACCAUAUUUAGAGAUAUUCAUAGCUAGGCGGUCCACUUUGGGUCAAGAAGUUUGUAGUUAGGCAGCCCACUUUGGGACAGGAUUCAGCUUACGUUUUUAAUCUUGGGCUCUAAAAAUAAUAAAAAUAUAAAAAUAAUGUUCUAUUAAUAUUUAUAAAUUUUAUAAAUUUAAAUUUAAUUAUAUUUUUAAACAGUAAAAUCAACCAUUUAUAUGGGCUAAAUUGAGUUAAGUUCGGUUUGCAUCAAGCCUUAACUUGACCAAAUCCAACUAAAAACACCUCUAACCAUAAUCUAGUAUUGUUUUUAUGAAUUGAAUUUUAACUUGUAAUUUUCAAUUUUAUUACAAAAUUUCUUUGCCUACGAUAAGAAAAUAACAUAUUUGUAACUUCUCCAAACAGGAGUAAACGUUCAGUCUGAAUUCGGAAGAUUACAUCAGCUAUAAAGAUGGCCUAGUAGGGUUAUCGGAGUUUUUGAAAAUAGACAUCUUUAAAACGUUUGUUUAAUUUAGUAAAAAACUUAUUUAAUUUCUAAAUUAUUUAUUACUUGAAAUCUUAAUUAAACUUUAAAAGCAGGAAGUUGUAACUAUUUAUUUUUAAUAAAAAUCGGGGUUCAUGUAUAAUUGAUUAAUAACCAUAAUUCGAAAACAAUAAAACUUAAAUUAAAUGUCAUGCAAAAUAAAACAAGCUUAAAUCUAAAUCCCAUGCCACAGUUCAAUAUAAUUUACUGUAGUCUUCGAAAAUAAAAUAAAUCAUAUAAUCAAUCUAAAAUAAUUUUUGUAAUUUAACAAUGUGUCGAGACCUUCCAGAUGUCACUCCCACGUCCUAACCUGGAGGGUUAUCUGUAAGGAUGAAAACCUUCCAGGUGCGGCGCUACGGCGGCGGCCAUGGCCGAAGACCUAGGCCAGAUUUUGGGGAGGGGUUGAGGUUUGAGAGAAUUUUGUUUGAUUUUUUUAGAGGAAAGGAGAAAAUGAAGGAUUUAAAAAAAAAUUGGCUUUUAUAGCAUUAAGAAACGACGCCAUUUUGAUCUUAGGGUUCAGAGGCCAAAAUGACGUCGUUUUAACCUCUGACCCGUCACCCGACCCAGCAGCCCACGAGAUCCUAGUGUUUUUGCGGUGAAUGGGCUAUUUUCGCGCAGGGUCCCUCAACUGUUGCGCCGUGAUGCAAUCUGGUUCCUUCGUUUCUUUUAUUUUGGCCCUAUAAAUUUUAUACUUGUUUCAUUUUCGUCUGUGCUGAAACAUUGUGCUUUAGGGCUGGGAAUAUUGCCCAGUCAGUCCCUAAUUUCUUAAGCGUGUUCCACUUCAGUCCUUAGCCACCCCCUUUUUAUUUAUUUGCGAUUUAAGCCCCAAAUUUUGGGGUCCGUUUUCAAAUUAGUCCUUAGCCGGUUUAAUUUUAAUUUUUUAUUUAAAAAAAGUAGAUUUGUCUAAUAUUUCACUUAAUAGUUAUUUAUUUACUUAUUUUCAAUUAUAAAUCAAACUUACAUUAGUAUUUAUUUAUUUAUCUAUCUAUCUAUCUGUUUAUUUAUUUAUUCAUUGGCUUGUUCUUCUUAUUUGUGCCAUUAUUAUUACUAUCAUUCCAUGUUUAUGUGCUAAUUUUCAAAUAGUUUCAAAAUUUAGAUUCAUUAGUAUUAUAUUUAUUGUUGUUGUUAUUAUCGUUAUUGUUAUAUUGUUACUUGCAUUAUUAUUAUUCAUGCAUGUUAACAUUAAGAUUUAUUAGUAUCAAUGCUAUAUGUGUUUUUUAUGAUGCAUAGUAUGUCAUGAUUAUUUUAAAUGCAUAUCGUAUUAUCGUUAUUAGUUAUGUACGACUCCUCUUUUUAAAAAUGAUUUCUUUUCGAAUAUAAUCAAAGUUGCACGCAUACUAUUUUUAAAUAUUCUACUAGUGCUCACUUAAAUUCCAAAAAAAAAAAAUCAAAGAAAGGCAAUACUUUGCAUUUUGAAUUUGAGAAACCGUACCCUAUCUUACGAGGUUUCGGCUUUCUCGUUAAACCUAAAUAGCAAAAUAUCCUUUUAAAACUUCAAUAUAUGAAUUUUCAAUAAAAAUUAAAGACAAGUUUGUUCUCUAAGGUUCUAAAUAUCGUGUCCUAACUUACGGGACGUGGUAUUUCGUUACCUUGGGAUGAGUGGAUCUUUAACUCUCUUUUCGAUUUAUUCAUGAAAUUUUUAAUGGCAUUAAUAAAAAGGGAUCGUAUUUUAAAUUUCCCUUCGAAUUUUUAACUUUCAACAUUAAGACAUUAAGUAAUCAACUAGGCACCGAUUUUGGGUGUAUUGAGGGUGCUAAUCCUUGUGCGUAACCGACUCCCAAACCCAUUUUCUGGAUUUUUGUGGACCGAAAAAUUUUGUUUUAGUAAAUCAAACCGUUUAUUUAAAACAAUUGAAUUACUAGGUGAUCCAAUCACACCUCACAAAAAAAAAGAUUGGUGGCGACUCCUGUGUUCAUUUUCAUUUACAAAAUUAAAGUCGACCCUCCUUUUUAAAAAAAUAGUUUCGACACUACGGAUAUGAACCUUCAAGCUUUUGUGGAUAAUGUUACAGAAGGUUGUUGCAAAAAGUAUUUUUUAUUCUUUUAUGUGGCAUGCCAUAUUAUCAUAUUAUCAUGUGACAACUUCUGGUGAUUUCUGUCCGUAACAGUUUUUGUUAAAUGAAGAGGUCAAUUGAUUUUUUUGGAAUCAUUGAGUACUCAAUUGGUGCACUUUUUUCAUAAAGGCUAAAUUAAUUUUUUAAUUUGUUAUUGUUGAGGGCUAUAGCAAUAAAAAAAUUUGAGGUAAAAUGAAAAAAAUGUUAGAGCUAAAUUUGUCAUUAUGCCUAAAAUGUAAAACCAAAAUUUUUUGAAAAUGAAAAAAAAUGGAAAAUCACAAAUUCUGUCACUUAUGUUUGCUUAAAAUUAUAGUUUUGGUCACCAAUCUUUUGAAGUAAAUAUAUGGUCACCAAUAUAAUCCAUUUGUUACUUUGUAAUAACUCACCUUAAAGUUAUACCCCUGCGCAAGAAAGGAUUAAAUGACAUUGGGAUACCAUAAAACUUGUAUCUUUUUUUAUUCAUCCAAUGCCAUUUCAACAUUUUCAUUUAAAAAAAUCGACAUAUCAUUUUGGAUUUGAUCUUUUUCAUGAUGAAACUAUUGAAAUGAUGUUAAAUUAUUGGAAAGAGAUACAAGUUUAAUCUUAUCUAUCUAAGAAAGCUGAUGUAACACACUAAUGACAUCAUUUCAAACAAAGUUUUAGGUCCAAUAAUUGUUCAUCUAGUCCUUGUAAUUGCUUUUAGGUGAAUUUCACUAUUAUUCUUUUAUUUUCUUUGGCUUAAAUACACAUUUACCCUUAAUUUUAUCACAUUCUCCUUAAUUGGUAUUUAUGGUUUAGAAAAUUUUACAAAUAUAUUAUUUUUUAAGAAAUUAUAAGAAGAUUACAAAAAUUCCAAAAUUAUAUAAAAAAGCUAAGAAAAACCUAGAAAUUAAAAAAAAUAAUGUUUUUACAAAUUGGGAAAUACCUAAAUUUGUUUUCACCAAUUAAGAAAUUAAAAAAAUUAUUGAGAAAUAUCUUUUUAGAAAUAUCAUAAUUGCAUUUAAGACCUCAUGAUUAUCUUUUAUAAUUUCAGGCUUAUCAACUAUUUUGAAAACAAAGACAAAGAAAAAAAAAAACAAAAACGUCGACAUAUCACUUUAGCAUUGACUUACGUUUCUACAGUUAGUCUUCUCCAACAAGAUAAAUAUUUCAAUUUUAACAACAUUGACAGGUCUUUGGGGUAGGGUCGAGCAAAAGUCAAUAGAAACAGAUGAUAUAAGUUGAGUUGGCUCGGUCAAGCCCAUGUCCCUAACUAUACGCCCCAGGUAAAAUCAAUUUUAAAAUUAAUUAUAAUAGUUUAAGCGAAUUGAUUAUUAAGUAAAAAUACUAAAUUCAAACAAUAUGAUGUAAUCAAAUUAUAAUAAAUAUAUAUUUACUUUUAUGGGAUCCUUCAUCUCCUUUUUAGAGUUUGUGGCAAUUUUUUUUUAAGCUUCAAAUUUAUAUUUUUUAUUUAUGAAUACAAUGUGUCUUACAAUUACAUCUACAGUUUAUAUUUUUUAUUUGAAAACAUAUAUUAUAAUAUAUGAAAAACAUAUGUAUAACCAAAUCUUGUAACACCCAUUUUAUGUUAAAAAUAUUUUCUUUUAAAUUGAGUAUAGGUUGGGUGGUAAAGUACUUAUAUUUUAAUGCUAGUAAAUACAUGUUCAAUCUUUAGAUUUAUAAUUUAUAAUUCUUUUAAUUAAAGAUGAUAUACAAGUAUGAAAAGACAAAAGUGACAUAGUAAUAAUAUUAAUUAUCAAUUUUAUAAUUUCAUAAUUGAGUUGAUGGUGUGGUUGAAGGUGGAUCUAACUCUAAAACACUUAAAUAUAAUAAUAGCUUAAAAAUGAGGGGCUUUUGGUAAAUACAUUUCUGAGUCCUGAUUGAGGGUUACACCAACUCAAUAAAACUCUUAAAUAUUGACUACAAAUGCUAUCACACACUUAUGUGUAUGAAAACCACAAAUUUAGAAUACAAAGAUGUGUUUAAAAUUAAUAUACUAUAAAGAAUGAAAUUUAUGGUUUGAAAGUAAUUAGUAAUAACACAUGAAAUAUGUAUGAUAUUAAAAUAAAAAAAAAGAGAUUCAAUUGUGCAUAAAACAAAAUUUUAUCCUAUUACAUCAAUAAAGUUAUAUUUAUUACUCUCGCCAAUUAUUUGUCAUUAAGAACAUUAAAGUAUCCUUGAAUGAUAUAACUUAUUCUAAAUAGAAUUGAUGUAUGGUUGGCUUGGGAUACCAACUCAGUCAGGGGCUUAAAAUUAUUAAAAUAUUCUUAUUUUAAAGGGAAAUUAAUAUUAUUAUAAGUGUAUUUUCACCUUUUCAUACUUUGAUAUAAUCUUCAAGUAAAACGAUUGAAAAAUAUUAUUUGAGAACACAAGACUAAAAAAAUUCAUAUAGAAAACACUUACCACUCCACUAAUAAUUGUUUGUCAAUGUAUUUUUGGUAAAAAGACCUCUCCAAUCCCUCUUAAUUUCACAAUUACGAAAAUUAGUCCUUCUCAAAAAAAUUGGAGCAAUUUAAUCCCUGUCAAUUUUGAAAGUGAGUAACUAAGGAUAAUUAAUUAUGGUGUUAAAUUCUUCCAUCAAUUAUACAUAAUUUUGAUUGGUAUAGUAAUAAAUUUAGCCUUCAAUGUUUAUAUAUUUUGUCAUUUUGGCCUUAAUUUUUAAAAAAUUUCAAGAAAUUAAUACUCAACAUUUACAUAUUUACACAAACGUUGCAGGAAAAUUUGUUAAAGUAAAACCAGUUAAAUUUAUUAUUAUACCAAAUAAAAUCAUGUACAUUUUAUGGAAAAUUAACAUCCUGAUUAAUUAUUCUUAGUUGCUUACUUUCAAAAUUAAUAGGGACUAAAUUGCUCUGAUUUUUUUAGGGUGACCAAUUUCCUCAAUUUGGAAAUUGAGAGAGACUAUUGAGAUCUUUUACAUAUUUUUUUUAUAAAUAUACUUUUUAAUAUAAAAUAUAUUUGUUCACACACAUCGUGAGUAUGAUAAAAUAUUUUUAUUGUUGAUUGAGUUGGUGUCAAAAAUUAACUUGACACAAACUCAAGAUUAAUGAUAACAAUAUGAUAAAUAAUUUAUUUAUUUAAUAUUCUUAAUUUAAGAUAUUGAUGUAAAUUUUAAGACAUGCAUGUCUUGUAGAAUUGUAAUUAUACUUUUUGAGUAUUGACUCAGUUUUCCACAAUUGUGGGUCUCUAUUUGAGCAAAACAAUUUCAACAUUUCUUCAUCACGCUUAAUCCAAAUGCAUUUAGGAUUUUCUUAUAUCAUUGCUUCAAACGCUUAAUCCAAAGGCACGAAGGCCAGAACUCUACUUUCUAGCCAGUCCGAUCCAAUGAAAGAAGAACAAAGAGUCUUGAGAUCUGAAAACUUUAUUUCAUUUUCAUUUUCUUUGUUAUUUUCUAUGUUUCAUGUCAAAUACAAUGAAAGAAGAACAUAGAAAAAUGUUGCCUAUUUAUUUCCCAAUCAUCACGAAAUUACUUGCCAUAGACUUAGAAUUUUCUCACCAAUUUUCAAGCAAUCUGACAUGAUUUCUCAAUCACAAUUAAUUGAAUUCAAGAUCUUUUUGGAUGACACAAACAUUUCAAUUUUAACACAAACCAAUAUUUAGGUUAUACUUCAGUGCUUGACAAGCACUUUCACAUUUGCGGGAUAAUAACUCUAGCAUUUUAGGAUCACAAUUAAUUCAAUUGCAUUUAAGACCUCAUGAUUUUAUUCUAUAAUUUGAGUCUUAUCAACCUUUUGGGAAAUAAUAAAACAUCGACAUUAAACUUGUUGUUGAUGCAUUCAAUUUGAUUUUUUGAGGGGUCGUUGGAGUUAUAUGUGACUUUAGCAUUGAUUAACUUUUUUAGAAUUAAUCUUUUAUACCAAUUUAAUAACAUCAACACGUUUUUUGGUAGUGUCGAGCAAAACCCAAUUAAAACCGAUGAUAUUGGUUUAGUUGACUUGGUCAAGUCCAUUAGAUGGAUAAAAUCAAUUUUAAAAUCAGUUAUAAUGGAUUAAGUUAAUUAAUUAUCGAGUAAUGAAAUACAUAAUCAAAUCAAUUGCUUUUUGUUAGAAACUAAAAGAAAAUGGGAUGAGCUGAAAACUGAUUGCCCUUUAUUAAAAUUAAGGAAUUCGCCUUUUACAUGUUAGAUAAUAUGAACAUCCCAUAUAUAAUAAGCAAAAUUAUGUACGAUUAUUUAUUAUCAUAAAUGGUUAGUUUAAAUUUAAAGUAAUUUAAUAUGUGUAUUGAACUUCAACUAUUACAUAAAGUAUAAGCUAAAUAUGUAUAAAUAUUCUAGAAACCAUUUCUAACUGAUGAUAGGUUAAUUCGGAAUUAAGAUUAAUAUAUAAAAACUAGAUAGUAGGGUUAUAGUCCUCAAACUACACCUAAUUUAAUAACAUUUCUAGUUUUUUUAGCCUUAAACAUUUAUAGUUUUUUGUUAAUUUGGUCCUUACUCUUUAAAAUUACAUAAAAAUUGCAAAAAUAUUUUAAAAAUAGAUUUUUUUCGUAUUUUUAAUAACAUUUAUAGUUUUUUUUGUGGUUUGGUAACUUAUCAACUCGACUAUUAAUUGUAACCAACUUUUUUGACUUUUUCGUACCCUUAACCAAAGUCCCGUUACAACUUUCUAAAGACCUCUUGACUGGUGUAUCAUCUCGAUUUGUUUUUAUAGUGUGGAGAUUUGGUUUUCAAGCAAGCCUAUGAUAAUCACAUUUUUCGUUCAACUGUUGAGCACACAGUACUUGAACCUUAAACACUUUGAGUGCUUUGAGUGAAUCUUAGUUAGGGUAUUGAUUAUUGUUGAGUUUGAAUUUCAGGUAAUUAUUGAGAUAGAGGAGACACCUAUGUUUUUUGUGCUUUACAAAUUUCUGCUUAGAUUGCUUUUAUUCUUUAGUGUCAUGCUAGUUUCAAUUUCUAGUGCAUGAUUAUCUGUAGAUUAUUCAUAAGGCAUUGUCGGUGAAAACAAUAAACUGAGGGAGAUUAACUUGAAUAAGGGUUGAGAAUUUUGCUUAAGGACAAACAAAUGCUUAAGUGUGGGGAGAUUUGAUAAGUGCUAAAAUUGAAAUGUUUUAACAUCAUUCUUAAUGUGUUUUUGGUUGAUUAUUCAAUGUUAAUUAUGCUCCUAAUCCUUACAAUUCGUGUUUUUAUGUUUAAUAGAACAUUUGGGAAGAAAACGAGCGAAAAAUGAACGAAAACCUGAAAAUGGGAGCAAACAUUGUAUGAAUAAAAGUGAAAGAAGAUGAAAGCAAGUGUUGUAGUUCAUGAUUGCAAGACGAAAUAAGCCAGGAAAAGAAAAAGUAGGAAAAGGGAAGUUGAAUUGAUGAAGAAAUACCCAGCCAACAUGCUUAAAUAGGCUUCAACCCUUGCACACUUCUCAUACAUAAAGUUCACUGCCAUUACAACAAGAAAACUCCUAUCUCCAUUCAUACCUAUCCAUACUUUAUUUGACUAACUUUUCCCUAACAAGCGUUCAGUAAGGAGACAAAUCACUUUGGAGCUGUUCACCGACUUCUCCAACCUUGGUUUCAAACUCCUAUCCCAUCAAUUCACUUUAAUUGAAACGAUAUACACGAGUCUUUCGGCUUAUAUUUUUAAAAUGUAUUUAAAUGAUUUUUUAUUAAUUUUAUUUGUUUAUAUCUAAAUCAAAUAUUAAAAUUUUUAUUUGAUACAGAUUUAAAUCGUAUUAUCUUAUCCCUUACUAUUGUAUCAAAAAAAAUCAAAUAUAGUAAAUUCUUGAAUUUUGUAAUAUAAGGACUAUGUAUGCUUUUUAUCAUAACGCCUGGACAAUCUAGACAUUUUAACUUGCUACUUCCCUUUUUAAUUUAAUUUUUGUUACUUUUCAUACUAUUUUUUGAGAAACCCAAAAAUUCCAUUCUGAUUUUUUUUUUAUUGCCACGUCUAUCUCCUGGGUAAGUCCGCCGUUAGGCAGCCCACUUUGGGGCUAGGAUUGUAAUUUUAAUUCUACCCGACUCAUUUUACUAUUUAGAAAUAUAAAAGUAAUGUUAUAUUAAUUUUUAUAUUUUUAUAAUUUUAAUUUUAAUUUUAAAUUUUAAACAAUAAAACGAGUCAUUUGUAUUUUCCUAGGCUAAAUUGAAUCAAGAGUGAAAAGUUUUUUAAUCAUAAUCUACUAUUAUUUUAAUUAAUUAAAUUUUAACCUACUACAACCAGUAGUUGCAAAAAAAAAAUGUCAUUCAUUUAGAAAAAUGAGAACUUAUGACAAAAUUGGAAAAUCCCAAUAAUAUUAUUAGAGUAAAACCUAAGAUCUAUCUAAACAAGAUAUAGAAGAAUUUGAUAUUCAAAUUAAGGUUAGAAAUCAUGCGAAAAAAAAAAGCUAGUAUAGUCAUUAAUUAUAAAGAUUAAAUCAAAAUAUUAUUUUUUCUAGUUACUUUAAUUAAUCAGACUAAACAAGUAAAAUAUUUUAGUAAAUUUGAAUGUAAAUCAGGAUUCUUGCAAAUCAUGCUAACAGAAAAGUCCAAACCUUUUAACGACUCUUAGUGCACCCAAUAGACAUUACUAAUAGAAAGCGAUGUCAUUUCAAUUAUGUGAUGCACCACAAAUCUUCCAAAGACAAAUGGAUUUUAUAUUUAAUAAAUAUAAAAAAUUCUAUGUAGUUUACAUAGAUGAUAUUUUGAUAUUUUCAGAUACACUAGAAUUACAUAAGAAACAUUUAAAUAUUAUUUCUUAAUAAUCCAUAAAAUAUAGAAUCAUAUUAAACCCUAAAAAUAUAGAGUUAAAAAAAAGAGAGAGAGAAUUUUUAUAAUAGUGGAAAUAAAAAAUUGUCCUCAAAAGAUUGAAGAAAAAAAGAACUUCCAACAAUUUCUAAUAUAUUCCUCCCAAAUUUUCAGUUUCAAUUUUAUUACAGAAUUUCUUUGCCGGCAAUAAGAAAAGAGCAUAUUCACAUUUUCGUCGCAAUUUCAACUAACACCCAAUCUCUUUCCUACUUUUCAUUUUCGGCCAAUUUCAAACGUAGCUGUUUUUCUAUUUUUCCUCUUUAUUUCAUUAAUAAAAAUAGACAAAUAAGGCCCUAACCUUUUAAAAAGUGUUCAAAUAAGGGCUUCUCAAAUGUUGUAUAUCAGGUUAUGUGUUUUACUCUAAACAUAUCAGCAUUUCCUAUUUUUUCUACAAAUUGGGUUGAAGUGCAUGAAAAAUCUUUAUUUUAGCACUUUUGUAAAGGUUAAACUCUUAUUUGACAAUUUUGAAAGGUUUGAUCCUUAUGUGAGCAACCUUUAAAAGAUUGAGCACUAAUUUAAAAGAAAUACCUAAAUUUGUUUUCAUGAAUCAAGAAAUUAAAAAAAAAAAACAUGCUGAGAAACAUUAGAGAUUCUUAGCCUUGACAAGUUCCCUCCACCAUCUCCCUGCCUCCAGUCCCACCUCUUCUCUUAUGCUCCUUCCAGGUUCUUGCUUUUUGUGUGUUGAAAAUUCAAAGGAACAAAAUAUCAACCUAUAUCAUAAGGCACGAAGGCCAGAACUCUACUUUCUAGCCCGUCCGAUCCAAUGAAAGAAGAACAAAGAGUCUUGAGAUCUGACAACUUUAUGUCAUUUUCAUUUUCAUUUUCUUUGUUAUUUCCUAUAUUUCAUGUCAAAAACAAUGGAAGAAGAACAUAGAAAAAUGUUGCAUAUUUUUUUCCCAAUCAUCAUGAAAUUACUUGCCAUAGACUUAGAAUUUUCUCACCAAUUUUCAGGCAAUCUGACAUGAUUUCUCAAUCACAAUUAACUGAAUUCAAGAUCUUUUUGGAUGACCCAAACAUUUGAAUUUUAACACAAACCAAUAUUUAGGUUAUACUUCAGUGCUUGACAAGCACUUUCACAUUUGUGGGAUAAUAACUCUAGCAUUUUAGGAUCACAUUUAAUUCAAUUGCAUUUAAGACCUCAUGAUUUUAUUCUAUAAUUUGAGUCUUACAAACCUUUUGGGAAAUAAUAAAACAUCGACAUUAAACUUCUUGUUGAUGCAUUCAAUUUGAUUUUUUGAGGGGUCGUUGGAAUUAUAUGUGAAUUUAGCAUUGAUUGACUUUUUUAGAAUUAAUCUUUUAUACCAAUUUAAUAACAUCGACAUGUUUUUGGGUAGGGUCGAGCAAAACCCAAUUAAAACCGAUGAUAUUGGUUUAGUUGACUCGGUCAAGUCCAUUAGAUGGAUAAAAUCAAUUUUAAAAUCAGUAAUAAUGGAUUAAGGUAAUUAAUUAUCGAGUAAUGAAAUACAUAAUCAAAUCAAUUGAUUUUGUUAGAAACUAAAAGAAGAUGGGAUAAGUUGAAAACUGAUUGCCCUUUAUUAAAAUUAAGGAAUUCGCCUUUUACAUGUUAGAUAAUAUGAACAUCCCAUAUAUAAUAAGAAAAAUUACGUAUGAUUAUUUAUUUUCAAAAAUGGUUAGUUUAAAUUUAAAGUAAUCUAACAUGUGUAUUGAACUUCAACUAUUACAUAAUGUAUAAGCUAAAUAUGUAUAAAUAUUCUAGAAACCAUUUCUAACUAAUGAUAGGCUAAUUCGAAAUUAAGAUUAAUAUAUAAAAACUAGAUAGUAGGGUUAUAGUCCUCAAAGUACACCUAAUUUAAUAACAUUUAUAGUUUUUUAGCCUUAAACAUUUAUAGUUUUUUGUUAGUUUGGUCCUUGCUCUUUAAAAUUGUCAAAAAUUUUACAAAAAUAGUCAUGGGAUAAAGUUUAUAUGUUUAGAAUACUUAGUAAAUCUAUUUUCAAGAGAAUCAAAUGGAAACAAUAUCCGAAUCUUGUACAAUGAGAUAAUUAAUUUUUAGUGAAGAGAGGUCAGAACUGUCUAGUAGUGAAACAGGGGAAAAUUUAAAGAAUAAACUGUACUAUUUGGCUAAACCAAAAAUUCUGAAAAUUUUAUGGUAAGAAAAUAUGUGAAUCUAGUUUUGGGAAAAAUUUAUGGCUCUUAAUUUGGAGUUCUGUAGCUCCGGGUAAAAAUAAUUUAGUGACUCUGACUCGAAUAGAUAUCUUUGAAUAUACAUGUAAGUGAAUAGUGAAAUUGUGGUUAAUGUUGUUUAAGUGUAUUAUACACAUUAAGGAUGUGGAAUGGAGAGGAGGAGGAGGAAAAUUGGAAGAAUUAUGAAUGAUUUGUGUAUAAUUGGACAUAUGCUCGAUUAUAAUCGAUAAACGAUUGAAAAUAAAUGAUGUUUAUAAUUGUACAUUAUUAGUUAUAGUUAAAGUUCAUGUGAGAAAAUAAAGUUUCAUAGUAUGUGUAUGUGGUAUACUUGGUAUAUGAUUUGGUAUGUAGCAAUGUCAGAAAUGGUUUAUGAAUUAACUCAUGUUGAUAAAUUUGAUACAUAAAUAAUUGUGGUGCUUAUCCAUGCUUAUAAUGCUUAUAAUGCUUAUACUAUAUGUUUAUUUGGCUAGCAUGUUUGGUGUGUAUGCUUAGGCUUUGGCCAAGUUGUGGCUGGAUUACGCCACAUUAAAUUUAUAAAAUUAUGCAUUGAGAUGGUAAAUGUCUAGAUGGAAAUAUGCUUGUGAUCAUAAAAGGGUGGUUAGGUUUAAAGUUUGUAAUCUUUAUUAAAAUGGUUUAUCACGUGGUUAGUCUUCAAAAAGACUAGCCUGCGACUAUGGUUGAGUGUAAUGUUUAUAUCUUGUGUGAUAUGCAUAGGAAACAGGAGUGGAAAGGAAAUGAAAUACUAGGUUCAUGCUUGAAGUGUAAAAUGAUGCAAAAAGGGGACGUUAAAUUAAUCGAUAAUAUGUAUUAGUAUUGAACUUAAUGAAAUUGAAUUGUACGUGAAUUAAAUAGAAAUUACAAAUGAUAUGAUUUGAAUUAAAUGAAUUAUUAUGGUAUUGAAAUGUAUAUUGGAUUGAGAAAUUGAAUUGAAUCGUGAACAUGAGAAUCGUGAAUUAAAUGAAAUGGAAAUGAAGUAUUAAAUUGCAUGAGCAUGCAUUGGGUCUCAAAAGCCCUAUUUGCUAAAAAUAUAGUAUUUUGAAGUUAUAACGUGAAGAUUUAUAAAAGCAUGUUAAAAAUUUGAAGAGUUUAAAUUUGAAUGAAAUUUUAUAACUCGGUUUAACAUGUUUAUAAGUGUAUGUGUUCUGGUAAUGCAUAGUACCCUAUUCCGACGUCGAAUACGAGUAAGGGGUGUUACAAUGUGACAUUGCUAGAUUCGGUCAUAAUGUUUAGACCGGAUUUAGGGUGUUACAGCUGAGUUCCCGGAGUACCCUGAAAUACUUCCUACUCACCGGCUGGCCGUAAAUUCUGAUCAUGAGGAGUUAUUCGUAGGCCAAAUAUUCGAAAGUAAAGAAGAGUGCGUAUUUGCUAUUAAACGGUAUAGCAUGAACAUAUCAGUGGAUUAUAAAGUCGUAGUGUCUAAAUCGACAGUAUAUAUUGGGGAGUGUUGGAAGGCAGCGGAAGGCUACAAUUGGCGGGUACAAGCUGCAUUCAUUCAAAAUUUGCAGAUAUGGGAGAUACGAAAAUUUGUUGGGCCUCAUACAUGCACAUCAACACGUAUGACAGAAGAUCAUCGAAAACUUGAUUCCAAAACUAUCUGUAUGUGUAUCAUGCCAAUGGUCAAUGACAUGCCAACCAUUAAAGUUUCGGUACUGAUUGCCAAAAUGUAAGUACAAUUCCAGUAUCGAGUAUCAUAUCGAAAGGCGUGGAUAGCUAAACAGAUGGCAAUAUAGCAAUUGUAUGGGGAUUAUGAUUUGUUGUAUACUGAGCUACAAGAAUGGAUAGCUACUAUGCGGGAGUACAUACCGGAGACUGUGAUUGGGUUACAGACAAGACCUUAUUACGACCGGGAUGACCAAUUACAGCCGGGGAAAAGAAUUAUCCAAAAUGAAGCCAUUUAACCUUAAAUUCAGCUUUAAUAUAAUGCAAAAAGGGAAGAAAAGUUUCGUACUAAGCAUACCUAAAAUUGAUCUAAUUAAAGUUAUACAAAAAAGUACAAACUUUGUAAGAUAAAAGAAAUACAAACUAGAGUAAUAUCAAAAUCGCAAGAAACCCCUAAAAUUGAUGGUUUAAUGGUGUGGUCCUAGGGGUAUACCUCUGCAGAGGUCAACGUUCACGUUGUGGGUGAUCGCGACGACCAACAUCCUCUUUAGGUGCAGGUGGGGGUGUACUAAACAUGGAAUAAAAAGCAUAUGGCUCGAAUGGCAUCGAUAAACUUGAACCAGAAGAAGUGCCAUGAUGCUGUGGAUACGACCCAGGGGGACUGAUAUACUGCAGUGGAUAUGGGCCAGGAAUGUUGUACUGCAGUGGGUACGAUCUAAAGAUAUCAAACUCGUAAUGGUAUCUGCCCCCUGAAAAGCUCGGGAAAUAGUCAUUGCCCGCCAAAUCUAGAUGAUAAGAAUGUGAUUCCGAAUGUGAAUGUGAUUACUCAGGAUCUAACUUGGGCUCUGACUCGGGCUCCGGUACGGGAUCAGGCUCGGGAUCAGGAUCUGUUACUAACUCCGCCUCCAUAUCAGCCACUGGCUCGUAUACCCCAGGUUACUGCAUGUGCGGGGGGACUACAGUCGACUGCCCUCCAAGUAGAUAUGGCUUUGCCAAACUAGAGUACCAUUGUAUGUACUCUACUCAUGGUUAUAAAUCGAAAGCCAUAACCAUCUGAGGUAUUUGAGUCAUCCGAUUAUUCCAUAACGUAACAAAUCUCCGGUGCUUAACCCCCCAAUUCAAGUAUGGUUUCCCCCUCUUAUUGAUGUCGUGAACCACCCCCACCUCGCAUGGCGAAUCUGGGAUAUAUUGGACGCAACCAAACUGUCGUAGCACUUGAUCCCCAUGGUACCACUUGACUACAUUGAAAUUUAUAAUUGGUGCGUUAGUACACCACAUAUGAGAAUGAACGUAGGCAGAUGAGGGUAUAAUAGCUACAAUUUCCAGUCUACAAUAUGGCAUCCAUAUAAACUGCAUAAUUAAUAACAUGGUUAUAAUUUAACACGGUGUGAGUAAGAUAUAGAAAGUAACAUGUCACGAAUAUUAGAAUAGCUUACCCCUUCCCCGGCAUGGUUAUAAUUUAAUGUUUUAUUAUUUAUGUUAUGUACAUACUAUGUCUUAUUAUUUUAUUAUUUAUGUUAUUAUUUAUGUUUUAUUAUUUAUGUUAUGUACAUUCUAUGUUUUAUUAUUUUAUUUAAUUUAUUUGUUAAGUGGGUUUUAUGUUGAUUAGAUAUAUUUUUUAUGAAAUUUAUUUACCGUCUGAUGAUCGAACAGCAUGCCGGGGAAGAGGUAAGCUAUUCUAAUAUUCGUGACACGUUUCUAUCUAUAUCUUACUCACACCGUGUAAAAUUAUAACCAUGUUAUUAAUCAUGCAGUUUAUAUAGAUGCCAUAUCGUAAACCAGAAAUUACAGUUAUUAUACCCUCGUCUGCCUACGUUCAUUCUCAUAUGUGGUGCACUAAUGCACCAAUUAUAAAUUUCAAUGUAGUUGAGUGGUACCAUGGGGAUCGAGUGCUACGAUAGUUUGGUUGCGUCCAAUAUAUCCCGGAUUCACCAUGUGAGGUGGGGGUGGUUCACGACAUCAACAAGAGAGGGAAACCACAAUUGAAUUGGGGGUUAAGCACCAGAGAUUUGUUGCGUUGUGGAAUAAUCGGAUGACUCAAAUACCUUAGAUGGUUAUGGCUUUCGAUUUCUAGCCAUCAGUAGAGUACAUAGAAUGGUACUCUAGUUUGGCAAAGCUAUAUCUACUUGGAGGGCAGUCGACUGUAGUCUUCCUGCAUAUGCAGCGACCUGGGGCAUACGAGCCAGUGGCUGAUAUAGAGGCAGUGCCACCUACAGAUCUUGAUCCCGUAUCGGAGCCCAAGUCGGAGUCCGGGCUAGAUCCCGAGCAAUCACAUUCACAUUCGAAAUCACAUUCUUAUCAUCCAUAUUUGGCGGGCAAUGACUAUUUUGUCAAGGGGCGGAUACCAUUAUGGGUUUGAUAUAUUUGGAUCGUACCUACCAUAGUACAGCACUCCCGACCCGUAUCCAUUACAGUACAUCAGUCCUCCUGGGUCGUAUCCACAGUAUCAUGGCACUCCUUCCAGCUCAAGUUCAUCGAUGCCAUUCGAGCCACAUAAUUUUUUUUCCAUGUUUAGCACACCCUCACCUGCGCCUAAAGAGGAUGUUAGUCAUCGCGAUCACCCACAACGUGAACGUCGACCUCCGCAGAGGUAUACCCCUAGGACCACACCAUCGAACCAUCAAUUUUAGGGGUUUCUUGCGGUUUUGAUAUCACUCUAGUUUGUAUUUUUUUUAUAUUACAAAGUUUGUACUUUUUUGUAUAAAUUUAAUUAGAUCAAUUUUAGGUAUGCUUAGUAUGAAAAUUUUCUUCCCUUUUUGCAUUAUAUUAAAGCUAAAUUUAAGAUUAAGUGGCUCCAUUUUGGAUAAUUCUUUUCCCCUGCUGUAAUUGGUCAUCCAGGCCAUAAUAAGAUCUUGUAUGUAACUCAAUCACAGUCCCCGGUACGUACUCUCGCAUAGUAGCUAUCCAUCCUUGUAGCUCGUUAUACGGCAAAUCAUAAUCCCAAUACAAUUGCUCUAUUGCCAUCUGUUUAGCUAUCCACGCCUUUCGAUAUGAUACUCAAUACUGGAAUCGUGCUUGCAUUUUGGUAACCAGUACCGAAACUUUAAUGGUUGGCAUGUCCUUUACCAUUGGCAUGAUACACGUACAUAUAAUUUUGGAAUCAAGUUUUCGAUGAUCUUCUGCCAUACGUGUUGAUGUGCAUGUAUGAGGCCCAACGAAUUUUCGUAUCUCCCUCAUCUACGAAUUUUGAAUGAAUGCAACUCGUACCUGCCAAUUGUAGCCUUUCGCUGCCUUCUAACACUCCCUAAUAUAUAAUGUCAGUUUAGACACUACGACUUUAUAAUCCACUAAUAUGUUCAUGCUAUACCGUUUCAUAGCAAAUACACACUCUUCUUUACUUUCGAAUCUCUGGCCUACGAAUAACUCCUCAUGAUCAGAAUUUACGGCUAGCCGGUAAGCAGGGAGUAUUUCAGGGUACUACGAGAACUCAGCUACAUGCACUGUGUCGGGGUUUAUGAGCAACAUGUGUGGCCCAAUAUUAUUGUGUAUCACAAUACGUCGCAUCUAGUUCCCGACUGAAGACGCGUUAAUAUUUCCAUUGUUAUUCACAUGUUCAUUGUCAAUAUCAUCAGAUACAUCGUCCACAUCAGGAUCACUGUCACUAUCGACCUCUUGAUCAUAAUGAUUGCUACCAUUGUAUCCAUCAUCACCAACAACAUCAAUAUCGAGUGUAAUAUUGAGAUCGAUACCGAUCCCACCUAUAGUCGAUUCACUAUCAACGUACGAUAUUGGAGCCACCAUGCACGGUUCUUGAGCUACAAGUUCUUCACCAUAUGCAUUGACAUCUUUAUUUUUCUUCAUACCGGCUAACUCAGCAAAUAAGUGAAUCGGUGCAUUUUUGUCACUCCCAUUCCCAUAGUAAAGAGUGAUCAUUGUCUCCACGUCUUCCUCGUCUACAAGUUCCAUUUCGGUGUAUUUGAUCGGAUCUGUCGAAAUUGGAAACUUGUAGAAAAUUUUUGAUAUCCUUCUCCCACAACGUCUAACAAUUUUUGCAUUAAUCCUUCCCUUCAUAUCAUCCAAUGAGAUAUUUCUAUUAAAUCUCAUUGCUAUUUGUUACCGACAUUUUAAUAUACAUCCAACAGUUAUUGUCAAUAUGAUUCCAUCGAAAUAAACGCAUACAAAACACUUAUCAUCCAUCUUCAAUAUUCAAUCUGUUAAAAAAUAAACAAAAUUUUAAAAACCAAUUUCGAACAGUAAAUAAAUUACUUAAAUAAAAAAAUUAAUGUUUCAAUAUGCAAUUUUUUCAUUCAUAAGCUCAUACUAUUUCAGUUAUCAUUUUGUACAUGAACAACAUUUAACCACUAAUCCUAAUAACUAACACAAUAAUUAAUAAUAAUAAUAGUUUUUUCACUAAAAAUAAUACUAACUAACAAUAAUAAUUAGGAUUUUACUAAAAAUAAUAACUAACAAUAAUAUAAUGUAAAAGCUAACUGUCAUACUAACUAAAAUAAUAAUUAGGGUUUCUACUAAUCCUAAUAACUAACCAUAAUAAUAAUAUUAGUUUUUUACUAACAAUAAUAUUAAGUAACAAUAAUUAUUAAUAACUAAACCCUAAAAACUAACAAUAAUUAUACUAACUAAAAUAAUAAUUAGGGUUUUUAUUAAUCCUAAUAACUAACAAUAAUAACUAAACUAAAAACAAAAAACAAUAAAAAAUAUACAAAAAAUUAAUAACGAGAUAAUCCAUUAUUUUUUUAAAAAUACCUUUUUUUUCUUUUUUUUUUCUUCUCUUUCUUUCUCAUUUCUCUAUUCUCUUUCUCUCGUUUUCUUUUCUUUUUCUGGCACCGCCCUCUCUUUUUCCUUCUUCUCAUUCUCUUCUUCUUCUUCUUCUUCUCCUUUUCUUUUCUUUCUUCCCUUUCGUGUAGCUGAAGUGAAAGUGAAAUUGAGGACCAUUAUAAGGUCCCCAAAAGGCAGGAAAGCAUGGCACAGGUGUCGCAUGUGGCAGUGGCACAUUGGGUGCCACCUCUGCCACUGGCACCUUUGGUUCCACCUAUGGUAGAUCCUCGACUAGGGUCCUGUCACUUUCAUCAGUUUUUUUUACUGUUUGUACCAUUUUGGUACAUAAUAAAAUGGUUGUAUUAUUUUAAUAUUAUUUUAAUUUUUUUGUAUUAUUUAUGUUUAAAAACCUUGGAAAUUCGUUCAACUCCUUUAUGGGUAAACUACAAAAAUAGUCAUUUUUGUUUGUCUCAAAUUACAUUUUAGUCACUUAUGUUUGAAAUGUUGUGUUUUAGUUACUUACGUUAUGGUUUUGUUACGGAGUGGUCAUUCUACCUUUAAGCUCUGUUAUCUCCCUGACGGCGGCCCUAUGUGGCAGUCUAAAUGGGUUUUAAAAGCCAACUUAGAUGUCCUACGUGACAAUCUAAAUUAAAUUUAUUUAAUUAAAAACCUAUUUUCAUCGCAGCAACUAGACAUCUAAGUUGGUAUUUAAAACACAUUUGGACUGCCACAUAAGACUGCCGUUAGGGAGGUACAGAAUUUAGCGGUAGGGUGACCACUUCAUAACAAAAUGAUAAUAUAAGUAACUAAAAUGUAACAUUUUAACUAUUUUUAUAGUUUACUCAUUCAUUUUUAAAAUACUCUUAAAUGAUUUCAUAGUCACUUAAGUGCUUUGAUUGGACAUAAAGGAAUUAAAUCUCUAUCCAUUUAUGUAAAACGCCAGAAAUAUUAGCGGUGUUUAAAGAAACUCAUUGAGUUAUUUUUUAUAAAAUUAUAAUCAAUUCAUUAUUUUUAUUAAUUUCUUUAAAAAGUAAUGUAUGGAAAUGAUUUUUAGAGAGUAAAAUAAUUGUUUACAUUUGAAGUCAUAAAAAGUAGAUUGAAGAAAAAAGGUUUACUACUACAAGUAUGUUUUAAGUGUCCAAAAAGAAAAGAAGAGUCGCAAGUGAAGAGUCGCAGCUUCCAACACAGUUAGCGAGAGCAAAGCUCCCAGCAGUCACAUUAAGGCUCGUAGGUGAAGAACCACAACCUCCAAAAUAGUUAGUACGAGCUUAAGCUCCCAACUGUAAUCUUAAAGCUCGCCGGUUUAAUAUCGCGACCUUUAAAACAGCUUGAGGACCUACGUUCUCGACUCAUAUUAUAGAGGUUAGCUAGUUUAAAAUUGCAACAUUCUAUUAUUUGAGUUAGUUGAUUUAAGACUACAGCUUCACAUAGCUCACUGAUUUAAGAUCGUAACUGUCAUAUCAAAUUCGCAGGUUAAAUACCGCAACCUUUGAAACAGUUGGCCCGAACUCAAGCUCCCAGCUGUCAUCCUAAGCUAGUAGGUUCAACAACACAACCUCUAAAAUAGUUAGUACGAUCUUAAGCUCCCAGCUGUAAUCUUAGGCUUGCAAGUCCAACACCGUAGCCUCCAACAUAGUUAGCGUGAACUCAAGCUUCUAGCUGCAAUCUUAAGGCUUGCCGAUUUAAUAUUGCGACCUCCAAAAUAGCUCGUGGACCUACUUUCCAGCUGAUAUUCUAAAGGCUCGCCGGUUUAAUAUCGCAACAUCCAAAACAACUUGCGGACCUACGUUCCCAGCUCAUAUUAUAGAGGUUAGCCGAUUUAAAAUCGCAACCUUCAAUUAUUUGAGUUAGUUGAUUUAAGAUCACAGUUUCAUGCAGCUCAUUGAUUUAAGAUUGUAGCCUCCGAACAGCUCGCUGAUUUAAGAUCAAAUUUGAUAUUGAAUAAUUUUCUAUGAGUUGGUUGGUUUACAAAAUUUUUCUUAUAGGAAACACAGUUCAUAAUAUUCUGCAUUACAAUUCUUGACUCCUAUUCCACACUAUCAGACAACAAAAUUUGUUCAAUAAAGUUUCAAGUUAAAGCUUAUAUAGUACACCCCAAAUUAAACAUGCUAUCUGUGUAAGUUUGUCUUAGAAGAAUCACUUUAUAACUCUUCUUCAACAAGAUGAGGGACAAUUUGUUAUAUAAUUAUAAUAAAAUAAAAAUGACUCGAUCCAGAGUCUAACCUGGUAUGAUAAAAGGAAACCCUAAACCCCAAAGUAAGAGGACUCCUUCUUCUACCUCUAUUUUUUUCUCUAAAGAGGAGACCAUUUUCUCUCAUCUGGGGCCUCUAUUUCUAUUUUUGUUGAUUCUUUGUAUCAACAAAUUUGAUACGUAAAGCAUCUUUGAUUGCAUCCCUCCACUUCAAUAUCCGACCCUCAAUGACUUGCUCCAGGCGUAGAUUACUCAUCUCUUUGAUAGAAGUAUAGAACAUAACAGAUAGCUUUAACAAUACUCAGAUUCAUCCAUUGGGUUCAUCUUACUAUUGUAGAAACAUCACCGUAGACAUUAAUUAUGUUUUUUACAACCAGAAAUAGAGCCAAUGGGAAACUAUGUUUUUUGCACUUAAAAAUGUAAAACAUCAAAUAAGAUAUGUGAUCUAAAUAUAAUCGAUUUAACCCUAUUCUUUUUUAUACAAUUGUAAUUAAAAUUCAAGUUAUUUUUAAUGAAUAUCUGUUAGGAUAUUAUUAUGAGAUAUAUUAUAUAUUAUUGUAUAUCUUUUAAGCAUAUUUUUAAGAAUAUAUUAUAUAUCUUUUUUAUUUCUAUGUGACUAUUGCUGCAUAAAUAUUAUGUACAUUCUUGAGAUAAAUCAAUAAGAUUAAAACAUAUUAAUCUAUUUUUGUCAAAACAAAAGAUAGAUAUUGAUUAUUUGUGACUAUUUGUGAAAGGAUAAUGAUAUUGAAUGACAAAACAUAUUAUUAUAUAAACCUCUUGAAAAUGGAAAAGUUUUUUACAUUGCGAUUUUGCCUGUACUUGAAAUCACUGUCUUGGAGGUGGAGUAAGUUUAGGUCUACCACUACCACCUCCAGUUUUCGUUGGGCAUGAAACUUGGGGUGAUUCGACUUUGAUUCAUCAUUUAGAGACUCUCCAAUUAAAGCAGAUCAAUUGAUUUCCACAAAUUAGAUUCAUUUGCAACCAUUUAACAAUAUCAUUUAUGAAGCUCAAAAUUAUUCUCAUUAAUUUUAGAUCAAUCUGAUGCAAAACAUAAAUUUAUAAUUGAACCAUCAUUAAUAUAAAAUACAAAAUUUGAUAUCCAAGUUUUGACAUUUUUUUAAAAUAUGAUACUUGUGUAAUUUUUUGGUUUAAUAUGGUACUGACAAAAGUUAUUUAUUUUGGUACUUGAAAAUAACAAUGUUAAUUUUGUAGUGUUUAAUUUGAGUUUGAGUUGAGUUGAUGAAAAUUUUUAAUCAAUUAAUAAAAUUAGCAACUAAAUGUCAUCAAAUCAACCCUAGAACCCAAAUUAAAUCACAUCAAUUAAAUUAUAUUUGACAAAUUAAACAUAUAAAACUAUUUAUUCUUGUUAGGAUUUGGCAACCGCUAGCCCAAAUGACCUAAUAGGUUCCAGGUUUUCGACCAGAAUAGACCCGAUCCAAAAGAAGAAUGUUCACUGUAAAGAUAGUUCGCUGGGGACCCCGUUGGGAUGCUGGAUGUUCGUAAAGAUAGCUCGCGGGGAGAGCUUGCGAGGGACCCCGCUAGGGUGCUCGUAAAGAUAGCUCACAUAAGCCUCGUAGGAAUAGGGUCACAAGCUAUAUCCACAGAAGGGAUCACGAGCGCUACAAGGGAUCUCCACUUGUAACUAGCGGGUAUGGUGUUUGUUGGAGGUGUCAGUCCCAGGAUUAGAAAGGACCAGUUGGCCCAAGAUUUUGGCCUUCAUCAUUCGGCCUCUGUACCAUAGUAGAGAACCCAACUCGGCGCUGGCCCAAAUCGUGCCCUAGGUCACGCCCAGUUGGUUGGUCAUAUGGACCAUGCGAAAUAAUUGGGCCACCAGCAGACCCAUGAAAGACGCCAUAUGGUCCAUCAGCAAGACCAAAAUCACGCCCAGCUCAAGUAGGUGUAGGAUAAACAAAGGUAUGAGCAACCCUAUGUUGCAGCUGUUAAUAGCCAAAAUCUUGUGGCCAUCUCCCCCACGAGGCGCCUCCAGGAUCUUGCGCCAAAACGGGCACUGUACGUAGCCCAGGGCCACCAGAACUAGCGGAUCGGCCAUAAACGUCACCGUGCAGCCCUUGGCCAUCACCAGUAGAGAAAAAUUACGCCGUGGUUGAAGCGUUCGAACCACCAUAGUCGUGAUUGAAUUGAUAGAAACAUCACUGUGCCAAGCGACUGUAUCUGCCGCAAAUUUGACAUUGUGUUCGAGGAUGAAACCCACGACCACUGCGUGACCCAGCUGUGGAAUGCGCACCACGCGGAUUUGAGUCGGCCGCCGCAACCAAAAGAGAACCAUGUGAGCAAGCAUCGGAACAUCAUGCGCCACUCUCGUCUGUCGAUUUUCAAAUUCCAAUAGAAUGUCAACUAAUUUCUGGAAAGGCAACGUCUCAGACAAAAAUGAGGCCAACGUGAGCACCGUGUCAAAGUCAAUGGAGAGGCCGACUAGGAGAACCUCCACCUUUUCAGCCUCCAAAACAGCAGAACUAAAAGCCACAAGUAACGCACAAAUAUCUUGAAUUUUGGUAAUGUAUUCUUUUACAGUUAAAUCACCUUUCUUGAUAGAAUGUAGGCCAUGGCGAACACGAGACACCUUCACACCAGUGGAAGCUGCAAAAAGAUGAUUCGCAGUGCUCUAGAUAUCACAAGUAGAUUUAGCAGUGAUAAAAUAGGAUAACAAAGACGUACUAAUCUUAGAUAGGAGCCAAGAGGCCAACAACUUAUCUUGUUGAGUAAACAAAGAUGCAUUUGUAUUCGGAGUAAGACUACCAUCAGAAGACGCCACAAAUCUAGGCAGAGCAGUUAACGUGCCCUCCAGAAACCCUUGCAACUCAUAUCCUUCUAUAAUGAGUCGAACAUGAUGCUGCCAUUGAACAAAGUUUCCCUCAUCUAGCUUCACUGUAUCAUGAUGAGGAAACGAUUGAACCAAUCGUGCACUGGAAAAAGAUGAACUGGUUGGAUCAGCAACAGCAGAAUCUGUGGAAUAAGCCAUGAAUCGACUACGGAAGCUUGCACCAGGAACUAGGCGACUGAUACCAUGUUAGGUACUACACUAUUACAAGAAUAGAUUUUAGAGAGAAUUUUUCUGAGAAAUUGCAUAGUAUUAUUAUCUGCUUUAAUCAAUACACUGUCAACGUUUAUAUACUUCAAUAUGUGUAACUGCUCCUAACCAACUAUACCAGACUAAUCAACUGAAUGAUAACAAACUAACAAAUCUUAUGUUAACAAUCUCUAUUCUUCUAACAUUGUCUAUUUAUGCUUUUGAAAUGCUGACUUGUACUGCUAUUUCCAACCUUCUUUUCCUCUAUUUUUUCAAGCCUUAUACUAUCCCUAAUCAUCCCUUAAAUUUCCCUCCUUGUGCCGCCCAAAGCAGCCCUCGUGUGUGCCAUCCAUGGUAAUGUGUCGCCAUUUUAAACACCACUUUGGGGUUGCUGUUUUUCUCUCUUUAGUCGUAUCUUUCCAGAAAAUAAAAAUUGUUGUUCCACUCCUCUAAUCAAUAUUUAAUUUUGUUGUUUUCAGGUGUAUUCGAUUCCCUUCGUUCAAUGAUUUCGAAAUAGUUAAAGGGUAGUGUAAGUGUGGAAGCUAGUGAGAUUUAGUACCGUAUUAAUUUCGUUUAAAUAUGCUGAUUUGGCCGAUUAUUCUAAGGAGUUAUUAAUUGUUUUAGCUACUAGUUUUUGAUAUAAAAUUAUCGUAGGUGCUGAUUGUAACAUCCUGAUUCAACAGUAAGCCGAAACCUAUUUGCACUCUCGCUUGCUCAUUUUUUAAAUUAUUAGAGAUAAUUUGCUCCAUUUUUUUUAGAGGAACCAAUUGAUGGAGAAGCACAUAGAAGUGUUUUUACUAAUAAAAUCUAAAUAUAAAAGUAUACAUUUCGAUAACACAAACACUUGCAUACUUAACCCUAUUUUCAUAAAACAUGGACAAAAAUCAUAUACCCAUAAAUAAUUUAAAGCAUUCAAGGUUGAUCUUUUAGGAAUUAAGACUAAAUUAACAAUAUAUAUAUAUAUUAAUUAUCUCUACAUUAUAUAUAUUUUAAAUAAUAUAUUAAAAUUUAACAAUUUCAGUAAAUUUUAUAAUUUUUUUGAAUGUUUUAUAAUAUUUUUGAAAAUUUAAUAAAUUUUUAUUUAUAUAUUUCAAAAUUUUCAUUUAUAAUUUUUUUUUAGAAUUAAAGUCAAAUUUACACCAUGUAUAAAUGUUGAAGGUUGAAUUUAAAAAAAAAAACAAAUAGAACUAAAUAAACAAAAUGGGUGAAUGUUAAAGACUAAAUUUGUUAUUAUUCCAAUAUUUCAUUUGGAGAUCAAAGGUAUUUUAAUAGUAGGAUGACUAUAAAUUGUAAUUGAUCUAAUGGGAGUGACUAAAAUAAUAAUAAAUUUUUUUUGUGACCAAUACAAAAAUACCUUAAAAUUUGGGUGACUAUAAGGAAAGUUUACCCAAAAUAAAACAUUGUAAGCUUUUACAAAUUCGGACGUCUUCUACGGGCGUGAUUGUUCCUUGACUUACGGGUCGGGAGUUGUCGAGCCAUUGAAGUUUUUCAACUACGAGACCACCUUAAGCAAAUAUGUCAAUAAAUAAAUAAUCUAACUCCAUCCAAUCAGAGACUUCAAACUCUUACUGCCCACCUCUUAUUACAUCGCUUGAAAGAGGAAAUUCAACGGUUCAAAGUUGAGAAUGGAAAGUUGAAAGCACGACUUGGAUUGCUACUCUUUAAUGCGCAAUUCCAAGCAGCAGCUCAACAGAGACAGGAUGGUUACAUUACCCAGUCAACCGGCAAGCAGCUUCACCCUCAAACUGUUACUGUCCAUGGAACAAACUGUGAAGCUGUUGACAAGGUAUGGCAUAUUAAUUGUUCUACAUGUUUGAAAAAUCUAAUGCUUGAACUGGAAUUUAUGUUUGGAUUUCGAUACCUUGGAUUAAACCAUAUUAAGUUUCUCAUAAAGAUUCAAAUUCUGGAAUCCUGAUUUGUUUUCCCUCACAAUUCAUUGUCUCGGCUCUGCAAUUUGGAGAUGAAUGAGAUACAAAAUCUGCAGGGAACAGCUCCUGUAAAUGUAGUUGAUUGUAAUGACGGUAUAGCAAAAAAUCAGACGAGUUCUGAAGUUGAAACAUGCAGUAAUAAUGAAGCAGCCAUAACUGAAAUUCUUAUGAAACUUGAAGCUGAUGACGAGAGCAGAGUGAAGUUCUCUGACUUCACUGGCUUACAUGGUGAGCGCAUAUCAGUAGGAAAAUAUAGUUUCCCACCAGCCCUACAUCCGAUUGUGAACAACAUUAUCGAAGUCUACGGUGAUGGUUCAGCAACAAGUAAGAUGAACCCAAGUAUUGCCGAGACCGUUUAUAUCAUGUUCUGUGCAUCUGUCAAAGAGAUGAGCAAUCUACGGCUGGAGCACGUCACCGAGGAUCUGAUAUUGAAGUGGAGGGAUGCAAUCAAAGAUGCUUUACGCAUCAAUUUCAAGGUGGAUUUCGCCAUGGAACAUUUGAAGAAAAUUGCUUGUGCAUACAUCGGUUUAAUGGAACGUCAAAAGCUGGAUGGUGCGGGCUUGAGGAUAUCCAAGUUAGAGGCUGAGUUGAGUACUGCGAAAGAGGAGCAUGCAAAGAUAUGCGAGCAGUCCAAGGUGUUUAUAGAUGCUGCAGAAGAGUUCAACGAUAAGCCUGUCAGCUCUGGUAUGUUCAAAAGACCUGGCCAGAUGAACAUUGAGCUAGAGCUAACAAAUGAAUGAGAAUUAUGCUUAGCUAUCAAGUCCAAUCGAGUUUUUGUUGUUAAUAUAUAUGUUUUCAUUUUUGUUUGAAACUAAAAUUUGAGUUUAAAUAAUUGAAUGAGAAUUAUGCUCAUUUUAAUAAGGUAAAUUGACCUCAAACAUUAAAAGUGAAAGUUGAUAGAGCUAGACCGAGCUUGACCAAGCUUCUAAACUCUUCUACAGCAUCCAUAAACACCUUGGACCGUUCACAUAUCUUAGUAUGCUCUUCUUUCCCAGGAUUCAACUCAGACUCAAUUGGAUAUCCUCAAAGCCAUAUUAUCCAGCUUUCGACACUCCAUUAAACCGAUGUAAGCGCAAGCAAUUUUCUUCAAAUGUUCUACGGUGAAAUCCACCUUGAAAUUGAUGCCUACAGCAUCCUUUGUUGCAUCCCUCCACUUCAAUAUCCGACACUCAGUGAAGCAUAGAACGUGAUAUAGAUCGCCUCGAAAAUACUUGGGCUCAUCUUACUUGUUGCUGAAACACCUCCAUAGAAAUCAAUGAUGUCGUCUACAUUGGAUGUAGAGACGGUGGGAAACUACCGUCAACUACCACAUCGGCCUUUUAUAGUAGAAAAUGUGUGAAUAAAAACAGAGGAAGAAAUUCAUAUGUUACGAAGAAUCAGAUUUUGGUUUUCUUACAGUUUUCCUUGCGAUAACACCCAAGUUAGUCGUACGCUUUGUAUCUUUUGGUUGUUUUGUGUUUUUCUUGUUCACAUUGUAAAAGUCAACAAUCCCGUGAGUAGAAGUCGCACGGAAAAGUGCAACCGCUUCUUUAGUUACAAUAACCAUAAAUAUAAAUAAAUGGGUAAAUUUAAUUAUGCUUCUUUAGUAUCUUAUAGAGGUAAUAAUGGGCGGGCUAGGUUCGGUAAAAAUUUAAGCCCGUUUGUUAGAUUUAGGCCUGACAUGAAAAUGAGCCUAAAAAUUUACCCAAAUUUAGUCCGAAUAAAAAUAUUAAAAUUUGGACCCAAUUCGGCCCACCCAUAUUAAUUUUUAUAUUAUUUUAUUUUUACAUAAUUUUUAAAUAUAUAUAAUAUAUCAAAAAUAUUAAAAACAUAAAAAUAAAUAUUUUUGAACAAAUUGAAAAUAAAUUUUAAACAAUAUGUAUACUUAAAUAAUAUUAAGAUAGAUGCAACUUAACAAGAAAAAAAUCUUUAAAAUAAUAACAAAAUUAAUAAUAAAACAAGUAUUAUAUAAUAUCCAAACAAUGAUAACAAUAUAGUAGUAAUAUGAUAGUGAAAUAGUAGCAAAAUAGGGAGAAAACAAUAAGAAAAUAUCAUUAAAAUAACAAAAAAAAUAGUAAUUUUUUUUGGCAUUUAGUGAAUUCGGGCCGGGCUCAGGCAAAAAUGUCUUACCCAAGGCUUGACCCAUUUUUAAAAUAAACAUUAUUUUUUUGUACAAGCCCAUUUUUCGGACCUAUAUUUUUAUCCAAACCCUUCAAUUUUUCAAGCGGGCCUCUGGGCUAGGUGACCCAACCUAUGAGUAGAUCUAGUAUCUUAGGACUUUUUUUGUCAGUUUCAAAAUAGCCACCCAGCCAGUUUGUUUUCUUUUAUCUAUUUCUGUUAAAUAUUUAACAGAAAGGUGAGAUGACAGUUCAAAUAUUAAUAUAAAACAAAUUUAGUAUACAAUUUUUACAUAUUAUGUGACAAAAGUUAUAUAUUAAUAAUAAACAAUCCAUGUAUUGAAUUCCUACUAGCAACAAUGGACUCCAUUGCUAGAUAUAAAAGCGGUUAUUCAGAAAGCAGUUGAGGGCCGCUUAAGGAACUUUUAGGAACAUUGCGAUAGUUUUUAUCUAAGGUCACUAUGCAAACACAGCUUUAUGCAAAUUAAUGAAGAGUGAUUUAGACUCUUCUCAAGUCCACAAUUACUACGUUUUGUAGUAUCUGAGAAUUCAAUUGGUGACAUGUAGUCGCUUUCAUGACUUAAUUUUAGUAAAGGGAAAUAUAAUUUUUUGCUUAUUUUAAAUAGAUAUUAUUUUUUACAAGAGUUAUUACUCAUAUUUUUAAUUUCAAGUUUAAAUUUGUGUUAUAUAUUGUUUAUUUUAUGUCUGACUAUUAUAAUACAUACUUUUUAGAUAAGUUUUUUCAUCAUUCUCAACAAUCAUACACGCUGGGGGGGGGGGGCAACAAAGAAAUCAUUUUAAGGAUCCUCAUGUAUAGCACCCCAUUAUUCGACUCAAUCACCGGGUUCAAGCAACGGGAUAUCACAUUCGUUGCCGGAGCAACUGACAUAGUUCAUAUUAUAAAAAAAAUUUAAUCACGUCAUGAUUAAUAUAUCAAUGUCUCAACUAUUAACCUGUUUAUUUAUUUCAUUUCAUGCAUCUUCUAAUCCAGCUAUAUAUAAAUAUCGAUUCACAUCCCAAGCAUAAUAACCUUAUCUAAAAACUCGCAUAGCAACAUCAACACCGAACCUAUACAUAUUAUAAACCAUUAUCAACUAUCAUACAUGCCAAUUUAUAAAACAUCUCGAAUUAUGAAAUAAUUUUUCCAACUAAGCUUAAUAUAACAUAAAAAUCCUAUAUGUACAUGCCGACGAGACUAACAAAAUCCUAUAUCAGUUUGCUUUCCCUUUGAUGCGGAAACCCAGGUCCCAGACAAGUAAACAAAGAAAAUUGGAAUUUAAGUGAUGAAAUAAAGAUGUAAAAUGAAAAAGAAGGGAUGAGACUGUUGCGUUGAAUUGAAUACAAGUCCAAACUGAAUGGAUUCAAUUUUGGAAAAUUAGACUAAAUUAAUUUUAGGAAAAUGAUUUCAAUGAUUUUCUAAAAUAUUGGUAUUUUCCAAUAUUUGGAUUAUUCAAGCUAAAAUAUUUUUAGCUGUUUGGUAAAUUUUGUUAGAAUUUUAAUUAAUUUGACACUUAAUUGAUUAUUUUCUUUGUAGAUACAAUUAUUAUCUAAUGUGUGUCAAUAAACAAAUGGAUAUGUGAUUUGUACAAUUUAAUUCCGAUCUCUUUUAAAAAAAUUUUGACUUCGCACCUUCUUAUUAAGUUUUAUCUUAUUAUCAGUGUGAACUGGUUCAUUAAAAUUAUGUGCGAACUGACCUUUUAUGGUGUGUAUGUACAUGCUCUUCGUAAAGUAAUUACGUGCGAGCUCCUUGUAAAGUGUCUAAGUGCGAGCUAGUCUAUAAAGUAGUAAAAUGUGUGUUAUGUAAUCUAUGAGUUGUAUUGACAUGCGAACUAUGUUAAUACGCGAGCUGCGUCAACUUGUUAGCAAAAGUACAAGAUAUAUAUUGUGGUAGUAGUUAUAACUCGGGUCCGGCAACUGGACCAGGUGAGGGGUGUUACACAAGAUACAAAACCUCAACACAAAAAUAAUACCAUCUUUUGAGAGUUCCGUCAACACAAUAAAUGAAAUUUAAAUGCAUACUUUUUUUAAUGAAAGUAAAUAUCAUAUUAAUUAAAGAAAAGCAACUAAAAAUCCAAUAAUAAAAUCCUUAGCAAAGAUUGAAAACACAAUUAUAUUGUAAAUGAAGUAAGAAACUAAGAAAAUCCAAUCUAAUAAAGAAAAUAACUUGAUGCCCCAAAGCUACCAUAAAACUAAAUCAUGGUAAGGCCUGCUGCUCGUUUUAUUGGUUUCCAUGCAUCUUUUUUUUGCAAAAGAAGUUUGAAUUCCGAAUAGAGCCUAGUACAUGGGAGCAAAAGAAAGAAAAUUAGUAUAUUAAUUUCCACGAUUUUUAAAACAAACUUCAUGGAAACGAAUAUUGACAUAUUAGAUAUCUACGAUUAUAAUGCUAAAAUAGACUAAAAUUAUUAAAUUAAUGGUAGAAUUAAGAGUGAAUAAAUAACCACAAGCGUACUCAUUACUUACCAUAUUUGUUAAACAUGUUUGAUGUUGUUUAGCAACCUUUGUUUGAUUUUCUUUAGCUCAACCACAACAUCUUUCAUGUCUUUUCUUUCUUCUGGUAACUCAGCUGAACAAUUCAGAGCCAACUCCAUGAUGGCUGAAAUACAAUUUGCUUUAACAACAAAGUACUCAUCCUCUUUUCUUAAUAAAUCAGCAUCUGCAAUUUNNNNNNNNNNNNNNNNNNNNNNNNNNNNNNNNNNNNNNNNNNNNNNNNNNNNNNNNNNNNNNNNNNNNNNNNNNNNNNNNNNNNNNNNNNNNNNNNNNNNCUUAUGGUCACUUCUUCAGCAAAAAGAUUAUCAGUUGGCUUUUUCUUUGUGAAAGUUUCUAUAAGGAUGAUCCCGUAACUAUAUACAUCACAUUUUAUAGAAACAAUUCCAGUUGAUCCAAAUUCUGCAUUUCAAGUAUAAGUAGAGCAUCAUUAAUCCUUAAUUAUUUCUAAAAUGCUUAUUCAAAUAUAUAUCCACAGACGCAUGAAGCAAAAAUAUAAAAUGCAAAUCAAGAAAAUAAUCAUACAAAUAUAAAAAAAUUCACCUGGUGCCAUAUACCCGAUAGUUGCAAGAGUCAUGGUUUGCUUCUUUACUUCACCCUCUCCCAACAAUUUGGCAACGCCAAAAUCUCCAACAUGUGCAACCAUGUCUUCAUCUAGUAAAAUAUUGCUUGGUUUUAUGUCACAAUGAAUUAUUGGUGUUCGAUGUCCAUUGUGGAGGUGUUCUAUAGCUACCGCAACAUCUAUCAUUAUGUCGACCCUUUGUAUGAUAUCAGGGAAACAAUUUUCAGAAUGUAACCAUUUCUCAAGGUUUCCAUUAGACAUGUAAUCAAGCACCAAGGCUUUGAAGUCAACACUUGAACAGCAAGUAAUAACCUUCACAAUAUUACGAUGAACUAUAUUACGCAUAGCAUCACAUUCAAUGUCAAAACUCCUAAAUGCUCCCUCUGUUUGCAAAUUGAAAACUUUUAUUGCAACUUCCAUUCCAUCUGAAAGCCUCCCUUUAUAUACAUAUCCAAAACUCCCUGAACCAAGCAUAUUGCUUUCCUCAAAUCCAUUAGUUGCUCGUGAAAGUUCAGCAUGUGAAAUUCUUCUCGGUGUUUUCAAAGACAGCAAAUCAUCUUUAAUUGGUAGAGUUGUACUCCUUCGCCGGCAUCUUCUAUACAUAAUAGUUUAAGACUAUUAGUACUAUGACAAUACCAAUUGUUGGUAAACCAUACCUAAAAGCAUGCAAUAUAAUCAUUUGGGAGUUUUUGUGGAUGUCGUUUUUACAAGGUGGGACUAGCAAUCUAGGGGGACCACAAAGUGCAUAAUUCUUCAUGAAUGAUGUGCUAGGAAAGUUUGAAAAACAUCCUUCGCUGGGAAUUUCCCCUUCAAGUCUAUUGAAAGACACAUUAAAAUACUUUAGAUAUAAAAGCUUUUCCAAAGAUUUGGGAAUGACUCCAGAGAGAUUGUUAUUGCAUAAAUCCAAGAAUUCCAAACUAAUCAACUCGUCAAAUGAUUCAGGGAUUUGACCAUAUAGUAUGUUAUUUGAUAAAUCUAAUGAAACCAAAGUUAUAAGACCCCCAAAUGUGGAUAAGAUAUCGCCCGUGAGAAGAUUCCUUGAUAAAUUUAGUUUCAGUAGACUCCUCAAAUUUCCAACAUCAAUAGCAUGUGAAUUGUGAAGAUGGUUUGAUGAUAAAUCUAUUUCUAAGAUAUCUUUAAGAUUCCACAAAGUUGAGGGUAUUGUAGAACUCAAUUUGUUGGAAUCUAAGUGAAGAUAUCCCAAAGAAGUAAUAUUACCCAAACAAGAGGGUAUGGAUCCAUGCAGCUUAUUCAACCCUAAAUACAUCUCGUAUAGUCUCUCCAAACCACAGAGGCUUUCUGAGAUAGGCCCUCCUAAUUUAUUAGAGGAAAGACCUAGACUUUGGAGAUUUCGCAGUCCUCCUAUUGAUGUUGGAAUGAACCCACUUAAUUUAUUAUAGCCAAGCUGUACAAGCAAUAGGUUGGUUAAGUUACCUAUUUCCAUAGGAAUAAUGCCUUGAAGCUCACAAUUAGAGGCAUAAAAGUAUUGAAGGGAUUUUGAAAGGUUCCUGAUAUAAGUAGGAAGAACGCCACUCAAUGGAUUUCCUGAAACUGCUAUGGUUUUCAAAUUCCUACAAUUCGUCAAAGAAGAAAAAAAGCUCCACUCAUGAUCAGUAGCAGAUCCUGUGAUCAAAUUAUUGACAAAGAUAUUGAGCACUUCAAGGUGUUUUAAGCUGCCCAGCAUUUUAGGGAUUGGACCAGAGAAUAAGUUUUGUGACAAUUCCAGUUGCUUAAGCAUGGAAGCAUUGGAGAUAGAGUUAGGAAUGUUUCCGUUAAGUUUAUUUCCCCACAAUACAAGAAUCUCAAGCUUUGGAGCAUUGGUGAUGGGUGGUAAAUUACCUAUAAAAUAGCAUCUUUUAGUAUUCAUAUUCAUUGAAUGCCAAAUUCACAAAAUAUAUAAUACAUUAAAAUAAAAACUGCAAAACUUUAAAUCAAUUAAGAAUAAAAUUUUGGCAUGGAAAAAUGUGAUGAAAUCAAUUAGAAAGUUGAGACAUAAUAAGAAGUUUUGAGUAGUAAUUAGUCCUUGUGAUUUGUAUAGACAAAACAUAUAAUACACUAAUAAUUUUUUAAAAUAUUGUAAAACUUCAAAUAAAAUAAAAAUAAAAGUUUGGCAUGAGAAUGUGGCAUCUAAUCAAUUUUAAAAAUGAGUCUGGCACUGAAUAAUAAUUAGUUAUGAUUUGGGAAACAAAAAUGUUAAAGCCAUUGGUUUUAAUGUAAAUUGAUAUGAUUUUUAUCUAUUGGGCUAAUUAUUUAUUUUUAUGAAAUCAUAGUGUAAAAUUUAAAGAUUAUUAUUUGCUCAAAAUUUUUGUAUUUUUCGUAUAUUUAAAAUUUAAUCUUUAUAUUUUUAUUUUAUGUGAUUUAGUCUCAUUAACAUUGUUAAAUUAUUUGCGUCUAGACCAAUAUCUUAAGAACUAUUGUUGCAUGUUUAAUUAUUUUAAAGAAUUGUCUAUUGUGUCUUAGCUUGAUUGGCAUUUGCAUUGUUGCCAAUGUAGGAGAAGGUGCGUUCAAGUAUGUUGAAGUGCAAUAUCCUCCUGAAUUGGGGAGUUGGUAAAGUACUAAAUUUUGAUAUAUUUUAAAAUAUUAAAAUAUUUUUUAUAAAAUUUGAUUGUAUCACAAUAUACAAUUUUAAUAUCAAAUUUUUAAUUUUUUUAAAAAUAUUAGCAAAUAUAUACUUUAUUUCAAGUUACACAAUUUUUUCUAGUUUUUAAAUUUUUUUUUAAUUUUAAUCGUCUUUUAUAAUUUCUAUUAACUUUUUAUAAUUUUUUUACAAUAGUUAACAAUUUCUAACAAUUUUUAAUAAUUUUAUUAUUUAUUAAAAAUUUAAAAAUUUAAAAAUUUUUAUUUUUUUAAAACAAUUAUAUAUAUAUAUAGGAUGGAGGUUUUUUUUAAACAUUUUAUUUGAAAUUUUGAAGGAACUGGUUUUUUUACCUGAUGAUGCCAUCAUUAUGUCAUCAUUUGCCACUUGACAAUUUAUGAUUAGUUGAAAAUCUCAAUCAAUGUUUUAAUGUUAGAGGCUACACUAGGAAUGUUUGAUGAUAUUAGGUACUAAAGUGGGCAAAAAAACAUUAAGAGCCAAAGUACAAAAAAAAAGAAAAAGAAAAAAAGAGCAAUCUGCUGUAGGGAAUAAACUGUGCAUUAGCCAUUACAAAUAUAUAAAUGCAUGGAUUUUGAGAAACUUUUGAACUGAUAAUUAUAUAGUCUUUGUUGUUUACUAUAUUAUUGAAAUUUUUAUUUUAAAUAUAUAUAUUUUUUUACUUUUAAGAUUUAUAUAAGAAUUUUGGUUUUACUAAAAUAUUUGGUUAAGUAAAUUCACUUCAUAAGAAAAUUUAUAUUGAAUUACUUUAUACCUCAAUUAUUAUUAGAAUUUAUUACACACAUACGUGUAUGAGAACCACAUAUUUAGAACAUAAAUUUGUAUUUUAAAAUAACUUAUGAUAAAUAAUGAAAUGUAUAAUUUAAAACUAUUUAAUAAUAAAAAUAGAUUAAAUUGUAUUUUUAAAAUAAAAACUAAAAUACCCUCAAAUAAUAUAACUUAUUUUAAAUAUAAAAAAUAUUCUAUUCAACCCUAAAUCAAUUUUUAGAUUUUGUACACAUGAUUUAAUGAUGAUAAAAACAUUAUUAGCGCUAUUUUUGAAUUAAAAAAAAAGCUUGUGAUAUAUUUUAAUUAUAUGUUUUAUUUUUAUUUUUUAUUUUAUAACUAAAUAUGGUACAUAUACUUUAAUUAUAACUUGAAAGUUUAUUAUAUAAAUUAAUAUAUUUUAAAUAUAUUCAACCAUUUGAAUAAUAAAAUUAAAAAAAAAACUAAUUAGAAUAAUUUAAAAAAACAUUACUUAAAAGCUAGUUAAAAAUCACGUGCAACAGGUGAUAUGAGAAUCUAUGUAUAUAAAUGUAUCCGUAUAUAUAUCGUUGUUUCAUUUUCUUAAAUAAAUAUAUUUUCCACAUUGGUUUCUUUUAUUCUACAGACAAGGAUUUCUAAUGAUUUUUAAAUUUUUUUUUUUACUUAUAUAGAACAGAUUAGUUUAUGCAAUAAAAAAAUUAUUUUUGAAAGUUUAAUGGAAAUUAAAAAAUUAAAAAUAAAUCAAUUCAUAUAAAUCUUAUUGUUUAUUAUCAGAUUAAAAUAGAAACAAAUUCAACACAAUGUUUUUUGGAGUUCGAAAAAUAUUAAACUGAAAAACAUAUCUUCUAAUUUGUUGUUAAAUAGAUCUAUUUCUUCGAGCGUAGUUGAAUUAAAAAUAUUUGAUGGAAUCUGACCUGCACACAUAGUCGAAAAUUGAAGUGAAAAACGUACCUUCUAAACUGUUCAACUAAAAAUAUUUUAAGCAUAUUUUUUAAGGUUGUUGCAUUUGCCCAUGCCAAAUGGAAUGUUACCAGAUAAUUCAUUCUGACUCAGGUAAAGCAUUUCAAGCUUGGGAAGAUGUUGACACAUAUCAUUAGGCAAACUACCUGAUAGGCUAUUGUUGGAGAGAACAAUGGUCUUCAGAGAAGAAAUGUUAAAGAUCGAAGUUGGAAUCCGACCUGUAAGGCCUUUAAUUGCUUGAAUAUUAAGCAAUUCCAAACCAAGAAGAUUACCGAUUUCCUCAAGAAUUUGACCUGCACACAUAGUCGAAAAAUCAAGGUGUCAAACUACCUAUUUUGUUAGCAUAAGUCAAAAAGGUUUUCUUUUCUGUUCUAUAGUAAUUUGGAGAUGUUAGAUUCUCAUAUAUUUUAGCAUAUGUUUUUCAUCAAUUUAAAUAAAAAGUUUUUCCUUUUGUUAUCUAUUACAAAUCAAACGCUUUUAUAAAAAAAAAACUUAAAAUUCAAGAAAUCAAGGAAAUUGAUUACCUUCUAGAUUAUUAAACCCCAAAUAUAAUUCUUUGAGUUGUGUCAGAUUUCCAAUACUUCUUGGAAUGAUCCCCGUCAAUUGAUUCAAGGACAAGGACAAAUUUUUAAGGUUGCUGCAUUUGCUCAUACUUGACGGAAUGUUACCAGAUAACUCAUUGCUAUGCAAAUAAAGCAGUUCAAGCUUGGGAAGAUAUUGACACAUAUCAGUAGGCAAACUCCCUGAGAGGCUAUUGUUGGAGAGAACAAUGGUCUUCAGAGAAGAAAUAUUGAAGAUUGAAGUUGGAAUCUGACCUGUAAGGCAUUUAAUUGCUUGAAUAUCAAGCAUUUCCAAACCAAGAAGAUUACCGAUUUCCUCAGGAAUUUGACCUGCACGCAUAGUAAAAAAAUCAAUGUGUCAAACUAUCUAUUUUGUUAGUAAAAGUCAAAGAGGUUUUCUUUUUUGUUCUAUAGUAAUUUGGAGAUGUUAGAUUCUCAUAUAUUUUAGCAUAUGUUUUUCAUCAAUUUAAAUAAAAAGUUUUUCCUUUUGUUAUCUAUUACAAAUCAAACUCUUUUAUAAAAAAAUAGUUAAAAUUCAAGAAAUCAAGGAAAUUGAUUACCUUCUAGAUUAUUAAACCCCAAAUAUAAUUCUUUGAGUUGUGUCAGAUUUCCAAUACUUCUUGGAAUGAUCCCCGUCAAUUGAUUCAAGUACAAGGACAAAUUUUUAAGGUUGCUACAUUUGCCCAUACUUGACGGAAUGUUACCAGAUAGCUCAUUGCUACGCAAGUAAAACACUUCAAGCUUGGGAAGAUGUUGACACAUAUCAUUUGGCAAACUACCUGAUAGGCUAUUAUUGGAGAGAAUAAUAAUCUUCAGAGAAGAUAUCUUGAAGAUGGAAGAUGGAACCUGACCAGAUAAUUGAUUGAGUCCCAAGUUCAAGAUCUCUAGAUUAGAUAUGUUAACAAGUGUUUCAGGGAUUCUGCCUGUAAAGUAAUUAUUUUUCAUUUGCAGCCUUCGAACUCUCUGUAAGUUCCCAAGCCAUGAGGGAAUUUCCCCAUUCAGACGGUUGUAGCUUAAUUGAAGGAUCCUCAAAUGAUGCAAUUGGCCCAAUUCUUUAGGGAGAUGGCCAUAAAAAUGGUUGCUACUCAAGUCGAGAGAGAGUAGAAAUGAAAGAUUUCCAAGGUGUGGAGGGAUAGUACCCCUAAGAUUCAUGCUUGUAAGAUUCAAAGCUAUAACUCUUUUAUGGAGGAUGCCACAAGAAACACCAAUCCAAUUGCAAACAGAGGUUGAGGCCGCCCAAUUGUCUGCCAAGACAUUUUGAGGACCGGCA
Molecule: long non-coding RNA, 89570 nt
Filed under: Gossypium raimondii (Peruvian cotton)
Lineage: Eukaryota; Viridiplantae; Streptophyta; Magnoliopsida; Malvales; Malvaceae
Description: long non-coding RNA (GRAI_LNC007587)
Source: RNAcentral